RNAcentral lists this long non-coding RNA (168649 nucleotides) under Lactuca sativa (garden lettuce). Its description in RNAcentral is "long non-coding RNA (LSAT_LNC001541)". The record is from RNAcentral. Lineage: Eukaryota; Viridiplantae; Streptophyta; Magnoliopsida; Asterales; Asteraceae.
UCCUUAUAUGUUGCAAUUCCAGCACCAUAUUUGUCCCCCUUCACUGAAUCAGCUGAAGCAAUAGCUUCAAGUUCAGCCAUAUCUUCUGGUGUUAGCUUCAUAGAUAAAGCUCCAAUGUUCUGUUCAAGAUUCUCAAUCUUUGUAGUUCCUGGAAUUGGCACCACAUCGUUUCCCUGGUGGUGAACCCAAGCCAAUGCUAGCUAUGACGGGGUACAUCCCUUCUUUGCUGCCAUCUCAUUCACCCUCUCAUACAUAAUCUUGCUAUGUUCAAGAUUUUCAGCUUGUGAGGGAAGUGGUAGUCAGGCAUGGAGUGCCAGUAUCGGUGGUCUUGGACCGUAAUGUAUCAUUCACCUCUAGAUUUUGGAGGAAGUUUCAUGAGGAUUUAGGUACUCGGUUGCAUUUCAGCGCUGCUUACCACCCAGACUGAUGGUCAGAGCGAACGGACAGUCCAGAUGCUCGAGGAUAUGCUUCGAGCAUUCCUGUUAGACUUUGGAUGGAUUUGGGAUACUUACCUUCCACUAGUAGAGUUCUCAUACAACAACAUUUAUCAUGCUAGUAUUGAUCGACCCUCGUUUGAGAUGUUGUAUGGUCGGAGGUGUAGGACUCAAGUUUGUAGGGGGCAGGUUGGCCAACGAGUCAUGAGAAGCACCGAAGUGGUGCUUAAGACUACUGAGUUGAUUUAGCAGGUGCAUGAUAGGUUGUGAGUCACGUAGAGUCAUUAGAAAUGCUAUGUUGACCGAUGACGUUCGGAUAUUGAGUUUCAGGUGGGGGAUUUUUUGUUGUUGAAGGUAUUACCCUGGAAGGGUGUCAUAUGCUUUCGAAAGAGGGGCAAGUUGGGACCCCAAUUUAUUGGUCCAUUCAGGAUCUCUGCCCGAGUUAGCAAGGUUGUGUAUCGAUUAGAUCUCCCUAAUGAGCUUAGUCUGCUCCAUAACACCUUUCAUGUGUCCCAGCUUCGGAAGGGUGUAUCAGAUGAGGCUGCAGUCAUUUCAUUGGAUGAUAUUAAGGUGAAUGGGAGCCUAAAAUAUGUUGAGAAACCCAUUGCAGUUCCGGAUUGAAAAACUAAGCUCUAAUAAAGAGGUUUGUCUAGUGAACAUGCAAUGGUAGCACUUGAGAGGCUCCGAAUGGACCUGGGAGCCGGAGGACGAGAUGAGAAAGAAUUACCCAGAUUUAUUUGCAUAUGCAGACUUCGAUGACAAAGUCUAAAUCAAGUGGGAGGGGGGAGUUGUAACAUUCAAAAUCCAAGUAUUCCUUUUAACCCCUUUGAAGUAUUUCAAUUCUGGCUUUGAGGACCCUUCGUACGUUGGGCGUACAUAUGAGUACGCUUAGUGUACACGAGCGGAUGCAUUGAGUGACUUAGGCUCAUAUGCACGAAGUACAAGCUUGUACGCAGGGCGUACGAGGCCGAGGGCUAAAACCCUAAUAGUCGGACUUGUGACCUAUUUGAACGUUCUUAAGUCAUUUGGACAUCACCCUAACCAGCCUCCAUUACUCUCAAACGUCCCUAAAACCCUAAAACCUUUGUGUGUGCCUCUUAAGCUUGUAAGUGCCUCAAAUACCUCUUUUUUGGUGAUCUAGCAUGGAGCAGGAAGUGGAAGCAAGCCUUGUUCGUGGGAAAAGCUUUUGGAUCUUGCAUUUGGUCCAUCUUGGGAAGCUUGUGGAGGUAAAAAGCUUUCACCUUGCUCUUGUUUAUGAUUAGUUGAGUUAGGGUUUGGUUUUGAGUCCUUUCUUGGUCCAUGAAUCUUCUUUUGUGAGUUUGGACAACUCCAGAGGUUAGGAGUGUUAGAUCUAGGUCCCCUUGUCUGGUUUGAAGCAUAAAAAUGAUAGCUUGAUGGUUUUGGUGACUUCUUGUAUGAGCUUAAGAGUUUAAAAUGAGAUUUAAUGGAUUAAAUAAGGUAUUGGGUUCUCUCAUGGCAUGCAAUGGCAUAAAGUUUCCAACUUUAUGCCCUAGGACCUUAAAAACGACCCAGAUCUGGAUUUGGAACAUGAAGUCUUUGUGUAUUAAGAACUUAAUGGAUGAUGUGAUUUACCCGUCUGUACGUUUGGCGUACUGACCUGUACGUUGUGCGUACGGCCGAGGAACCCAAUACGCUAAAUGUACAUUUGAGGUAGGCUGUACGUAUGCUCUUCUGAAGGUGUUAGGCUUUCGGUGGGAUUUUAGGCCAAUUGAACUCCACAUAGCCUUGUGCGUAGACUGAUUGGAGUAGUUGGGUCUUGGGAAAUAGUUAUGGGUUAUUGAUGUCAUGUUUGGGCCUUAUUGGUACAUAUGGCCCAUUAUAGUUUUAGACUUUGAUCUUAGGCUCAUUAGUGAAGGAAUGAUUUUUGGGCUAUCAUUGAGGGGCUUGGACUUAGGAUUUUGGACUCUUUGACUAGGUUGAGUUAUAAUCCUAAUUAGGGUUAUUUGUAUAUUUUUUUAGUGUGAGAUUUUGGACUGGUAGUCGAGCAACUAUUGUUUCUAGCAGAUUGAGGUGAGUUUUGUCACUAUACCAAUGUAUCGACGGCACCAAUGGCGACCCAUUAUUUAAUAUGAGAUUUCUAUAGUUGAAUAUACAUUGGUUUUUUAUUUGGUAUGUAUUGAAUUACGUGAAGACCAUGGGGGAGCCCAUGGCACUUGGCAAGACCAUGAGGGGGAGCCCAUGGCUCUUAGAUGUAAGACCAUGGGUGUAGCCCAUGACAUUCCAGUUGAAGACCAUUGAGGGAUUGCAUGGCAAACUUACGUGUAUAUGUGCAUGACAUUAUGUGGUUAUAUGUUUUGUAUAUUUUGGGAAACUCACUAAGCGUGUUCUUACAGUUUUUUUUGGUGUUUCAGGUACUUCUGGUUCUAAGGGAAAGGGUCUGGCUUGACGACACAACAUGCACUCUCCAGUAUUUCCGCACUUAUUCUUUUAGAUACUCUAAUCUUUUGGAAAAUGAAAUUAUGUAAUGGGAUUUUGUAAAAAAAAAUAUGGUUGAAUUUCUAAUUAUCAAAAUGAAAUAUUUUUAUGAAUUUUUGGGCUGUUACAUUGGUUUAAACUUAGAGUGUUCUUGAUAAUUGUUUAACAACUUUAGUCAUACAAAAUUCUAGUCCAUUUUUCUCACUAUACUAUGAGAUUUGAAAAAUUAGAAAAAGUGAAUAUUAUAGCAUAUAUAAUCGAUCCUAUAUCCGAAGCAUAUGAGACUCGAUUCAUUAUGUCUCACAUAAGGAUUUGAUAUUUGUUCAGUCUCUUGCUAUAAUAUUUUCAUAUAUUGAAUUUCUUAUGUUGAACCAUUUCAACAUGAUAUAUAUAUAUAUAUAUAUAUAUAUAUAUAUAUAUNUAUAUGACUAAGUUCUAUUAAACUAUAUGAUAUAAACCUUUAGAAUCGAAACAAAGUAUGAGUGACCUCCUCCAUAAGUGUACUAUAGCGAAACAAUUCCCAAACUUUGCAAUUUGCAAAUUGAAAACUUUGUUCCUUACAAAUUGUAUUGUCAACAUGCAAUACUAGUAUAACAAUAAUGCUCCCACUAGCUUUGACAUGUACCUAGAAAUCAACUAUACUUCUACAAAUCAUACUCUUUAAAUGUCUUACAAAAGUACAGAUUUCUGUUAUGCGAUGCUUCGAUAAGUCUCCAAGUAAACUUCUUAAGCUUAUACACUUUAAUUGGAUACCAUAUGUGUGUGUUUAGACCAUUUCAUAACUUUUAGAUAUAUUUCUUGAAAGUUCAACCAAUUCCUUUCCAUUUCUUACAAUUCGAAAUAUAAAAAGGGAUGCCAUAAUCAUAUUAUGAAUCUAAGAAUGUAAUUAACACAACCAAUACCCAUAUCGAUCCUUAUCAGAUCUUUAAAAUCUACCAGCGAAAGUGUUUCCUCAUAACCAUUUCCAAGAAUUAGAGCGAAAUCUUUACCACUUAGAUCUUAUGGAGCAUACGUUCCCAUCCAUGUGAUUCCAUCAUUUUCUAACUAUAAUCAUAAGACAAGGUUUAGGACAAAACCAAAUUCAAAUUUAGCAUUCCUUCGUCGAUUGAACUUUACUAUUCCGAAUUUCAUACCCUCUGGUAGCACAAGGGCCUACCAAUGCUUGCAUGUUGUUAGCAGUUCACCCAUAUUGAUCAAUGUACUUUCACUAACCAACACGCUUUUUCUUUUACAGUUAAAUGAAAAUAUAAAACUUAUAUGCAUUGCCAAAUCAGCUAGAAGUGCACAGAAAUAAGAAUGUGUCAAUCAAACAUGAUAUGUUAUCAACCUCAGGUCACGUGCUAGUCAUAACUAAAGGGUUUAUUAUCGGUUGACUCUUGAAACUCUCAAGAUCAAUACGACUCUCACUGACUUCUUGACAUAUGAGUUUUCUCUCAAGGAACAUUCCUUGAUGAGGUAAAACUAAUAUUCAAAAGUUCGUAUGGAUUCUCGACAAGAAAGCACUUCAUAGAAUAGGUCUCAGUUUAUAUUUUGUUUCACGAUUAACGAAAACAUCACAACUUCCAUUCUAUAUGUGCUAGAGUAAGAAAACAUUUUUACUCCACAUAUUUUGAGGUGUUUUCAACCUUAUUAGUUUGAAAUGAGCUUCAAGAUAUGAUUCAUAGUUACUAGGGCAUGGCUUGGAAUGAAGUAUGACUCAUCUCUUGAUCGAAUUAUUUCCAACAAUAUCUGAUUCCUCUUCUUAGUCAUACAAUUGCACUAAGUUGUUCUUCGAGGAUCAAUGGUGAUAUAAAUCCAUAAUCACUAAGAUGAUCAUAAAAUACUCCCAUUCCUUUUAGAUUGGAAAAACUUUUAUCUCUAUGCCUAUUAGAUUCUUCUUAUUUGUUCUAAUACUAUUUGAAUCUUUUUAAAAUAUCAGAUAGUAUAAUCUUACCAUUUAUUUUUUAAAGUAAAAAUAAUAAUCCAAAAUUUUAAAAGAAAUUAUCUUUAGAAAAAAAAAAACCUUUGUCAAGCAAAUAAAAUUAAGUUUGUUAAAAUUGUUAUUCUUGUUGUAUGAUCAUACGAUCCCACCUUAAUAAAAUGAUCAUGAUUGUACUUGCGUUGUUUUUGGGCAAAAUCAGGGUAUCAUUGGAGGAUCAGAUCGUAAGAUCAUAUGAUUCAUCGUAAAAUCAUUACUAUUUUUUUGAAGUGUGUAAUAUUUUGUCUUGGACUAACUAAGUGCAUAGAAUAUGAGCCUAGAAAAACCUUUUGAAUAUUUAUUAUUAUUAAAUGAUAUAUUAUACAUGUAUUUUUCAUGUUUUGGUAGGGUCUUAUGACCCUAGAUUGAUCUGAUGACCCCAAAACUAUCUUAUAACCCCGAAAUGAUCUUAAUAUCAGAAUUAUGCAAUACUAAAAAGUAAUCUUAUAUAACAUCUCAAUCUUGACAAACUUAAAUCUUGAAUGAUAUCAUUUUUCAGAAAAUUGUAAAAAACAAUUAGUUUUUAUAAGAAAAUAAACUAUUUUGAUAAUAGAUAUUCUCUGAUAGACAAAAAGAAUGCCAUAAGAUUAUAUUAAGAUAAUACAAUUCCGUCAAAGAAAUACAAUAAGAUAUAAUAGAAUAAUAAUUUGUAUUUUUCUAAAUAAAAUUUCUAUUUUUUUUUUAACUUUUAAAUUAUUAUUCGUUUAUUUAAAAAAAUAUUAUAAGAUAAUAUCAUAUGUUAAACAGGAAACUAUAACAAGAUAAUAAUUUGUGUCACAUGAAAAGAUAUUGCAUUAAGAUUAUAAUAAGAUAAUAAAAUUAAAUUUUAAAAAGCAAUAUAUAUAUAUAUANNNNNNNNNNNNNNNNNNNNNNNNNNNNNNNNNNNNNNNNNNNNNNNNNNNNNAAUAUACCUAAAAUUCAUAAAUAUCUACAAGUUUUUUUGAUCUUAAUUGCUAAUAAAAAGAAUAUUAAUACUUAAUCGAAUAUAAAGAUUUAUGAGAUUUCCUUAAACGUUAAUGUGAUGUCAAAUUGGGUUGGAGCAAACUUAAUGUUAUAUUUAGUGUUUAAUAUAUAGAAGAGAUAAAUGGACCUUAUACUUAGGUUUAUUCCACAUGUAUCGGGCUUAUAUAGUUAAACUUCAUAAAUGGGAAAUUGCAUCUAAACUUAGAAAAUAUUGUAUUCUUCUUAUUUUUAACUUUUUAUAACUUACUCUUAAUUCUAUAUCUUUUGUCUACCAUGAAACCUAGACCACCUUUGGUUGAAAAUAUUGUAUUCGACCCCUUCCCUGUACAAUACCUUGAUUAACGUACUACUAAGACUUAAUAAAAAAACAAUAACCUUUUUAUUCCAGACAUGCAUAUACAAGCACAUGGGAAACAAAAGUGAGUACUCUCCCAGUAUUGAUUAAGCAUGCUUACACCAAACAACAGAUUCACAUCAUUGAUUAAGCUUUCCAAGAUGACAAUGGAGGAGUAUCGGCAUCCUUAUAUGUUGCAAUUCCAGCACCAUAUCUGUCCCCCUUCACUGAAUCAGCUGAAGCAAUAGCUUCAAGUUCAGCCAUGUCUUCUGGUGUUAACUUCACAGAUAAAGCUCCAAUGUUCUGUUCAAGAUUCUCAAUCUUUGUAGUUCCUGGAAUUGGCACCACAUCAUUCCCCUGGUGGUGAACCCAAGCCAAUGCUAGCUGUGACGGGGUACAUCCCUUCUUUGCUGCCAUCUCAUUCACCCUCUCAUACAUGAUCUUGUUAUGUUCAAGAUUUUCAGCUUGGAACCUCGGCAUAUACUACAAAAAAAUAAAAACAAAACAUCAUAUAACGGCCUCUUCAGUGGUAAAUUUGAAGUUAAAAUUAUUGAAUUGGAAAGGAGUAUAGGGUAACCAACAUACCCUACGGAAGUCACCAUCUUCCAACUUCUCGAGCAUCUUUGGACCAGAGGAGAAAAAACCCUUUCCCAAAGGACUGUAUGCAACAAUCCCAAUCCCAAGUUCUCUGCAAGUAGGAAUGAUAUCUUCUUCAACAUCUCUUGUCCACAAGGACCAUUCUAGUUGUAUGGCUGUUAUUGGGUGCACAGCAUGAGCUCUUCUAAUGGUUGAUGCUGAAGCCUCUGAUAAUCCAACGUAUUUAAUCUUUCCUUCUUCCACCAGCUCCUUUAUUGCUCCCAUCUAAGAAAAAUAUAAAGAUUUGAGGAGAUGAAUAUGAAUGGAUGAUGGAUUUAACGACUGAAACAGAAGGAUAGUGUGAAGAGGAGGAAACCAACUGUGAUUUCGAUAGGCACGCGAUUGUCAAUUCUGUGUACAUAAUACAGAUCAAUGCAGUCGACACCGAGUCUCUUCAAGCUAGCUUCACAAGCAUACUUUACAUAUGCCGGAUCUCCGCAGACCUCCAUCGCAUCACUAUCGUAUUUGAUCCCAAAUUUGGUUGCGAGCUCCACUUUCUCCCUCAGCCCUCCCUUCAAAGCCUGCGCUUAAAGAAAAAGAUUGCUUUAUAUGAACCACACAAGAUCGAACCUAUAGUUGCAGUACCAUAAACCGAAAGAUUAGAAGAAAGUUACCUUGCCGAUAAGGAUCUCGUUGGUUUGAGGGCCGUAGAUGUCGGAGGUGUCGAGAAAGGUAACGCCGGCGUUAAUGGCGUGCUGGAUGAGCUUGAUCAUGUCAGGUUCUGGUUUGGGGGUUCCAUAGAAAGCUGACAUGCCCAUACAACCCAAACCAAGAGCCGAUACCUCUAAACCCUGUGAACCCAGUUUGACUUUUCGAACUCCUGUCAUUUUCGAGCUUUGAUCUUGUUCUACAGAGUGAUUGAUGAAAGCAACCCUCGCAGAUCUCAUAUAGGGACUGAGAAGGUGGUAGUUGGUAGGAUCUCCAUGGCGAGGAAAUUCAGGACAUGUAAAGUAGCGAAGUAAUAUAUUUUUAAUUUUAAAAUUAAAGAAGAACAGUAUAUAAUAUAUAAUUAUAAACUAUCAAUGCAUUUAACGUUUUAGGUUAACUAAAUGUUGAUGUUCUUCCCGAAAAGAUAAAAAAAAAAAAUAUAGAGAUUGCUUUGAUGUCGAUGCGCAUGCAUAUGGUGACUUUAUAACCUAUACGACGACUUUCACAAGUGAGUAGAACGGAUGGAUGGACAGAUGGUGGAAGAUUCUCGAUGAAAAUAGAGCUUUGAUCUUUCAUUGUGGAAGCAUCGUUUCGUCCUUAUUAAGUUCUUUUUUUUAAGGUAAUAACAUUAAAGUCAUUCAUUUUAUAUGUAAAUUGGUCUUUUGCAAUGCGUUAUUUUUUAUUUUAAAUUAAACACUGUGUUUCUAUAUUGUAAUAAUUUUGACUAUUUGACCGUUCAAUCUGAUCGCUUCUGACUACUUGAUCGGUCAAUCUGGUUGCUUGCUGACGUUACAUGGCUGAAUGACAUUUUAUAUCAAAAUUGAAAAAAAAUAUUACAUAAAAAAAAUUAAGUUUUCAUUUUCUUUGACAAAAAGUUUUAAUUUUUUUUUUUAUUUUUAAUUUUGACAUUUUAUUUUUUUUGAUUUGAAUCUAAUUUCAAUUUUUUCUAAUUUUAUUCAAUGUUGGCCAUAUUACAUUUCAAACUCUAUAAAUACUUUUUACCGUUGAAACCAUAUAAAUAUUUUUUUCUUUUAAAAACUAUAUUUUUUUAUAUAAAUACAAGGUUUUUACAAUAUUAUAUAUGAUAUCCUUUUUAUUAAAUACCAUUACAAAUUAAAUGACAUAAUUUGUGCCACUUUACAACUUUUAGUGACAAUUUAAUGCUACUAUAAAAAUUAUUAGAUUUAGUGGCAUUAACCAUUUUAUGACACUAAUUGUUAUAUUUUUAAUAGCAUAAUAAGUAAAAAGUACCAAAAAAUGUAUUAUACUUUAUUUUGUUAUGUUUAAUUUAAAUUUUCAAUAAAAAUUUUGAUUAUACUAAUAAUAACAAUUUCUANNNNNNNNNNNNNNNNNNNNNNNNNNNNNNNNNNNNNNNNNNNNNNNNNNNNNNNNNNNNNNNNNNNNNNNNNNNNNNNUAACACGAAACUAAUCUAUAAAAAAUUAGAAAUCCCGCUCAUUCCCUUCCAAAGUUCAUCGAUUCAGAGAGUUUUUGAUAGAAUCGCACAUUUUUACUUCGUCUGUGGUUCACGACUUGUCCUAAUUUCCCCUGCUAUUUUUUCCUAUCUCGUUUGGCCUCCUCCUUAUUAGUGGUAAGUAUCUAUUCUCCUUUUUGUUCUAUUUAAUUCAAACAACAAUUUUUGAGCCUCGUCUCUACCGCAAGUACAUCUCGUUUUUUCUUCCACGUUUCAAGCACUUCUCUCUGCAUCGUUAACUUCCUCUAAAGUCUCCAAGAUUUUAUUUAUGUCUUUCUUAAUUUCAAUGAUUUUGUAUUUUAUUCUAACUUUGAUUUCAUUUACUUAAUUAUAUGAUAUUUUAUUACAGUUUUGGCAAAACGUAAAUAAAAAGAACUUUAAGUUCUGGCUCAAAUGGCAAUAAAAGAUCGAGUCCAAAUAAAAUAAAAUUUGCAUAAGAGAAUUGGUUCGGAGAGCCUCUUCCAUUAUAAUACCGACUUUAGCCAUUAAGAAUUAAGAAGGAAGUGAUCAAGAUGAUCGACAGAAGGAUUACAGUCUUCGUUAGAGCUAAACGACUAGCAACCAUAAUUGUUACUUACCAUGAUGUGGUUGUACCACUUUAGAACAUGAAGGAAGGUGACUUUUAUGUUAAAUAGUUGACUCAUAGGGACAAGAGUCUAUUUUAUUAUAAAUCCUUUAUGUCAUACAGUUAGAGGUCAUUACAAAUUGACCGUUCAGUUAGUUGUUGUAGCAUGGUCAUUUGUCAAACUCCCAGAAGGAAGAAUGAAACUAUUAGUAUGAGAAUGAUAAGAUAGAAGAGAGAUGUCGUAGUUGUUAGUUCUUUAGGAACCAUUUGUAGCAAAACUUAUUAGAAUAGGUGGUGACAGGUUUUGUUUAUAUUAACAGAAUGUCAACUACGCACCACGAAGCAGAGGACCCUAAGAUUGUGUCAGACAAGGCAUCACUACACGAUUGGAUUGUUGUUGAAGUUUUACAUACCUUACUAGAAGAAUUAACUAGUGUCGUGGGAUGGAUCACUGACAGGUUGGUCUUCAGGUUCAAGGAACAAAUCACGACCAUUCAAACUGUUAAUUAAGUUGUUAGGACCACCCAUGAAGAAGAGAUUGGUCUAGGAACUAAACUAGGAAAGAGAAAAUAGGAGCAAGACCCAACUUGGCCAACAAUAACCAAGAAGCUUGAUGGUACUAUGCCAAACACUAGAACGAACUGGUUGCACACAGUUAGCAAUAAGAAUGAUUCAAACCCCAACACUUGUGGUUCCCCAGGAAGAGGAAGAAGUUCUACAUAUGGUGGAAAAUGAACCCACAUCCAAUAAGGGAGUGGUGAUGUAUCCCAUCAAAAAGAAUAAGUGACACCAGUAGAAAUGUUUGAUAGUAUGUUGUUAUGUCUAUUUUUCCGUACAUAUGUUAAUAUGUAACACAAUAAUCACCGUUAUUGCUUGUAAAAUGUUAUUACAAUAAUAUCCUCACUCGUAUGCAUUAGUACAUUACUAGGCAACGUUGUGUCUAUGACGACCUUAUCCUGUUUUGGUCGUGCCAUGCAAGAAAACCACUUACAGUGGGCACGAUCAGUAAUGCUACGAUGAGAAUGUCGAAAGUCAUUGGAGAUGACAACCACAAGUUUCUUCAAAGUCAAAGGGAAACACAGAUGACAUAGGCUGCACUAGCUUAAGUUACAAGUAGUAGCAGAUGAUGGGUCGAACCAAUAUCGAGGGGGGGGGGGGACAAACCCUUAAGAAGAAAUUACGAAGGGAAGUUCAACUUUCAAUUUUGACAUAAAGGCCUAGGAGAGUAGCAACACGAGUAGGAGGAGACAAUUAGUUUUGUUUUUGGUUAAUAAAAGAAUGAAGUAUCCUAUUAGAUUACCCAUAUGCUAUGAGUUUCUUGCUUCUUAAAGAAAGGUUGGUCUUUCCUCCAAAGUGACUAAUAGGAUUUAGGAACUAGCAAAAUUCCCAAGUGCGGAUCAGAUAGCCAAGAGAACCAUCUAUGUCCAUUCCAUCACAAAUGAAGAAUAUAUUCUCGCAGUAAAGGUUCACGAAUUCAAUAGGCGGUGGAGUUUUGCAUACAGAGCGUCGAGUACUCAAGACACACACCAGACCUAGAGUGUUGAUUUCAAAUAUAGUAAGAAUUUACUCAACCCAUUUCAAAGGAUUAUAUUAGUAGGGUCAACGUCAUGGGAUAAAGUGUUUUCAUAAGUAAAACUACAGAUCCAUAGGAGGAGACCAUUUAAAAAGGACAAUGCCCAUUAAGCAAAUGGUAAUACUUCAAUGUUAUAUUAGGAUUCAGGGUAGAGUACGUGUUUAGUUUAGUUAUUCCUUUUGUCAAUAAGCAUACGAAUCAAUAUAAAACUAGGAUAAAAUUUUAACAUUUAUAAGUUGACAUAGGACAACAUUUAGACUUUAGCAUAUAUACAAUGUGGAUUAAGGACCUCUAAAUAAUUGUAGCCUCAAACAUUUAAAAAGAAAAGAUCUAUUGUGAUAAGUAAGAUAUCAAUAAAGGAGGGUGAUUAAGUUCCUUUAGGAAAGUCAGAUAAUGGUUGUGAUUCUUUACAACCAUCGAAAUAUUGAUCAUGAGUCUUCAAGCCCGAGGGGGGGAUGACGACAAUAGUGAUCUGCUAUUGAAAUCCUAGUAGUUGUAUAAGUAUACGAACGUACCAUGAACGAAUUGCUCGAACACUAGUUAUACCAUUGAUAUAUGUAAUGUAGUUAGAUCCUUGUAAGAGGGCUAUUAGGCGACCUAAUGUUCAUUAUAAUCUAGUAGGUUAAAAGAUAAGUAAGCCAUAAAAUAAAUUUGUCACCAAUAGUAGAGUAUUGGUUCCAGUGUUGUCAAGCUAGUAAACCCAUUAUAGUAGUUUUGGUUAAAAUUUAGGAUGUUAGAACACCAUAACUAGGUUGAAAUACCAUUUGUAAUCUAGAUUCGUGUGCCUUUUAGAGGCAUAUUUCGAGAAGUGGAUUUUGUUAGGAUAUCGUAGAUAAAUUUUCAUAAUUAAUCAAGUUGACUGUGUGGACAUUUUACUUCUGAAGGUGGUCAUCAAUCGUAGUCCAAACCGAAAAAUUCUUGUUUUUGGAAGACUUCACAAUGAUUCUAGGAGUACGUGUUUGGUAGAAUAUGAAGUUCUACGACUGAUUAAGUAUGAAGGGGCGAAUUUGAUGCAACAACGUCUGCUAGAUAUUAGGUUGAUCCUGUGAAGACCCAAUAGGAUAGUGUAGGCUUUUUCCUAAAGUGUGUUAAGAGUAGGAUUUCGGGGACAAAAUUUCUAUAAGUGGGGGAGAGUUGUAACACCCUAUUUUCGUUUUAUAGUAUAAAUGGUCAGUCAUGUAAGUAGACGUCUUUGAUAAAAGACUAUCUAGGAUAAAUAGUCUUGACAAAACUAAUAGUAAUCACAAAAAUGAGAGAAUUCGUAGAGAAAACGUCUGAAUCUGACUUUAUAAGAGGAAGUUAUGAUUUUUAGAAGUUUCAGCAUAGCAGUGUACGACAUAGAAAUUGAAUAGAGAUCGAAGAAGUGUUAGGAAAAAAUCUAAAUGAUAGUUGAAGAUCUCAUCCAUAUGAUUCUGUUGACAUAAAGACAAUCGAGAACGGAAUUCAUUUUAGAAUUUUUAUACGAGCUUUAACAGUCUAAGCUUGUUAAAAAUAUAACUUUAAAAAUAAAUUCAAAAUUAGCCUAUUGUAACACCCCGACUCCCAAGUACAAGUUUAAAAGCCUUAUUUACAUAUUAAUGGGCCUACUCAACGAGUUGCUUGCCCCCAACUCUUCAUGUAGAGGUGGGUUAGCCCGCGUGGAUCAAUGGAUCUACUCGACAAGUCGGAGGACCCGGACUCGACGAGUAGGAGAUGGGAGAUGAAACCCUAAUUUUAAGGGUUUGCACACCAUUUAAAGGACCUUAACUCCCUUCCUCCAGUCCUUUAACACUCUCUUGACGGCCAGAAGAAACCCUAAUCGAUAUUAUCUUGUUCUUGAGUGUUUGUGAGGUCUAAGGAGUGAUUUUGGUGCAUUUUGUGAAGAAGGUGUGAAGUAUAAGAAGCUUAGAGCAAAAAGGAGCUUGAAAAUCUAACUCUGCUUCAUCUUGGCAUCGUUUUGGAGGUAACAAGUCGUUACCUUAGCUUAUCUUUAGCUAAAUCUCUUCAUGUUUGGGUUUAGGGCCAUCUUUAUCUCAUUUGGAAGUCAUUUCGAGUAUUGGGACAAUAUCUGAAGUUGUAAUUUCAGAUUUGGACUCCUAUUGGUCCCUAUAGCUAUAAAGUUAUGAGAUUUGGCAAGCUUGGGCCUUUCCUUUUGAGUUAAUCUUUCCCUUAGUCUAGUUUUGGCAUUUAGGAUCAUGCAUGCACAUAAAGUUUGCAACUUUAUGUGAAAACCAUGCCCUAGGAGAUUGGAUCUACAAUAUGGAGCUUUAGGGUGGCUUAAAACAUAUGUAUGAGUGAUGGACUACAUGAACUUGAUGAGUCUCUUAGUCGACUCGGUGCGUCGGAUGAAGGUUGCUCGUAUUUGAUUCUGCUUGAACUCGGCGAGUUAAUGAGUGGACUCGACGAGUAAGUUAGGGUUUUCCCCGACAUCUGGACACGUAUGGACUUGACGAGUUGGUUGGAAACUCAAUGAGUCAAUUAGGGUUUUGGGUGACUUCUGAGUUCUUAAGGAACUUGACGAGUUGCUAGCUGCACUCGACGAGUCGAAUCAACAUGGACGGUUGACUUUGACCAUUGACUUUGACUUUGACCAAGGGUUGACCAAUUAACUUCUAGGGGUAUUUUGGUAAUUCGGGAACUUAUGGAAUUAGAUCAUUGGUGGAUAUAGGGGUUGGUGUUGGAGCUGUGUUUGGAGGAGAUUGAUACUAUCAUUCAGAGGUACUUGAGAGGUAAGUUGUUCUCACUAUACUAACAGGGUCGAAGGCACCAAUGCCGACCCUUUUUGGGUUUGUACUCAGGUUUAUUGCAUGAUAUGCUUUAUGAUUUGUAUCCUAGUUAUAGGAUGGUUACUAUGUUAGUAUCCGUUAGAUCAGUAUCCUGGUUGUAGGAUGGUUGCUAUGCUAAAGAUCGGUUAGAUCGGUAUCCUGGUUAUAGGAUGGUUGCUAUGGUAGAGAUCGGUUAGAUCAAUAUCCUGGCUAUAAGAUGGUUGCUAUGUUAGAGAUCGGUAAGAUUGAUAUCCUGGUUAUAGGAUGGUUACCAUGAUUAGGGAUAUGUUAGAUCUAUAUGACUAUUUGUUUAUAUGUGUGCACAUGUUUGUUGGUUUGGGGGAUUAGGUUGAGGCAGGUCCAGCUUUGUGCUGUAGACCAAGAUACCCAGGGCGGACCGGAUAGACUACAGACCCGGGAGGGCAUAUAGUCAAGCCAAAGGCCCGGCGAGAGGCCCAGAUAUGCUGAAGGCCUUAAGAGGUGGUCCAGACGUGCCGAAGGCUUAGAGAGCGGUGCAGAUAAACUGAUGGCCUGUGACGCGGUCCAUUUAGACUGAUGGCUCAUAUGCAUGUUGUAUUUGUUUAUAUGAUAUGGUUAUAUCUAUAUGGUGUUGGUAUUUUGGGGGAAAUCACUAAGCUUCGGGCAUACAAUUUCAAUUUUGGUUUCAGGUACCUUGGAUGACCGCGGGAAGGCGAAGGCGUGAUCGUACAGCUCCUUACAUUUUAUGACUUUGUUUAUGGGAUACUCUGAUGUAGAACUAUUUUGAAAACAAAUUUGUAAUAAAUGAUGGUUUCUAAAUGUUUUAAGAAGUUUUAAAUUAGCCUGAUUUUUAUGGAUGUUACAAGUUGGUAUCAAAGCCUUGGUUUGAGUGAAUUGGAGGAAAAACUUGUGUGUCUCCAGUCUCAAACUGAGGACAAGAUUAUUAAAACGAUUUUCUUUAAAUGUUUUCAAAAUAAUAAAGGAGGAUGUAAGUGUAUGAUCAGUCGGAGCUCACGGAUAGACCCCAAAACACCUUACGGAUUAUUUGAUUUAUGUUAUAUGUUAGAACAUCAUGCUAUUACUAGGCUAGGGAUCUUCAAGAAUUGCAUGGUAGAAUUCCCUGAUUAUAUGAUGUCUAAUAGCCUAGGGUUUUUCAAUAUAUGAAAUUGACAUAAUUACUGUAGUUGCUUAGUGUAUGCAUCACGGUCAUACAUAAUUAAGAUCUUAUAGCCUGAGAAUGUUUGGUUUGGCCUUAUUUCAUGUUCUUGUUUAAUGAAGGGCUUAGGGUAGGAUCAUACAUUCGAAAGUCUAUAGGGUACAACAUUAUGUAUGGUUCGCAUACACAAGUGUUGCAGGGUUGGUGGGACUUUCAUGGAUGGGUUGUUGGAAUGAGUCCGCCGAUUAUGAGAUAUUUAGCCUUCCUCUAAGAGUGAGGAUUGAGUGCAUGCCAUGCUUGUGUAUAGAUUUAGGGCAUUGUGAUGAUACUUGAGACAAAUAUGGGUAGGUGUGGAAGGUAGUAUCGGCCCGUACUACUGAAAGAGCAGGACCCAUACACAUAGCAAGGAGGUCACAACCCCUAGGGUUUUGUUGGGGGUUGGUUCCUGGAUUGUUUUAUGGAAUAUCUGAUGUCUUCCUGGUAUGUUUUUUCAGCAUUGUAGUUACUCGGUGAUUUGUGACUAGAUUUGGGUCAGGAUCAGGAGACGACGGACAGGAGGCUUCCUUAGUGCCCGAGACUAUCGGCCAGAUGGGGCCAGACAAGAUGGACACCAUGAUCCGGGAGAUCCUGCAUGAUGAAGUGGAUGCGAUGUUCCGGUGUCACUUACUGGAGAUGUUUAGGUCUAUCAAGACCGCUAUGUUGUAAUAUUUCGAUGAUCGCUAUGCAUCCCUCACUGAGGCGGCUGCCGCAGUAGCCAAAACGGUUAUAAUAGCGGUAGGGGUAGGACCCAGUCAGGCUUUUCAGUAUCGGGACUUCGACAACACAAAACCCCUACUUUUGAUAGGACUUUGGACCCCAUCAAUGCCAUGAGGUGGUUAUUUGAGGAGGAGAGGUGUUUCUUCACGUGUUCAUGUCCUACUGACUAGAAGGUCAGAUAUGGCCUGAACCAUCUGAGGUCCUUAUGUAGAGGGGACGAGUGAUAGCCUACGUAUCGUGGCAGCUGAAGCUGCAUGAGACGAGAUACCCUACUCAUGGUUUGGAGCUGGGAGUAGUGGUAUUCACUCUCAAGAUUUUGAGACAUUACCUUUAUGGGGUUCGUUGUACCAUAUACAUGGACCUCAAGAGAUUGAGGUACAUCAUAGAUCAACCAAACCUGAACAUGAGACAGUGCACGUGGCUGGAUGUAGUCAAGGACUACAACUGUAAGAUCCUUUACCACCCAGGUAAAGCGAACAUGGAUGUGGAUGCUCUGAGCCACAAGUCAGCUGGAUCUACUACCCCAGUGGCAUGUAUGAGGAUUUCAAUCGAUUCUCCACUUGUGAGCUUGAUCAGGGAAGCUCAGGUAGAGGGUAUGCGUUGGGAGAACUAGAAACUUUAGAGGAUUAGGGUUGAGAACACUCGGUUUGUAUAGGAUCACCGGGGAUUAUUGACCCGUUGCGGUUAGGUCUGGGUUCCGAUGUCUGGUGGGGUCAGACAAACUAUUUUGGAGGAGGCUCAUAAGUCUCGCUUCUCUAUUCACCCGGGGGAUACCAAGAUAUACCAAGAUUUGCGACUAAAUUACUGGUGGCCGUGCAUGAAGCGAGAAAUCGCUUGGUACGUGGAGAGAUGCUUGACCUACAAGAUGGUCAAGGCCAAGCAGUAGAGGCCACAUUGCCAUCUACAACUUCUGGAGAUUCAUAUGUAGAAGUGGGAACAAGUCAUGAUGGAUUUUUGUUGGAAACGGUGUCUAAACCCAUAACUAUAAUUAGUAUGUACUUGAUACGAUAGUAGCAUGGUCCAUUUGGGUUGCAUUCAUCAAAGCAAUAUGUUAGGAAGGAUAUUUGAGUAAGAGGUUAAUUAUGAUUUAUUAAUAUAUUAUAAGUAUAAUAUAUUACUCGAGGAAUUAUAUUAUUUAAUUAGUAUUGAUCAAGAAUUAAUUUAGUGAUCAAAAGAGUCUAAUUAAAUUGAUACAUAUGGAUUGGGCUAAUGAUGCAUGAUUGAUUUGUGAUGGGCUUAUGGGUUAGUCCAUGAAGUGGUCAUUCAAAUCAAAUGGGUGGAUCAUAAGCUUAUGGGUAUGGAUUAAGGUUACACAUGACCCUUGAUAUUCUACACACACACACACACACACACACNAUAUAUAUAUAUAUAUAUUCAUAAGCUAAAAUCAGUUACAGAUACCAAUUGUAUUUUGAAGAGUAAGAACUGAUUUUAGAGUCUCCAUAACCUCUACAUAUUCAUACUAAUUGUUCUUGUGGUUUUGUGAUUCCAUUUAAGGCAUCACAUUUAGGGUGCUAAGCUUUCUUGAGGCUAAGUUAUUCAAGCUACUACACAAGGUAAUAUUCUAACUAGUUUUUAUGAUUCAAAUAUCACCUUGAAUACUAGUUUAGGCUUCAUGCUUGCGAAUAUGUUUAUUUCAUGUAUAAUUAGAGAAAAGUUAGAUCAAAAGCAUUAGGGUCGUAUAUGCAUCAUAGCAAUGUUAGAGUACAUAAAACCCAACAGUGGUAUCUGAGUCAUGAGUGUUUUCUAUUAUAUUGAUGCAAUUGUGUGAUUUUCAAACGCUGAAAAAUGACAAUUUUGGAUUCUGCCAGGGCUUACUCGACGAGUCCAUGUAUGAACUCGACAAGUAGGUGCCUUAUGAUGAUGAAAUGAUUGAGCUCAUAAGUUCACUCAACGAGUUGGACAAUCAAUAGGCAAAAUCUUCGAGUUUUUGGCCUUUUUGGAUUAGGAACAUUACCACAAACUUUUUUGGUUCAUAAAAUUCGAUUUUAAUGAUAUGGUAAUGUCUCUUCCCAUCCAAUAACAUGAUGUUUAUCAAAUUCUAAGAUAACUACCUGUUUUUGUGAUUUACUGGUUAUUUGUAAAUUUUGAAGUUAUCAUGUACUAUGAGUCAUAUUAGGUCAAAUUGGUAAAUGAUCUUCAUAUCAUAACUGUAUUAGUUAAUUUGGUUUAUGUGUGUUCUUGAAGAAGUUCCAUAGCUUGUCCAAAAGUUAUGUAAUAUGAAAAGUCUUUAUUUAUGAAACCAUUAACUAAUAUAAGUUAUAUAAUUCUAAGAGUCUUGAAAGAUUUCGUAACUUGUACACAAGUUUGGAAUUGGAAAGGUCUCAUUCAUGGAACAUAAAAGUUCAUACGUCAUGUAUGUCAAAAGUUUUUGACAAGUUACAAAACUUUCCCUCAAGUUUUGGAACUUGAAAAGUUACAUUAAUGAAACAUUAAUUCCAAACCCUAGAGUUUUAAAUGUUAAAUAUUCAACCCUUAUACUACUAAUAUAUUAAAGUUUAAUACUUAUAUAUAUAUAUAUAUAUANNNNNNNNNNNNNNNNNNNNNNNNNNNNNNNNNNNNNNNNNNNNNNNNNNNNNNNNNNNNNNNNNNNNNNNNNNNNNNNNNNNNNNUGGGGUAUAAGGUUAUUGCUUAUAAAAUGGUGGUUUAAUGGGUGUCCACUAUCACCCACCGUUUCCAUGACUGGUGGAGGGUCGUUAGCCGAACGGAUAGGAUAGGACACUAAUUAUCAUUAAUAAUUAUAGUGAAAGUUAUUAAAAUAACUAAACUUUUACAAAUUCCCAAUCUUAGUUACUUUAAGAAAAAAUGUGAAAAUCGAGCUAUUCCAUGAAAUUGCAUUUUGCACCUUGUUAAGUCGUUAGUAAAGCAUGUGUUGUUAACCAACACACUAGUUUGGGACUAACAAUGUGUGUCAAAGGGUAGCUUAUUGAUAAUCAUGGAUCAAUGGAGCGUGUGGUUAACCGGCACAUUGAUUAGGCGAUUUGUAACAUCGAGAGUACCAAGCUAAUUUCCAUGGUUAUUCACACCAUGUUUGUGAUCCUUGGUAUCCCAGUUACAAACUUGAAGGGCAUAAUCGAGAUUUAAACAUGCCAUUGAAGAGUUCAAUGAAUCUCAAAAGAAUCUAGGAAUUUCAAUUAAUUUAAAACCUAAUCUUUGAUUUUGUUUUUCAUGGUGGAAAUUGGUAAAUCGUCAUUUACUUAUCUUCAAAUAUUUUACAAUGGGAUUACGGCAUCCCUCUUUCGAAUUGUAGAAUAUUGUGUUGGGUCCUAGCCUUAAUAUUCCAUUUUGGGUGUUAUAUAAAGGAUCCUUAUCUAAUCUAAACUUUGUAAUUCUUUUUAGCUGUCUACUUCAAACAAUGCUUCCUGCCCAAUCCCUUUCGGCUCUUUCUCCCGUAUGAACUUAUGUGGGAGGGUCAUCUUCGAUGGAUCAAAUUUCAAUGAUUGGAUUCGAAAUAUCCACAUGGAUAUUCGUUAUGAGGAGAAAGAAUAUAUCCUUGAUAAAGAGCUUAAGGAAAUUUAUGAAUCAACUGCUACACCCAAACAUAUUGCUUAGUACAAAACUCAUGAAAGGGACGCGACCAAAGUGUCGUGUAUAAUGAUCGCUACCAUGACUACUGAGCUUCAGAAGUCCUAUGAGGACUUUUGGCCUUAUGAAAUGCACCAGGAUUUGAUGAAAGGUACCAUCAAAGUGCUCGAUAGGAGAGGUAUGAGAUCAUUGCUUCCAUGAUCACGACCAAAAUGAAGGAUAGAGAAUCCAUCACGACCUACUUGCAAAAGAUGCAAAGUUUUGUGGACCGCUUGCUGAAGUUGAAUGUCAACUUUGAUGAAGAGUUAGCUAUAUAUAUUAUUCUACACUCUUUACCACCUUGUUAUGAUUAGUUUCGUAUAACUUAUCAUAUGAACAAGGUGGAGGUCACUCCAAGCAAGAUUCAAGUUCUCUUGAGAACUGCUGAAAGUAGUUUGAAAGGUAAAUCUGUUGUACCUACUCCUACUACAAAUUCCCCUGUCCUGGCAAUUGAACAUAGAAAGGGAAAGAAGAAGAAGACUCCUUCCAAUAGUCAUAAGGGAAAGUCCCACGCUGGAUCCUCUUCUAGUGUAACCAAAGUUGGUUCUGUCACACCCUCUUCCAAUCCAAAGGAAGCCGAGUGCUUCUAUUUCCAUGAAAAAGGGCGCUAGAGACGAAGCUGACCCAAAUACUUGCAGGACAUAAAGGAUGGGAAGAUCAAACCCUCCUUUGCAGGUAUUUAUACUAUUCUAUCUAAUAACUCAUCACAUGCUAAUUCUUGGGUCCUUGAUAUAGGAUGUGGUUUUCAUAUUUGUUCUGAUUUGCAGAGUCUAAAAAGAAGUAGGGAUGUGGAGCACGGGAAGAUGAACUUAAUCAUGGGGAAUAGGAAAAAUUCGCUUGUCACCAAGAUUGAAGUUUAUUCUUUAUUGCUUAGUAGUGGGUUAAAAUUAGAUUUGAAUAAUUGUUGCAACACGUCUGAUAUGGCGAGAAAUAUUAUUUCCUUUAACAGUUUGUAUGAACAAGGUUUUACCUUUUCUUUUAAUAAUGAAAUUGGUUCAAUAAAUGAUUAUUUUAAUGGUGUAUUUUAUUUUGAAGAAUUACCUUGUAAUGGCAUAUAUGAAACUGUGAUAGUCGUAGAUAACUUAGGAAAUAAUGUGUUGCAUAUUGAUUCAUCCAAUGAUUUGGAUAAAGCAUGCUUAUGGCAUUAUCAUCUUGGACAUGUCAACAAGAAGUGCAUAGCCCAACUCCAAAAGGACGGAGUGUUGGAAUCAUUUGACUUAAAGUCAGAUGACACUUGUGCAUAUUGUUUACUUGGAAAGAUGACUAAGUCACCCUUCACUGGUUCUUGUGUAAGGGGUGAAGGUUUGUUGGACCUCAUACAUACUGAUGUGUGUAGAUCCUUUAGAGUCGGCACAAGGGAUGCUAACGGCUUCUAUGUGACUUUUACUGAUGAUUACAACAUAUAUGAAAAUGUCUACUUAAUCAAGCAUAAGUUAGAAACUUUGAAAAGUAAAAAUUGUUUAAGCAAGAAGUGGAGAAUCAAUUGGGUAGGAAGAUACAGAUUUUUCGAUUUCAUUGUGGAAGAGAGUAUCUUAGUAUUGAGCUCCACGACUAUCUUAAGGAAUGUAGAAUUGUCUCACAAUUGACGCCACCUAGGACACCAAAUCUUAAUGGUGUAGUGUCACAACUAGGAAUGUUGAUGCCUUGUAAACAUUGAACAAUGAUAACGAAUGUGAACCAACAAUGUGGAAGCAUGUAGGAUGCUUAUUCAAUAACAACAGAAUUUCAAUUAAACACUUCAUACAAGCACUGCAGAUAGUCACCAAAGAAUUGGAAACCCUAGAAAUCCCGGUUUAUGUCCAUUCUGGACUAGGAUUUCCUUAUUGGGCCAAUGGGCCAGUAGGCUUCCAAUUUGACUAUCUUGGGCUUAUAACUCUUAAAUGGGCUCUAAUUGGACCCACUUCCAUAUAUUUUAAAUAUUUUGGGCCAUAUUGGGCCUAGAAUGAAAUAAAAUACCUAAAUGGACCUUCUUGGGCCAUAACUAACCUAAUUAGCCCUAAUUAGCCAUAAAAAUCAUUUCUUGAUUUACUUUGGGCCAAAAGCUAUCUAAUUGAACUAUAAUGUGGGCUUAAGCACUCAAGGCCUAAUUUUCUUUCUUCCUUCCUCCUUCUCUCGGCCCAACUACAGAAAAUGGAGAGGAAGAGUUGACUUUUAAGGUUGCCACCUCAUUAAUACACCGCAUACUUCCAUGCAAGGACCAACAUGCAUCUAAGAUAGUCACCUCAACUCUCUCUUUCUCUUCUUCUUCUUGAUUCUCGGCUGAGAGGAGACACACACACACACACUCACAAAAUUCAUUCCAACUCUUUCCAAAUUCCCUCAAGAACACUUGCACUCAUUCUUCAAAAUUUCGAGAUCUAGAGCUAUUCAAGGAGUUUCUUCCACAAAAAUCAUCAUCCAAGGUAAGUUGGAGCUUAAAUCUAUAAUUUAACUCACUUCUUUUCAUCAAAAAUCACCUCUUAAUCCUUUCAAAUUCAUGAUCUUGCAUCUUAGAAACCCUCUAAGUUCGAGAUCAACAAAGGAGGGCUUGCUAGGGCCAAAAGUAACAUCAAACUUCUUCCAAUCUUCUUCAAAAACGAAAUCACAACUCAAGGUGAGUUUCAUACCCCCUUCUUUUCGGUUUUUAUGAGUUUUAUGGGGGAGAAUACAAGUAAAUGUGUAGAUCUAUGUGUAAAUGUAUGCUAUGUGUGAUUUGAUGCAUGUAUGUGUGUGGUAUCAUGUGUUUUGUGAUGAAUAUGUUAUCCAAAAAGUGUGUAAAAACCGAGAUCUAAAACAUGAGGAAGGAAAUAAACAUAACUUAAACUAUUUUACACUAAUCAAGUCAAGAAAAAUAGUUUAAAUGGUUAGGAUGACAUACUUGAACAUAAAACCCAUUUUUGGGCUUAAAUUGUCAAAAAUUCAAAACUGUAAAAGUUGCGAAAUUGGGGGUUUUAACUGAGAAAACAUCAUUCUGGAAAGGCUAAAGCUAUUUACAAAAUAAAUUUUGGGUUAAAAAUGUCUUUUCAACAAGUUUAUGAUACAAAAGUGUAAAAAAAUGUUCUAAGGACUAAAAAUGAAAUUCUUUUAUAUAAAGGACUAAAAGUGCUAUUUUUAUAAAAGAAAGGUUGUGAAAAGGUAAAAAUCUUACUUUUAAACAAAUUAAUUCAUUAAGACAAAAUACAAGAUCCACGACUACCGACGAAACUAAAAAACAAAUACACUCUCAACAACAAAUAUUGUUACAAAACGAAUUGAUUCAGUCUCGAAUCAAUAAUAAAACAAAAAUCAAUAACCCAAGUAAUUCGUUAAACACGCGAUAACUAUGAUGAGUCAACAUACAAACUUUGGGCUUGAAAGUUUCAAAUCGUGCUUGUUGGGCCUUGCUAGCCCAAUAACAUGAUCUUUGGGCCUGAAGGGAAUGCGCUCCCAAUUCCAUGUAAAAGGACUUUCAAUAGCUCUAUUGUGCUAUUGGGCCCUAGUGGUCCAUUAGUACUGCUAGUGAGGCCGAGAAGUCAAAUGCGAGCUGGACCAAGUGUCUUUCGCAUUCCCGAUAGCCCGGAAUAACUCAUGGAAGCAAGAGAGGGCUUCGUACCCUCCUUUCUCCUCGGUUGACCGGCCUAUAAGAAUUCGAGUAAUCAGAUUCGUGGCGUUAAUCAAGAGAAGUCAGGGUGGUUGGAUUAGGUGAGUAGUACAAACGACGCCUUAAGGAUCGUUCGUAACCUGUAGUUACAAACUAGUCAUUUUCAUUAAUGCGUGAUUGUAACAACUCACAAACCUUAAUUAAUCCAAUGUCACCUGGGUAAUAAAAAACAAUCGUCGUAUCGGUAUAACAAUAAACAAGUCAUGUAAUUUACGUAUUGGGAAAACAUUGGGUUUUCCCGGGAAGUUCAACAUUUUCACCUAUGUGUUGUAUACAAAGUUCCACAAUUAUACAUGUUUUAAAAACCUACAAGCAUAUUUACGGAUCUUCACACUUUUUAUAAACAAAUACUCUUUUCAGAAAAUAUCGGAUUUUAUGGGUUUUACAAACUACACCAAACUAUUUUGCUACAACAUUACUUAUGAACUCACCAAUAUUUCAUAUGUUGAUUUUUUCAAAAUAACUUGUAUUCUCAGGUAAUAGGUUAGCCGAAGAAUAAGUACCAAGUUAUGUCAUGGUGUUUUGCUUAGAUUACCUAUCGAACGGUUUAUGUUAUGAAAUUGUAAUGACUAAAACAAUGUAAUAGAUGUAAACAAUAUUAGUUGUAUUAUUUCAAUGCAUGGUGAUGAAUGAUGUUAUGAUUCAUGUAUAAUCAUUGUGAUGGUAUUCAAUUUAAGUCACAAGAGCCCUCAGACGUUUCCGCCGUCUGGUUCGGGGGUGUGACAGGUUGGUAUCAGAGCUCUGUUUAUAGUGAACUAGCAUAUCUAACCACACAUUGAUAUGCAACUAUAAACCAAAAAGAGGGACUAACACAACUCUGAACAAAACAAGUAAAACAUAACAAUAAAAACACCCUUACUUGUAUUAGGAAAAAGAACAUAAUACCGAACCAAACAAGAUAAUGCUUGUAUCUCGGUUAAGCCAUGACUGUUCUUAGUCGUAUCAAGGAGUGGAUGUAGCCUGAUCAACUACAUUCCCUCCAAGGUACAACUAUCACAUGUCCUGAGGAAAUCGUGAUGACUAGGGAAUCUAAAAACAUACCCCUUUAUCACCAAAAAGAGAACAUCCGUUCAAUCUAUGCAAUAGUUGUAGAGUCAUAGGAGUAAUGAUAGUUUAUUCGUAUACCUCCUCCCAGUCUUCAUGGAAGGAGAGCUGCAUGGCAUUCAGUUUCAUCAAGUCUUAGUGGCUCAUGGGAUGCUUGAAGAUGAACCUGAAGGGAAUGAAGGGGAAGCACACAACGUCGGGCCUGACGAGUACACGGACACCGACUACGAGUUCGAGGAGGCCGAUGAUGACAUGGAGAAAGAAUAAGACUCGGGCAAAGAUCACACCACGUCCUCUAUCAGCGAGGUGCAACAGGACCACCCUGCCCCACCAGUGAAUCCCACAAGGGAGAAUCGCUCCCCCGAAGUUGAGAUUGCCGCCCUGCGGCAACAGCUGUUCUCCAUGGAAGCACGUGCAGUGCGAGCUGAGCAUGAGAGGGAUGAGGUCAUUGGGGACAUGAGUGAGAUGGCUCAGUUGUUGGCUCAACACUUCGGCAUAUGAUCUCGCCACUAUCUUAGGACACUCCAUAGAGUAUUAGGGAUAGACUUACCUUACUAUGUUAUUAGGAUCACAACCUCACAAAAACCACAGACACUCAACAUCUUUCCGUUCCAUGACAUAAAGAUGCGUCAACGACCCACUCGUGGAAACCAUGGGCCAACCCCACCCGAAGUCGACUCAGCUGCAUUCCAAGCAGCUGUAUCUGCUGCACUCACCUCAGCAAUGGCACAAAUUCACCAAGGGAACAAUGGAGGAGUCAACGGAAAAGGGUCCGGAAGUUCGAACAACGGGAUGAAUCAAGGACCCACCAAAACAUGUUCCUACAAAGACUUCACCAACGCCAAACGACAAACCUUUAACAGCACUGGAGGGACGAUCACCCUGAAAUGCUGGAUCGAGAAGGUGGAAUCGGUAUUCGAGACAUGCGAUUGUCCUGAGGAGAUGAAGGUGAAGUUUCCCGCAUGCACUUUUGUUGACCAAGCGCUCACUUGGUGGAACGGACACGUGGAAGCCAUGACACUCCCGAUAGCCAAUUCCAUGCCAUGGACAGAGAUGAAAGAAAUGUUGCUGGCCGAGUAUUGCCCUCAUGGUGAAAUUCAGAAAAUGGAACAAGAGCUGUGGAAUCUCACUGUCCGGAACGCUGAUAUAGAUGCCUACAUAUCAAGGUUUAGCGAACUGUCUCUGCUGUGCCCUGGCAUGAUUACCUCAGAAGGUAAGAAGGUCGAGCGAUUCAUCUGGGGACUAACCUCCCCGAUCCAAGGAAAUGUGAUAGCUGCAAAUCCCGAAACUUUUGACAGUGCCAAGAGAUUGGCCAAGAAGUUGUAUGACCACAACAACAAGAAGGGUGAGAAGCCAGUGGAGACUGAAGUUAAGAAGGAAAAUGAUAGCAAGAAGGGGAAGAACAACAAGAGAAAGGGACGUCAAGGAUCCGAAUCAUCCAAGAAGCAGCAAACAGUGGCAGUUAAUGUUGUGACCACUCAAGUUCCAUCCACACCACAUGCUCCAGCCUCAGCUGCUCCAAGUGCUCCUAGACCUUAUUCUGGUAAUCUUCCCAAGUGCAACAAGUGUGGUCUCCAUCACAAUGGAGAAUGCAUAGAGAUGCAGUGCACCAGUUGCAAUUGGAAGGGGCACACGGCAAAGUACUGCAGGACUUACCCUCCUCAGAACCAACAACAGGGAAACAAUAACAACAAUAACCGCAACACCAACAACACCAACAAUGGCGGCAACAAUGCAGGACCUAGCCACACCUGCUAUGGAUGCGGAAGGACUGGGCAUUUCCGUCAAAACUGCCCCAACAACAACAAUCCCGGAAAUGGAGGAACAGGAAGGGUGCUGACCAUGGGUCAGGGAGAAGUGAUUCAGGAUCCCGCUAUUGUUACCGGUACGUUUCUCCUAAACCACACUUAUGCAUGCAUCCUAUUUGAUACUGGAGCAGAGCGAAGUUUUGUGAGCAAUAAGUUUAAACAUUUGUNAGUGGAGUGAAGUUUUGUGAGCAAUAAGUUUAAACAUUUGUUUAAACAACAACCCAGAAGCUCAAUGAAACCUUUACGGUGGAAAUGGCCAAUGGGAAAACCGAAUCCACUGGGGAAGUCUACAUCGGAUGUACCCUAACUCUAAAUCAACACGUAUUCCGAAUAGACUUAAUGCCUAUUUCCAUUAGGAGUUUUGAUGUGAUUAUUGGCAUGGACUGGUUAAGCCCCCACCAUGCUAAAAUUAUGUGUCACGAGAAGGCGGUUCGCCUUCACCUCCCUGACCACGAAACCCAAGUUAUAUACAGAGACAAACCUAGCACGAACCUUCGUCUCAUCUCGUGCGUCCAGGCUCAGAAGCAUCUGCGAAAGAAUGAGUUGACGUUCCUGGCGCACAUAGUGGAUAAAACCAAGGAAGAGGUUAACAUUCGAGACAUUCCAGUAGCAUGUGAAUUCCCAGAAAUAUUUCCCGAGGAUCUUCCUGGAGUACCCCCAGAGAGACAAGUUGAAUUCCGAAUUGAUCUUGUUCCAGAAGCUACUCCCAUCGCUAAAUCGCCUUACCGAUUAGCUCCUACUGAGAUGCAGGAAUUGUCCAGUCAACUCAGUGAACUCCUGGGCAAGGGAUUCAUCCGACCCAGCUUCUCGCCAUGGGGAGCUCCAGUCCUCUUUGUCAAGAAAAAGGACGGAUCUUUUAGGAUGUGCAUCGAUUACAGGGAACUAAACAAGCUCACUUUCAAAAAUCGAUAUCCACUACCAUGAAUCGACGAUCUAUUUGACCAGCUCCAAGGAGCUAGAUACUUCUCUAAGAUAGAUCUACGAUCCGGGUACCAUCAACUCAAGGUCCGGGAAGAGGAUAUUCCCAAAACCGCUUUCCAAACUCAUUACGGACAUUAUGAAUUUGUCGUAAUUCCCUUCGGUCUAAUGAAUGCCCCUGCCGCAUUCAUGGACCUAAUGAAUUGAAUCUGCCAACCAUUCCUCGACAACUGUGUUAUUGUUUUCAUUGACGACAUUCUAGUCUAUUCCCAAAGUGAAGAAGAGUAUGGCCAACAUCUCCGACAAAUCCUGGAAACCCUGCGAACUGAGAAGCUAUACGCAAAACUCUCCAAGUGUGAGUUCUGGCUCCGUUGCGUGAACUUUUUGGGUCAUGUUAUUAGUCAGGAAGGAAUACAUGUGGAUCCUUCAAAUGUCAAAGCCAUCGAAGGAUGGGCAGUCCCGACAACACCCACAUAAAUUCGCCAAUUCUUAGGCCUAGUAGGUUACUACAGGAGGUUCAUUCAGAACUUCUCUAAGAUCGCCAAGCCAUUUACCUCGCAUACACAAAAGGGCGUACCCUUCAAAUGGACGGACAAACAAGAAGUUGCAUUCUGAACUCUGAAGCGAGCACUCUGCAGUGCCCCGGUACUAUCUCUACCAGAGGGAAUGGAAGAUUUCGUGGUGUACUGUGACGCGUCAAAUCAGGGUUUAGGUUGCGUUCUCAUGCAGCGUGGAAAAUUGAUAGCUUACGCAUCCUGCCAACUAAAGACACACGAAGUGAAUUAUACAACCCACGAUCUAGAAUUGGGAGCAGUGGUCUUCGCUAUGAAGAUUUGGAGGCAUUACCUCUAUGGUACGAAGUGCACCAUCUUCACCGACCACAAGAGUCUCCAACACAUCCUGAAUCAAAAAGAGCUGAAUAUGAGGCAAGGAAGAUGGGUUGAACUAUUAAACGAUUAUGAGUGUGAAAUCAAGUACCACCCAUGCAAGGCUAAUGUUAUAGCUGAUGCCUUGAGCCGGAAAGAGUACUCUAAUCAUUAUGUGAAAACUCUCUCAGUAACCAUCCAAUCUCGCCUAACCACUCAGAUUAGGGCAACCCAAUCAGAUGCCAUGAAGGCGGAAAACAAAACAAGCGAAGCAUUAUGCGGGAUGGAGAAGAAUCUCGAGGUGAAAGAGGAUGGAGUAUACUAUUUCAUGAACCGUAUUUGGGUCCCUAAACUUGGAGGAUUUAGGGAGAUAGUCAUGAAUGAAGCUCACAUGACGGGAUACGCCAUACAUCCAGGUUCGGACAAAAUGUACUUGGAUAUUAAACAACAUUAUUGGUGGCCUAACAUGAAGGCAGAGAUUGCCACCUAUGUCAGCAAAUGCCUUACUUGCGCCAAAGUGAAGGUGGCAUACCAUAAGCCCUCAGGAUUAUUACAACAACCAGUAAUUCCCGAGUGGAAAUGGGAAGGGAUUUCUAUGGACUUUGUGACCAAGCUACCCAAGACAUCAGAUGGAUUGGACACUAUAUGGGUAAUAGUUGACCGACUGACGAAAUCCGCUCAUUUCCUGCCAACAAAAGAAUUCUACAAGAUGGAGAGACUGACAAGAAUAUACAUUCGAGAAAUUGUGAGGCUUCAUGGAGUUCUAGUGUCUAUUAUCUCGGAUAGAGAUAGUAGGUUCACUUCACGUUUUUGGCAAUCACUUCAGAAAGUACUGGGAACCCAUCUCGACAUGAGCACUGCUUAUCACCAACAAACGGAUGGUCAAAGUGAAUGAACCAUUCAAACGCUUGAAGACAUGCUUCAUGCAUGUGUGAUAGACUUUGGGAAGUCCUGGGAUACCCACUUACCCUUAGUUGAAUUCUCGUAUAACAACAGUUACCAUUCGAGCAACAAAGUCGCUCCUUUCGAAGCGCUAUAUGGACGUAAGUGUAGAUCACCGUUGUGUUGGGAUGAGGUGGGCGACACCCAGCUAGCGAGGGGACUAGCAUCAUACAAGACAUUAACGGGACUGGAGAUCAUACGGGAAACCACAGAAAAGAUAGUUCAAAGCAGAGCUCGACUACAAGCAUCAAGCGACCGACAAAAGAGAUAUGCUGAUAAACGGUGAAAGCCCUUAGAGUUUCAGGUCGGGGAUCGAGUGCUGUUAAAAGUUUCUCCCUAGAAAGGGGACAUUCGUUUUGGAAAACGGGGAAAACUCAACCCACGAUACAUUGGACCUUUCGAGGUUCUUGCCCGAAUUGGUCCAGUGGCGUACAGACUGCAGCUACCCACGGAGCUCAGCAGUGUACACCUUGUGUUCCAUGUUUCCAAUCUAAAGAAGUGCCUAUCCGAUGAAACUCUCGUCAUUACCCUUGACGAAAUUGAAAUCAACGAGAAUCUCCUGUUCAUCGAAGAACCGGUCGAAAUCAUGGACAGGGAGGUGAAGCGUACUAAGCAAAGUCGCAUCCUGAUCGUGAAAGUAUGGUGGAACGCAAAGCGUGGGCCAGAAUUCACGUGGGAACGCGAAGACCAAAUGAAGCAAAAGUACCCUCAUCUAUUCUAACAUUCUCAAAUCUAGCUUUCAAAAGAAUUUUGGGACAAAAUUCCCUCUAACGGGGGGAUGAUGUCACAACUAGGAAUUUUGAUGCCUUGUAAACAUUAAACAAUGAUAAAAAAAAUGUGAACCAACAAUUUGGAAGCAUGUAGGAUGCUUAUUCAAUAACAACAGAAUUUCACUCAAACACUUCAUACAAGCACUGUAGAUAGUCACCAAAGAAUUGGAAACCCUCGAAAUCCCGGUUUAAGUUCAUUAUGGACUAGGAUUUCCUUAUUGGGCCCAAUCGGCCAAUAAGCUUCCAAUUUGACUAUCUUCAGCUUAGAACUCUUAAAUGGGCUCUAAUUGGAACCACUUCCAUAUAUUUUAAAUAGUUUGGUCCAUAUUGGGCCUAGAAUGAAAUAAAAUACCUAAAUGGACCUUAUUGGGCCAUAACUAACCUAAUUAGCCCUAAUAAGCCAUAAAAAUCAUUUCUUGAUUUACUUUGGGCCAAAAGCUAUCUAAUUGAACCAUAAUGUGGGCUUAAGCACUCAAGGACCAAUUUUCUUUCUUCCUUCCUCCUUCUCUCGACCCAAUUACACAAAAUAAAGAGGAAGAGUUGACUUUUAAGGUUGCCACCUCAUUAAUACACCACAUACUUCCAUGCAAGGACCAACAUGCAUCUAAGAUAGUCACCUCAACUCUCUCUCUCUUCUUCUUCUUGAUUCUCGGCCGAGAGGAGACACACACACACACACUCACAAAAUUCAUUCCAACUCUUUCCAAAUUCCCUCAAGAACACUUGCACUCAUUCUUUAAAAUUUUGAGAUCUAGACCUUUUCAAGGAGUUUCUUCCACAAAAAUCAUUAUUCAAGGUGAGUUGGAGCUUAAAUCUAUGAUCUAACUCACUUCUUUUCAUCAAAAAUCACCUCUUAAUCCAUUCAAAUUCAUGAUCUUGCAUCUUAGAAACCCUCUAAGUCUGAGAUCAACAAAGGAGGGCUUGCUAGGGCCAAAAGUAACAUCAAACUUCUUCCAAUCUUCUUCAAAACCGAAAUCACAACUCAAGGUGAGUUUUAUACCCCCUUCUUUUCGGUUUUUAUGAGUUUUAUGGGGGAGAAUACAAGUAAAUGUGUAGAUCUAUGUGUAAAUGUAUGCUAUGUGUGAUUUGAUGCAUGUAUGUGUGUGAUAUCAUGUGUUUUGUGAUGAAUAUGUUAUCCAAAAAGUGUGUAAAAACCGAGAUCUAAAACAUGAGGAAGGAAAUAAACAUAACCUAAACCAUUUUACACUAAUCAAGUCAAGAAAAAUAGUUUAUAUGGUUAGGAUGAACAUACUUGAACAAAAAACCCAUUUUUGGGCUUAAAUUGUCAAAAAUACAAAGCUUAGGGUCCAAACCGACACAUUAUAGUUUCUGGAAGGGCAAAAGGGUCCAAAAAGUGUCUAUAAUAAUUUUUCUGAACAACAACAUUUUUGAGGGACUUAAAAUGUAAAUUUUGAACUUAAUGGGCUAGAUUUGGGCUUUUCGGCCCAACAAGCCUCAAAUUGCGAAAUUUACAAGUUUGAGGGGCUGGAAGUGUAACUCUCUGUAAAACAGGGGAUUUGAAGUGUAAUAAAACUAUUUCAAAUGUCAAAAAUUCUUUUCAAAUUCAAAAAGGAUAAAAAAUGUAAAUUUUUUCUAUUUUGGGCCAAAACUGUAAAAGUUGCGAAAUUGGGGGUUUUAACCGAGAAAACAUCAUUCUGGAAGGGCUAAAGCUGUUUACAAAAUAAAUUUUGGGUUAAAAAUGUCUUUUCAACAAGUUUUGAUACAAAAGUGUCAAAAAAAUGUUCUAAGGACUAAAAAUGAAAGUCUUUUAUAUAAAGGACUAAAAUUGUUAUUUUUAUAAAAGAAAGGUUGUGAAAAGGUAAAAAUCUUACUUUUAAACAAAUUAAUUCAUUAAGACAAAAUAAAAGAUCCACGACUACCGACGAAACUAAAAAACAAAUACACUCUCAACAACAAAUAUCGUUACAAAACGAAUUGAUUCGAUCUCGAAUCAAUAAUAAAACAAAAAUCAAUAACCCAAGUAAUUCGUUAAACACGCGAUAACUAUGAUGAGUCAACAUACAAACUUUGGGCUUCAAAAGUUUCAAAUCGUGCUUGUUGGGCCUUGCUAGCCCAAUAACAUGAUCUUUGGGCCUGAAGGGAAUGCGCUCCCAAUUCCAUGUAAAAGGACUUUCAAUAGCUCUAUUGUGCUAUUGGGCCCUAGUGGUCCAUUAGUACUGCUAGUGAGGCCGAGAAGUCAAAUGCGAGCUGGACCAAGUGUCUUUCGCAUUCCCGAUAGCCCGGAAUAACUCAUGGAAGCAAGAGAGGGCUUCGUACCCUCCUUUCUCCUCGGUUGACCGGCCUAUGAGAAUUCGAGUAAUCAGAUUCGUGGCGUUAAUCAAGAGAAGUCAAGGUGGUUGGAUUAGGUGAGUAGUACAAAUGACGCCUUAAGGAUCGUUCGUAACCUGUAGUUACAAACUAGUCAUUUUCAUUAAUGCGUGAUUGUAACAACUCACAAACCUUAAUUAAUCCAAUGUCACCUGGGUAAUAAAAAACAAUCGUCGUAUCGGUAUAACAAUAAACAAGUCAUGUAAUUUACGUAUUGGGAAAACAUUGGGUUUUCCCGGGAAGUUCAACAUUUUCACCUAUGUGUUGUAUACAAAGUUCCACAAUUAUACAUGUUUUAAAAACCUACAAGCAUAUUUACGGAUCUUCACACUUUUUAUAAACAAAUACUCUUUUCAGAAAAUAUCGGAUUUUAUGGGUUUUACAAACUACACCAAACUAUUUUGCUACAACAUUACUUAUGAACUCACCAAUAUUUCAUAUGUUGAUUUUUUCAAAAUAACUUGUAUUCUCAGGUAAUAGGUUAGCCGAAGAAUAAGUACCAAGUUAUGUCAUGGUGUUUUGCUUAGAUUACCUAUCGAACGGUUUAUGUUAUGAAAUUUUAAUGACUAAAACAAUGUAAUAGAUGUAAACAAUAUCAGUUGUAUUAUUUAAAUGCAUGGUGGUGAAUGAUGUUAUGAUUCAUGUAUAAUCAUUGUGAUGAUAUUCAAUUUAAGUCACAAGAGCCCUCGGACGUUUCCGCCGUCUGGUUCGGGGUUUGACAUGUAGCUGAGAGGAACAAUCGAACCUUGCUAGACAUGGUUCAUUCCAUGAUGAGUCGAGCUUCUUUACCUAUCUCAUUCUAAGGGUAUGCCUUACAAACUGCAGCCCAUAUCCUUAAUCUAGUCUCAACUAAAAAGGUUUCCAAAACACCUCACAAAAUGUGGACAGGGAAGGUUCCCUGAUUAGCACAUAUCAAGGUUUGGGGUUGCGAGGCUUUCAUAAGACGAGAGACUCACGACAAUCUUGAAACUCGUAGUGAGCGAUGUAUUUUCAUUGACUACCCAUAGAAAUCCUUUGGAUAUCUGUUCUAUAGACCAAGUGACAAUGUUGUGUUCGUUGCAUGGAUAAGAGUUUCCCGCGAGAGGGAACUCAUAUGCCAGAUGGACAGUGGGAGGAAAAUUGACCUUGAAGAGCUUCAAGAGUUAAGUGAUUAAGGAACCUCAAACACUAAUGCUCAACUCGAGGAGGAAACUCCUGUUGAACCAAUUAACGAGUCCUUAACUCUAAGGCGUUCUGGUAAAGUUAGACAGGCAUCUGAGUUUUAUGGUUUCCAUAUUACUUCUUGUAACAUCCCCAAACCGAAUUGGCGGAAACAUUCGGGGGCGGAGGACGUCACGCACAGUAUCAUAACAAUGCAUAAUAGUAAACAAGCAACAACAUCAUCAAUUGCAUUAAUAGAAUAAUUUAUACAUGUGUGUUUUAAAUGUAAAUACUUAUAUAUAUAUAUAUAUAUANNNNNNNNNUGUGCUCCGUCUUCUCAAAACCUGUCACUUGUACCUGUCUACUGGUGACCUGAGAAUACAAGUUAUUUUGAAAGAGAGGAUCAACAUUUAAGUUGGUGAGUUCAUAAGUAUUUUAGUGUAAAAUGUUUGUAUAAGAAAAUGUUUGUUGUAAAAGUUUUUGUAAAUGUUUGUAGUGAAAGUUUGUUGUAAAUGUUUGUAUUUCCUAGAAAAUCCAAUAUUUUCUACUAUAAAUGUAGCCAUCUACCAAGACCCAAAUGUUCUGAAUGCUGUUUGUUUGUAAAAGUGUGUGUUUUUCCCAGUGUUCUAAAAGGCGCUCCAUGGCGGGUGCCAAGGCGCACCAUGGCGUGAGGCGCGACGUCACCGUUACGAAAAGCUUCAUAACGUUGCUGUUAGGCGUGGCGUGUGACAAGGCGUGAUAUGGCGUGACAUGGCGCGUUAUGGCGUGUUAUGGCGCGUGUUUUUUCGUUUGAGACACGUUUUUUUGCUCUUUUUUAUACCUUUUCUAAUCGGACAUACAAGUAUUUUGUUUUUUAUUAACUUUCUGUUAUUAGUUGUUGAUAUAACACUUCUAAAAACUAGAUAUAUUUGAUAUAAAUUUAUAUUUAUGCGGUAAUAUAAUUAUAAAUUAAUACAAAAUCGCCGCCUUACAUCACGCCUUGAAAAACGCCAUGGCUCGCCAUAACUCGUUAAGCUUGAGGCUUGGCCUUGCCGCCACGCCAUGCCUCACGCCUUUUAGAACCUUGGUUUUUCCUAAGUAUGACUAUCAUUACAAAAAUAUAGUUUUACGUUUCCGUUUAUGUGAGAAGAUCACAAAGUGAAUGAAAUAAAUAAAAUAAUAAUGUAUUGUAGUAUUGUAUAUAGUAACUAUUGUUGUACUAACUACCUUAAACCAAUUGUUAAUUAAGGUAUAAUGUGAUAUGAUUGUAACCAUACUUGAUAGACUUGUAGACAACACGAUGCUCGAAGACGUUGAAAUGUUAUGACAUUCGUCACCCGUAGACCUGCAGGUCCCACUGUAGCUAGCAGCAUGGUGUAGGAUGGUCAAUCCAGUAUAGAUCUAUACAUAAAUUCACGCUCUCCCUCCAGGAGACUCUGGUUACAAAACGUGACAUAGCAGUAUGAUGCCAUGCCAUGAAUUAGUGGCUCACAUUAAUGUUAUAGUAUUCUUGUAUUUGUAUAGUAUGCUCUGUCUGUUCUAGUGUAUUGUAUGUUCUCUUUCUAUAGUGUAUAGUAUGUUCCUUUGUAUAGUGUAUAGUAUGUUGGUCCUUGUUUCUCAUUAUAGUAUGGUCUUUAUGUUUCUCAUUAUAGUAUAUUCUUUCUAUUUCUCGUUAUAGUAUGUUUGAACUGACUCAUGUAUGAACUGACUCUUGUAUGUUUCAUUGUACUAGAAAUAGUGAAUAGUAAUCUCCUAAACUAUACCUAUUAUAGUUUACUAGUGAUGUUGUUUGAAUAACUGAGUAUGCUGUACACCUUUGAUACUCAAAAGCGUUAAACUGAUGUAUGAAACUUUUAUAUCUAUACAAAUAUACAUAAUAUAUAACUAAGAUCCAAAUGACAUUCGGACAAACAACCGAUACCCUAAGUCCACAACCAAACAAGGAACACGAAAUAAAGUGAGUUAUCAGUCCUAAGCCUUUUCAAUCUUAUUUAUAUAACUAUAUCUGAAUAGACAUGAUUUUGACAAUAUAUAAGUUUAAUAGAUUUUGAUAAAGUGUGUAGCAUACAAAAGAGUUUGACAAAAGGGUUUUGAAAUAGUUUGUUUGAUAACACAGUUUUGAUGUAUAAGAAAUCCACUUGUUUGAUAGUUAUUAAUCACAUGUGAUUGAUAUAAUAACUAUAAUGUUUCUACUUGUAUCCCCCCAUAAAAGCAUUUAAAAUCAUUUAAAAGGUAAGUUAGGGGUAUGAACUCACAUGCAGUGAGUGAUUCAAAUGUAAGAUCGAUUGUAGGAUGCUAAGUGUCAUGUGAAGCCUUGAGCACAAACGGAUCCUAUUAAGCAUAUAAUGACACAUAUAUGGAUAUAAUUAGUGUAUGUAUAACUAAUCAUGCAAGGAAACCACCUUAGGGACUAGGAAAAACACUUAGAAUGAAGUAUUAUAAUCACAUGUGAUUGCAUCAAAGGGGUUUACGGCCACACUAAGGUGUGUAUGGCCAAAGUGGUCUACGGCCAUUGAGUGUACGAUCAUGGAGUGUAUGGCCGUACACUCAUAGAAGAAACAUGCAAAAAGGGUUGUUUACGACCCUAUCUAGCAUGCAUUAAGUGCUUACGAUCCCAAGUUGGGACAUAAAGACUAGUUUGAGGCCAAAACAUGCACCAACACAAGGGUUUACUGCCAUGCAAGGGUUUAAGGCUAUAAACUCUUGAUGUUCAUGUACUUUAUGAUGUUUCAAGGCUAGGAAUCGAGUGUUUAUCAAGCCUAACUAGAAGAUAGAAGAGGUACUUACACUUUUGAAGGUUCCUUGGGAGCUCACAAUCCAAGAACUAGUAGGUGUUGUUGGAGUUCUUAGUGAAAGUGAAGAAGAUUUGAAGAUCUUAGAAAAGAGAUAAUUUCAUGGAUGAAAUCAUGGAUCUUCACUAGAUAAGCAAUGUAUCAACAAAUAAAUGGAAGGAAUACUUACAUUUUUGAAGAUCAAGGUGAAAAGCUUGAUGAUAGUUGAGAGAGAAUUGAGUUUCUUGAGUUGGAAGUGGGAAAAAGUGAUGAAAAAUGAAGGAAUAUCAUAUAUAAGGGAGGAGUUCACGGCCAACCAAGGGUUUACGAUCGUAAACCCUAGUUUUCGGCCGUAAACUCCAAUACUCGGAGUUUUCUGGCUUGUAUGCUACACACCGAACUCUAAAAUAUACUUCCUAACACUCUAUCCUUGAGGGUACUAGGCUUGAAACACUCAAACAGACCCUUAGUAAGGCUAAAAGAUAACAAAAACAAGUCUAACUUUGAUUGAAUUGAAUGGCUGUGGAAGAUAGAAAUUUCGAGUUGUCACACUUCUGAAGGUGAUACAUUUAUCAGUGAUAGUACACUGGUAAAUUUGGAUGAACCUAACAAUUACAAGGAAUCCAUGGUAGGCCCCGAGUCUGCUAAAUGGAAAGAGGCGAUGGACAGUGAGAUUAUGUUCAUGUAUAACAAUCAAGUUUGGAACUUCGUUGACAAUGUACCAGGUCGUAAGAUAGUCGGGUGCAAAUGGAUCUUUAAGAAGAAGACCGACAUAGAUGGGAAAGUACACACUUAUAAGGCUUGAUUGGUUGCGAAGGGCUUUACUCAAACUCCUGGACUUGACUAUGACGAGACCUUCUCACCAGUAGCGAAGAUUAAAUCUAUAAGGGUUAUGCUAGCCAUUGCUGCAUUUCAUGAUUAUGAAAUAUGGAAAAUGGAUGUCAAAACCGCUUUCCUUAAUGGGAAGUUGGUUGAGGAUGUUUACAUGAAUCAGCCAGAGGGUUUUGUCAAUGCAAAGUCCCCUAAUAGAGUGUGUAAGCUUGAGAAAUCCAUUUAUGGAUUGAAACAAGCAUCUCGCAGAUGGAAUCUUUGUUUUGAUGAGAAAGUCAAAGAGUUUGGUUUCUCAAGAAGCAAGGAUGAGUCAUGUAUGUAUGUCAAAGCUAGUGGGAGUAUAGUUAGCUUUCUUGUGUUGUAUAUGGAUGACAUACUACUCAUAGGAAAUGACAUCCCAGCCUUGCAGGAGGUUAAGUCUUGGCUUGGGAAGUGUUUCGCGAUGAAAGACCUCGGAGAAGCUGCCUAUAUUCUAGGGAUAAGGAUAUUGAGAGACAGGAGUAAAAGACUAAUAAGAAUUACUCAAAUUAGCUACUUAGACAAGGCGUUUCAACGUUUCAACAUGCAGGAUUCCUCGAGAGGAGAAUUACCUAUCCAAAGCAAUGCCAUACUGAGUAAGACUCAAAGUGCAAGUAUCGAUGUUGAAAUAGUAGAAAUGAGUCGAAUACCAUAUGCUUCUUUAGUUGGUUCGAUCAUGUAUGUUAUAACCUAUACUCGACCUCAUGUAGCCUUUGCAUUGAGCAUGGUUAACAGAUAUCAAGGGAAUACUGGUAAAGCUCACUGGACUACGGUAAAGAACAUUCUUAAGUACCUUUGAAGGACUAAGGACUGGAUCCUUACCCUUGGUGGGAGUGAUGACUUAAGAGUGGUAGGGUAUAGUGAUGCCGGCUUUCAGACCGAUAGAGAUAAUUUCCGCCCUCAGUCAGGCUAGAUAUUUACCCUAAAUAGAGGAGCAAUAACAUGGAAAAGUUCCAAAUAGGAGACUAUAGCUGAUUCAACGUGCAAAUCAGAGUAUAUAGCAGUGAGUGGAGCGUUGAAGGAGGCAAUAUGGCUGAAGAACUUCAUCGGAGACCUUGGAGUUGUACCAGCUAUAAAGGAGCCCAUGGAGAUUUUGUGUGAUAACAACAGUGCGGUUUCCUUAUCCAAGGAAUCAAGAGAUCAUUGCAAAUCAAGACACAUCAACAGAAAGUAUCAUUACAUAAGACAUCAAGUAGAAGAGGGAGUCCUCAUGGUUAAGAGGGUAUCAUCAGAAGAAAAUCCAACAGAUCCCCUUACGAAGGGACUGAGUAGGGUUAAGUACUUGCAAUGCGCUAGUAGUAUCGGGCUGAAGGACGAUAUUAGUUUUAGUGAUUAGAUAGACAUUUAGAAAUUUGUAAUAAUUAAACUAUAAUUGACAUUUGAUUAUUGAAUAAAAGGUGUUUUUAUUUAAAAGUAAAGUUACUGUCUUGUUCAAUUAUUUAUUAUUGUUUCAUUUUGCAUGUUUUGACUUCAAGAAUAAUAAGAUUAUUCAAACUAUCCACAGUCGAUCAGACUUUGGAAGUAGGUAAUGAAAGAAAACUGUCAUGAUGGGUUUUUGUAUGAUUAUCUAAGGUGUUAGAUGUAGCAAAAGAUUGCUACAAACAUUCAUGAGUGUUCUUGAAAUAAGAUUUGAGUAUUGGACUAAGCCCACGCUCAUAUAUCACUUCAUGGAAUUUAUCAUGGGUGAUUGUGAGACAAUAAUAUCAUAUAAUCUUCAAACCAAGAUAUAUGAUUUUGGCGAUUAUUUGUUGAUUGUAAAUUAACUAGAUUAUAGCCCGCGUUAAACGCGGGAAACGCAUAAAAAAACAUAUAAUCGUUUUAUAGAUAUUGUAUAAUGAUUAUAUAAAAUAUAUGGUUAUUGAUAUUAUUGAAAUGUGUAGAAAAUACAUUGAAAACGAUAAAUAUAUAUAAUCAUUGAAAGAUCUCUUUGUAGACAUCAUUUUUUUGUUUUAUUAGUUGAACGACUUUCCUCGUCUCAUAUAGUUAUGAUAUUUAUAUAUUUAUAAACAUUUUAAUUAGAUGUUCCUUGCAUAAUAAUGUUACCUAAUUUAAACAUAUAUUGACAACCAAUAUACCGUUUUUUCUAUGGCAUUAAAUAUUGACAACUAUUUCAUUUAUUCAACUAAAAUUAUGUAAUAUAAUUUAUAAAAUGUUAAAUGUUAUAGAGAUUUAAUUUUAGUAUAUCAUCAAUGGAGAUUCUUUUCUAAAUCACGAUUGGUUUAUUUUAAAUUGAUUAUAAAUAUAAAUGUUAGCUUUUAUGUUUGUUCUUAUUUAUUUGGUGUUCGCAAGAACUUUGUAUUAGUUUUGACGCAACUUUGAAUAAUUUUAGUAUAUUAUCAAUGUAAUUUGAUAUAUCUUUCAAUUAUAUGAAAUAUCAAAUAAUGACAUUUCAUUACUAUUGUGAUAAUUUAGUUUAUAUAUUGUAUUUUCACUAAUCUUAACGGUCUUAUUUUUUCUAAUAACCGUAACGCUUUUACUAAAUGUACUUUUUACAAAUCUCCUAAUAUCUUAUAAUUUUUAUCUUACUUUAUAAUUUUUCAUAACUAUGUUAUUUUCAAGAUUGACUGCUUUAAUAGUGUUUUUUUUCGGUCUAUUCAAUUUUAUAUUUCAUUGUACAACAUCAUCGUUUGUAUGUAUUCUGAAAUUUCACUUUAAAAAUGCUUAAUGUUUACACCUUGAUAUUAAUUUUUUUAAUAAACUCAUGUAAUAAUUAUGGAAUAUAUAUCUCAUUUUAAUUAACAUUCACUUCCUUUAUUAUAUCAAAUUCCUCAUUAAACGGAUAUACUUUUGGAAAAUAAUAAUUAUAAUAGGGCAGCAUUAUCUAAGACGUAAAUGUUUGAUAUACUUUUGGAGAAAAAAAAAUCAGGAUCAUUAAAAAAAAUUUAUAUAAAGAAAAUACAAAUUUAAAUUUGUUGAAAUUAUGGAUGAAAUUACUGGCGAAAAUUUAUUUUGGAGGGAGUUGUAUUUUGUAAGGUAUAAUAAUAUUACAAAAUUUGAAAUAUCUAUAUUUGUUGUGUAAAUUAAUAAAUUUUAUUGUUACUAUACAAAGAUAAAAAAGUAGGUUGAUAUGAUAUACAAAAACAUAAUAAUUUCAAUGAUAUUUUAAAAUCAUGCCAAAAUUAACCGGAUUCUUAUGACAUAAAAAUUAAAAAAAAAAUCAUAAUCAUCUCUAAUAUAUAAAAGUAACAUUUUCGUAAUUAAUGUCAGUUCCCAAGAUAGUUAAUUUUUGUUUUGUUAAAGGUACCUAAUAUCUUUUCAUGUUUAUUUGAAAAGUUUCAGAAAAGUAGUUAACUGAUUUCAUGUAAUUUGUGAUAAAGAAAAUCGAAAUAUAUGAAUACAUACAUUUGAUAUAGGAACAAAAAAUAAUCGAAAGAAAUAUAAAAAGCAAAAGAAGGUACUGACCUUCUAGCGCACAAGAGCGAAUGUUUAUAGCAGAGAAUGAUGAUGGAAGUUAUAAGCAAUAUUAAUGAUGUUGUAAGAGAAGGUUUGAAGAAAAGAAACGAUUGAAAAUAAAUGUGAGUCGCGGAUUCAAUGAUGAAUCGUAUAUUUAUGUGAUAAUUUGAAUAUGAUUUUUCGGUAUUAAUGAUUUCCUAAUAAAAAAAGAUUGUAUAUUAAUGGUUUACUAAUAUAAACGGAUUUAUAUUAAUGGUUGAUAUUAAGGCUUUGAUUGAAAUGAUUUGUUAGUAAUAUGUUUUUAAAAUUGACCAUAUUAAAAUCUUCAUAACUGAUAAUUGAAGAUGUAAAAUAUGGAAACCUUUUAUUGGAAUUAAAUACAUUCCAUUUCAACGAAUGUAAGUUAUUGAUUGAUGAUUGGAAAACAUUUAUUGGAAUUAAAUAUAUUCCAUAUGGGGAAGAUGAUGUCAUCAAUUUGAUCUAAGAGUGGAAAAAAUAAGAUUGAAAUACAAUCAAUGGUCCAGAUUAUUUAAGAUGAUAUCAUAAGGUUUCUCUUUUAGUAAUAUUUAAGAUAGUUCAAAAACGCAUCAGUAACUCGAUGUUAUAAAACGUGCUAUUAUGUAUGAUUCAGUGAAAAGUUAGCAUAAGCAUAUAAGUCAAAGUUAAUAUGUUCCUUUUAUGCUAAGAGGAUUAAAAGCGAUAUCUUGGGCCCCUCGAUGAUUUUGUUUUGACUUAUGUGUCGAGCCCAGGCAGAACUUUAUUGAUGUGUUCAAUUAAGUUCUAUGUCGAACAAAUCAGAAACCGGGAAUUAAAAUGUUGGAUAGUGAGUAUGACUUUAAUUCCAUGUAUUUGUCCAUGCGAUAUCUUGUAGAACAGAUGAUUAUAUGAUCAUUUAUCUAAUGGACGUGUCAGAGUUCGACAGUGUCUUUUUUGAGAGCUACGAUAGCUAAUCGGAUUUUAAGUUACAUUGGCAAUUACAGUUAUAAGACUUAUCCAAGUAGGAGACUAUUGGAAAAGGUGUGUAAGCCCAUAUCUAUAAUUGGUAUGUACUUGAGACGAUAGUAGCAUGGUCUAUUUGGGUUGCAUUCAUCAAAGCAAUAUGUUAGGAAGGAUAUCUGAGUAAGAGGUUAAUUAUAAUUUAUUAAUAUAUUAUAAGUAUGAUAUAUUAAUUGAGGAAUCAUAUUAUUUAAUUAGUAUUGAUCAAUAAUUUAUUUAAGAAUUAAUUUAAUGACCAAAAGAGACUAAUUAAAUUGAUUCAUAUGGAUUGGGCUAAUGUUCCAUGAUUGAUUUGUGAUGGGCUUAUGGGUUAGUCCAUGAAGUGGUUAUCUAAAUCAAAUGGGUGGAUCAUAAGCUUAUGGGUAUGGAUUAGGGUUACACAUGACACUUGAUAAUUUAUAUAUAUAUAUAUAUAUAUAUAUAUAUAUAUAUAUAUAUAUAUGUGUGUGUGUGUGUGUGUGUGUGUGUAUAUACAANUGUGUGUGUGUGUGUAUGUAUUCAUAAGCUAAAACCGGUUACACAUACCAAUUGUACUGUGAAGAGUAAGAACCUAUCUUAGAGUCUCCAUAACCUCUCCAUAUACAUCCUAAUUGUUCUUGGUGUUUUUUUUAUUCCAUUUGAGGCAUCACACUUGUGGCACUAAGCUUUCUUGAGGCCAAGUUAUUCAUGCUACUACACAAGGUAAUAUUCUAACUAGUUUUUAUGAUUCAAAUAUCACCUUGCAUGCUAGUUUAAGCUUCGUGCUUUGGAAAAUGUUUAUUGCAUGUGUAAUUAGAGAAAAAUUAGAUCGAAAGAAUUAGGGUUGUAUGUGCACCAUAGGAAUGUUAGAGUACAUAAAACCCAAUAAUUUUAUCACCAAGAUGCCGAGGACGACGAAGGGUUUCAAUGCUAUUUGGGUCAUUGUGGAUCGAUUGACCAAGAAUGGCCACUUCUUUGCUAUACGGGAGAGUUCAUCGGCUGAGAAGUUGGCCUACUUGUAUAUCCGCGAGAUCAUUGCUCUCCAUGGGGUUCCGGUCUCUGUUGUCUCAGAUUGUGAUGUUCGGUUCACCUCUUAUUUCUGGCAAAAGUUCCACGAGCAACUAGGCAUGCGGAUGCAGUUCAAUAUAGAUUAUCAUCCGCAGACAAACAACUAGAGUGAGCACACCAUAUAGACUCUCGAGGAUAUGAUGAGAACCUGUGUAAUUGACUUCGGUGGGCAUUGGGACUCCUACCUACCUCUUGCAGAAUUCUCCUACAACAACAUCUUUCAUUCCAGUAUUAGCGCCCCACCAUAUGAGUUGUUGUGGGUGGAGAUGUCGCACCCCAGUCUGUUUGGGUGAGAUCGGUCACAUGGUGAUGUGACAGAGAGAAGUAGUUCUGCAGACUACCGAGAGGAUUCAACAGAUCAGACAACGGCUGAAGACCGCUCAGAGUCGGCAGAAGAGUUACGCUAGCAGAUGCCGAUUUGAGCUGGAGAUCUAGGUGGGUGACAUUAUAUUCCAGAAGGUCUCAUCCUGGAAGGUUGUGAUUCACUUCAGGCAAAAGGGGAAGUUGGCUCCUUGAUACAUUGGGCCAUUCAGGAUUAUUGCCAUAGUUGGCGAGGUGGCUUAUAGAUUAGAUCUCCCUAAGGAGUAUCGUCAGAUCCACAUCACUUUCCAUGUUUCACAGCUAUGAAAGCGUAUUCCGGACGAGGUGACAGUAGUGUCAUUAGAUGAUAUUCAGGUCAAUGAGCACCUGAAUUACGUGGAGAGGUCGGUGGCUAUUCUUGAGAGGAAGGUGAAAGUUUUAUUGAACAAGGAAGUACCUUUGGUAAAGGUACAGUGGGAACAUAUGAGGGGAUCCGAGGGGACGUGGGAGUUGGAGGCAGAGAUGCGGGAGCACUUCCCAUACUUGUUCGCCGCAACAUUCUUCGACGACGAAGUGUAGUUCAAGUUGGAGAGAAUUAUAACACCCCGAAUCCUAGGUACAAGUUUAAAAGCAUUAUCUACAUAUUAAUGGGCCUACUCGACGAGUUGGUUGCCCCUAACUCGUAGUGUAGAGACGGGUUAGCCCGCGUGGAUCAAUAGAUCUACUCGACGAGUCGGAGGACCCGGAAUCGACGAGUAGGAGCUGAGAGAUGAAACCCUAAUUUUUAGGGUUUGCGCCCUAUUUAAAGGACCUUAAGUCCCUUCCUCCAAUCCUUUACCACCCUCUUGACGGCCAGAAAAAACCCUAAUCAAUAUUUCCUUUUUCUUGAGUGUUUGUGAAGUCUAAUGAGUGAUUUUGGUGCAUUUUUUGAAAGGAGGUGUGCAGUAUAAGAAGCUUGGAGAAAAAAGGAGCUUGAGAAUCUAAAUCUACUUCAUCUUGGCAUCAUUUUGGAGGUAACAAGACAUUACUUGGGCUUAUCUUUAGCUAAAUCUCCUCAUGUUUGGGCUUAGGGCCAUCUUUAGCUCAUUUGGAAGUCAUUUCGAGUAUUAGGACAAGAUAUAAAGUUGUAACAUCAGAUCUGGACUCCCCUUGGUCCCUAUAACUAUAAAUUUAUGAGAUUUGGCAAGCUUGGGCCUUUUCUUUUGAGUUAAUCUUUCCUUUAGUCUAGUUUUGACAUUCAGGACCAUGUAUGCACGUAAAGUUUGCAACUUUACGUGAAAACCAUGCCCUAGGAGAUUGGAUCUGCAAUAUGGAGCUUUGGGGUGGCUUAAAAACAUUUGUAUGAGUGAUGGACUUCAUGAACUCAAUGAUUCGGGUGAAGGUUACCUGUAUUUGAUUCUUCUUGAACUCGGCGACUCGGUAAGCAGACUCGAUGAGUCAGUUAGGGUUUUCCCUAACAUCUGGACACACAUGGACUCGACGAGUUUGUUGGAAACUCAGCGAGUCAAUUAGGGUUUCGGGUGAUUUCUGAGUUCUUAAGAAACUCAACGAGUUUCUAGCUGCACUCGACGAGUCGACCUAACAUGGAUUGUUACUUUGACCAUUGACCAAUGGUCAGCCAAUUGACUUCUGGGUGUAUUUUGGUAAUUAGGGAACAUAUGGAAUUGGAUCAUUGGUGGGUGAGCUGUAUUUGGAGGAGAUUGAUACUAUCAUUCAGAGCAACAUGAGAGGUGAGUUGUCCUCUCUAUACUAACAAGGUCGAAGGCACCAAUGACGACCCUUUUUGGGUUUGUACCCGGGUUUAUUGCAUGAUAUGCUUUAUGAUUUGUAUCCUGGUUAUAGGAUGGCUGCUAUGUUAGUAUCGGUUAUAUUAGUAUCCUUGUUAUAAGAUGGUUGCUAUGCUAGAGAUCGGUUAGAUCAGUAUCCUGGUUAUAGGAUGGUUGCUAUGCUAAAGAUCGGUUAGAUCAGUAUCCUGGUUAUAGGAUGGUUUCUAUGUUAGUGAUCGGUUAGAUGGGUAUCCUUGUUAUAGGAUGGUUGCCAUGAUUCAUGAUCUGUUAGAUCUGUAUGACUAUUUGUUUAUAUGUAUGUGCACAUGUUUGUUGGUUUAGGGGAUUGGGUUGAAGCAGGUCCUGCUUUGUGUUGUAGGCCAAGAUACUCAGGGAGGAACGGAUAGACUGCAAACCCGAGAGGGCAUAUAGUCAGGCCGAAGGCCCGACGAGCGGCCCAGAUAGGCUGAAAGCCUUGAGAGGCGGUCAAGACGUGCAGAAGGCAUGGAGAGAAAUCCAGAUAGACUGAUGUCCUAAGAGCUUACCCAUUUGUUAUAAAUGUUUUUAGGUACUUCAUAAGAAAUACAAGGUUUGACUGUACUGAUUUACAUUUGCAAUCAUGUUUCCUCAUUACACUCUGAUGUAAUUGAAUACUGGGUAAGCUCUUAGGUUGUACUUAUUAUGCUUAUAUUUAUAUUCAUAGUCGUUGUCAUGAAUAUAUAGAUAAGAUUUAUCAAUAAUUCCAAUUAUAAUGUUGGUUGAUCUACUUACAGGAUAGGUGUCUAAGAUUGUCAUGUUGGCUUGGUUGUUGGAUUUUAGAAAGGCUAUAUGCUGAAAUCACCAUGCCCCCUCCCUAUCCGUCCUGACUGAUCCUUAUUUGAUAAAACUUGUUGUGUUCAUUGGGAUUAUUGAGGGAUCUAAUUUUCAUUACCAGUUCAUGAUAGAAAUUAAUAGGUGAAAGUAUUAUAGGUUAGUACUUAUUUGACGCGUUACCUGUUAAGCCAAAGGAAUAUCUGUUAAUCGUCGGAGUAAUUGUCCAGGUGAGUUCUUCUCACUAUAGUAUAUACUCCAAUAUGUAUCAUCUGUAUGUUAGGAUAUAGUGACCUUGUAGUAUGCACUUAGGCAAUUAGACUUGGAUAGUUAGUUUCAUGUUAUGUAGAUUGUUGCUAUAUGUUGAUACGUAUAUAUGGAGUUGAGGGCGGACUAGCCUUGUGCUGAAGGCCAAUAGACUCUAGUAAACUAGCACUAUGAUAAAGGCCAAAGUGCAAAUCGGCUAUAUGCUGAAGGAAAAAAGGGUGGACUAGCUACAUGUUGAAGGCCAAGGGCGGUCCAGAUUUAUGAUGAAGGCCAUUAUGUGUAUACGUUGUAAAUAUAUUGUAGGAUACGAUGAUUUGGGGGAAGUCACUAAGCCUAGUGCUUACUCAGUUGUUAUAAAUGUUUUUAGGUACUUCAUAAGAAAUACAAGGUUUGACUGUACUGAUUUACAUUCGCAAUCAUGUUUCCUCAUUACACUCUGAUGUAAUUGAAUACUGGAUAAAUAAAAAUGAAAAUUUCGAGUUGAAAAAUCGGGACGUUACAAAAUGAGUGCAAAAUUUUUAAUUAUUUGGCUUAUCCUUUAAAGUCAUUCUCAACUUCUUUCUACAUUAAGUAAAAAGAAUUCGAGAGUACCAGUUCACCACGAUAAUACAAUUAGUUUGAGACAUGUUAUAAGCCUAAUUAACUUUGUUAUUUGCUUAAGAUUUAUUGUUAUCAUGGUUAAUGUCUAUCAGACAUCAAACAUGAAAGCUCUUCCAUCAACCAAACUUUCUCCAUUAUGUUUAAGGUACAACCUUCGUCUCUUCUACCCCAUCUCAAUGUCAUUUGCAUACUGAGAGCCAUGUUUAGAGGGUAUUUGGUCGAGCUGGUUCUAGGCUUCGACAUUGGGGACAUCGGCCAAUGAUUGAGUAAUCCCUAAGUAGGGGAGAACUGGGUGUUAUGAUUGGAGGAUCAUCAGUUGUUUAGGUAAUUUGAAUGGUUAUUAAGUUGUCAAGGUGUAGCUGAGGCCAAGUGGUGGUGAAUCGCUUGGUAUUAUUGGGAAUAUUUCCAAGUGCAAGUGAACCAGGAGUUUCAUAUUCAAGGGCAAGAGGACAGCCAAUUCUGGUUGUGGGUUGAAUCGAAGCUUAGGCAAGUAAUAAUACUCAAUAGUCAAUCGUAAUUUGGGAAACAGAUGUUGAGGGAUCAAAUUUAUCUUGUCCGAAGAUGAGAAGCAUCGACAAUGGCUCAUUUUGGGUUCAUGUAUAGGUUCAGGUCAUGGGUGGUGUGAGGGCCUCUCUGCCUGUUCUUAUCUGAUGAAGUCUUUGGGGUUUGAAGUACGACAUGAACACCUAACAAUGUCUAGCAGGGUAGGGGAGCCCAUGGAAAUCUACGGGAUGUUGUUAGUUUAUGUUCUGGCAUGUAGCAUUUAUUUUGCUAAUGUAGGCCAUUACGGUGGUGAUUGUAAAAAUGUUCGAGGAUCACAACAUUCGAUUGGGUUGAGUCAGACUCGUUAUUGUUGUGUAGUCUCUCCGUGUUAGGGAAUGAUGAUUGUUAGAGUUGUAGUGAUGGUUAGGCUUGUAUAUCUCUCGAUUGUGGGUGAGGCCCGUUUGGUUAUGUAGCUUGGUUGAGACCCGUGUUGAGGCCCAUUUGGUUAUGUUAUCUUGGGUGAGCAGACUAUUUAGACAUUCGAGGAUAUGCUCAUGGUAUGUGGUUUUGGUCAUGAGUCUCCAGUCCAGUGAUGGAAUGAUGGCAAGAUCUGUGUGUUUUGUGAUCUUAGCGUUCUAGUGGAUUAGACGGUGUUACAUUGUAUCAUGAACCGAUGAGUGUAUGACUAAUAUAGGUGGGAGCCAGUCGUCAUAUGCUUGAGACUCUUUGGCCUCAUAUCAUUAGUAUUUGGCAUGGUUGGGUGUUAGUCAUUUUGGGGGUCGGAAGGCUCAGUGACCAACUGGUUAGGUCAUGGGGUUAGAAAUUUUUGUUUUUCAUAGAAGCCUUAGUUUGGUAGCAGAGGUAUCUUGUCGAAUAAUUAUCUUUGUGGACAACUCCCCAACUGCUUGAGGGUUGCAUGGUAGAAGUUUGGUUACCAAUGUUGGGUAUUGAUCUUGAAACUUUGGAUCGGGAAGUUCGAUCUAAAUGUCCUAAAGGAUUUUUUUUGGUGGUGGAACACCUGGGAUGACACGGUAUUUUUGGAUGCAAUGUGAGAUACAUGGACUGGCCACUAUUACAUUAGUGAGCGUAGUGGGCUAAUGAUGUCUUUGCAUAAAGUCAAGUACAUAUACGCAGUCUUUUAGGCAGGAAUUCUAUAAUGAAAUAUAUUGGAAUCCAUGAUCAGGAUGUUCUGAGAAUCUAUUAUGUGUGUGUUGGCGGUGAUCCUAGUAAGGGACUAGGGUUAAGUAUAACAAGAGGAUGAUCCUCGGUUGUAGGGCAUGGUUUCCAUAGUUAGAAUGAUAGGUGCCCGGGUUGCAGAGUAUAUUGUUAGUGUCAUGAUGAUGGUAAGACGAGGAUAGUCUUUUUCAGUUAUACUCUUGAUUAGAGUCUCGUGGGCAACCGUGUGUGAGGGUGUCAACUGCAACUAUCGGUCAGGAUUCAUGCAUUUCCGUCUUUUAGUAGCAUAAUGUGGAACCAGGAAGAUCUCGGUUAGAUCGGGCCUACGAAUUUUUGGUCAAAAUGAUGUGAUGUAUAUAUGUUGGUACAUCAACAGUUGUAGAGGCUUGUGUUGGGAAUCACCUUUGUAUUCGAGUGUAGGGUUACCUGUAUCGACGAAUGGUCAGGAUCCUGUUUCCCAAUUAUUGGCGAGAUAAUGCAGGGUUUGAGGGGUUUUGGUCGAAUGGGUUGUGGUUUACAGUCAUUAUGGAUAUGAUUUGAAUGGUUUUGUCUGUCUUGAAGCCAACCGUGGUAUAAGGUUAUCAGAUUUUGAGAAAAGUAUUUAGAUUUUCUUUUUGUUGGUUAAGGGUGACAUGUUAAGGUUCGUUUCUUUGUCAGGGCAUGCGAUUUCCGCUAAGAUAUGAUUCAGUACUAGUAGCAUAAGGUGUUCGUAUGUGUGAGAUGGUUUUUCUGUACUGCAUUUGGAAUAUGGUCGUUCAGACGAAGUCGAAUCGUGUUGAAGAGUAAGUUGUAAGGAAAGAUUUCGAGGACGAAAUCUAAUUUAAGUGGGGGAGAUUUGUAACACACAUUUUCUAGAUUGGAUUUGUGUAGAGCAUAAAGGAGCUAAAGGCGUGUUUUUUUGGGGAAAAAUCAUGUGUCACGUCAUAACAAUAGGGUGGUCACGAUGUGACGAUCCAAUAUGAGAACGUAUAUCCACAAGAUUGUCACAACGUGACAAUAAUGUAGUCACGAUGUGACAAUGGCUGUUCAGACCUUAGACUAUAAUUGUAGGGUUUUUCUUGUAUUUAAGCAUCUUCUCCCAAGGAUUAGGUUAUCCUUUUUAGCCAGUAAUCCUCUAUCACUAAACCAUAACCUCCCUUUGAGAGUUUUGGCUCAUUUUGGAGCAAGGAUCAAGCAAGCCACUCUACUCCACCCUCAAAAUCAUUCUUUAGAUAGUUUGUAAGACUUAGAGCUUUUACCUUUGUGAUUAAUGUCUUGUAUGUUUUACUCCAUUAUAGAAGUUUGUAUGUUGGAAUGAGAUAAAGUCUGCAACUUUAUGGCUCAUAAAGGUCCCUUGAGGCUUAUAUCUGUAACAGCCCGAAAUUCUAGAUAUUGCAAUAAUUAUGAUUUUGGGUGUUUUAAGAGGGGACUCGGCGAGUUGGAGCUCAGACUCGCCGAGUAGGAUCGCAGAUCUAGUCGUGGGUUCGCAACUGGACUCGACGAGUCCGGAUAUGGACUCGGCGAGUCCACGCUGUUUAGCGAAACCCUAACCGUCCAGGUUUGGGGACAUAUAUAAGGGGCCUUAUGGCCGUCAUUGUUCACCCUAGUCCUGUGAGUGAAGCCCUAAAUCGAUUGUGAGCAUUUGGAGCAAGGUAGAAGACCAUUGUUGAUUUUGGAAGUGUUGUUUUGCAAGGAAGAGGAGGCUUGGUUAAGGGAACAACAAGAGAAGCCACAUUCUUAGGAUUGGGGACAUAGAGAGCACGUUAUUCAGGUAAUAUUUCGAGUUGCAUUCUUCUAUGUUGAUGUGUAUAUGGAUUUAGGGUUUAUUGAACCCUUUUGUGGCUAGAUUGAGUGUUACCUUAGUCCCCCAAGAGAUUGGAACCCUGUAUUGGGACCUUUGGAAGUCCAGAAUGUCCCAGGCCUGAGCAUUUCGGGAGUCAAUGGAGGUUUUGGAUUGGAAUCCUUAUGCCUUAGGUCAAAAUGUAAAUUAUGAGUCAUGGGGUGUAUUAUGAGCACCGAAAUGAGGAUCUUACGUGAUGAAUCAGUCUAGGAAGGCCAGACCUAUGAAUGGUCGGAGCAGUUCUGACCUUAGAAAGCAGUUUGAGCGGUUGCAUGGCAUGGACUCGCCGAGUCCGAUGAACAGACUCGGCGAGUAGCUUGAAGAUUAACUGGGACUCGUCGAGUUGUUCUUCAGACUCGGCGAGUUGAGUCGGGGUGGCCCCGCGAUUCUUCCAGGAGGAACUCGUCGAGUCAAGGGGGAUACUCGACGUGUAGAAAGGGAAUCUUAGAGAAUCGGUGAGUCAAGGGCGAGUGGACUCAGAGUUGUUGAACUCGGCGAGUCUUGGGGUGACUCGGCGAGUUAGAUCGCGGAUUGAGUGAAGUUCUGAGUAUGGGGACUCGGCGAGUCAUAGGGUUGACUCGGCGAGUAGGGUCAGUCAGGGGUUGACUUUGACCUUGUCUUUGACCAAGGAUUGACCAGUGGUUCCAGGGGUAUUUUGGUAAUUGUUGUUUAUUGUUUGAGUUCAGUGCAUUGGUGGCUGUCCAGAGGUGGAGAUCGUAUCAGUGAUCGGAGCAGCUUGAGCUAUCUGUUCAGUCGGCAGUUUCGAGGUGAGUUAUCCUCACUAUAUCGCUAGGGUUUAUGGCACCAAGGCCGACCCUUUUAUCGGAUGGAAAUCCGGGUAGUUGUCAUUACAUGUUAUGGGCCGGAAGGCAUUGCUAUGUGGACCGGAAGGUCAUGGCCUGGAAAGGCGUAUGUAUGCAUUUAGUAUGUUGACUGAUUCAUAGGGUAAUGUUAUGCUAGUGACCGGCUAGACCGGUAUCUUGUUAGAGUAAUGCUAUGAUAUGUAAUCUGUUGAUCGAUUGUUGUCUAUGAACUGCUAUAUGAUUAUUCGUUAUGUUGUAUAUGCAUUUUAUGCUUAUGGGCCGGAAGGCAAUAUAUGUUAUGGGCCGGAAGGCAAUAUGUUAUGGGCCGGAAGGCAAUAUGUUAUGGGCCGGAAGGCAAUAUGUUNNNNNNNNNNNNNNNNNNNNNNNNNNNNNNNNNNNNNNNNNNNNNNNNNNNNNNNNNNNNNNNNNNNNNNNNNNNNNNNNNNNNNNNNNNNNNNNNNNNNNNNNNNNNNNNNNNNNNNNNNNNNNNNNNNNNNNNNNNNNNNNNNNNNNNNNNNNNNNNNNNNNNNNNNNNNNNNNNNNNNNNNNNNNNNNNNNNNNNNNNNNNNNNNNNNNNNNNNNNNNNNNNNNNNNNNNNNNNNNNNNNNNNNNNNNNNNNNNNNNNNNNNNNNNNNNNNNNNNNNNNNNNNNNNNNNNNNNNNNNNNNNNNNNNNNNNNNNNNNNNNNNNNNNNNNNNNNNNNNNNNNNNNNNNNNNNNNNNNNNNNNNNNNNNNNNNNNNNNNNNNNNNNNNNNNNNNNNNNNNNNNNNNNNNNNNNNNNNNNNNNNNNNNNNNNNNNNNNNNNNNNNNNNNNNNNNNNNNNNNNNNNNNNNNNNNNNNNNNNNNNNNNNNNNNNNNNNNNNNNNNNNNNNNNNNNNNNNNNNNNNNNNNNNNNNNNNNNNNNNNNNNNNNNNNNNNNNNNNNNNNNNNNNNNNNNNNNNNNNNNNNNNNNNNNNNNNNNNNNNNNNNNNNNNNNNNNNNNNNNNNNNNNNNNNNNNNNNNNNNNNNNNNNNNNNNNNNNNNNNNNNNNNNNNNNNNNNNNNNNNNNNNNNNNNNNNNNNNNNNNNNNNNNNNNNNNNNNNNNNNNNNNNNNNNNNNNNNNNNNNNNNNNNNNNNNNNNNNNNNNNNNNNNNNNNNNNNNNNNNNNNNNNNNNNNNNNNNNNNNNNNNNNNNNNNNNNNNNNNNNNNNNNNNNNNNNNNNNNNNNNNNNNNNNNNNNNNNNNNNNNNNNNNNNNNNNNNNNNNNNNNNNNNNNNNNNNNNNNNNNNNNNNNNNNNNNNNNNNNNNNNNNNNNNNNNNNNNNNNNNNNNNNNNNNNNNNNNNNNNNNNNNNNNNNNNNNNNNNNNNNNNNNNNNNNNNNNNNNNNNNNNNNNNNNNNNNNNNNNNNNNNNNNNNNNNNNNNNNNNNNNNNNNNNNNNNNNNNNNNNNNNNNNNNNNNNNNNNNNNNNNNNNNNNNNNNNNNNNNNNNNNNNNNNNNNNNNNNNNNNNNNNNNNNNNNNNNNNNNNNNNNNNNNNNNNNNNNNNNNNNNNNNNNNNNNNNNNNNNNNNNNNNNNNNNNNNNNNNNNNNNNNNNNNNNNNNNNNNNNNNNNNNNNNNNNNNNNNNNNNNNNNNNNNNNNNNNNNNNNNNNNNNNNNNNNNNNNNNNNNNNNNNNNNNNNNNNNNNNNNNNNNNNNNNNNNNNNNNNNNNNNNNNNNNNNNNNNNNNNNNNNNNNNNNNNNNNNNNNNNNNNNNNNNNNNNNNNNNNNNNNNNNNNNNNNNNNNNNNNNNNNNNNNNNNNNNNNNNNNNNNNNNNNNNNNNNNNNNNNNNNNNNNNNNNNNNNNNNNNNNNNNNNNNNNNNNNNNNNNNNNNNNNNNNNNNNNNNNNNNNNNNNNNNNNNNNNNNNNNNNNNNNNNNNNNNNNNNNNNNNNNNNNNNNNNNNNNNNNNNNNNNNNNNNNNNNNNNNNNNNNNNNNNNNNNNNNNNNNNNNNNNNNNNNNNNNNNNNNNNNNNNNNNNNNNNNNNNNNNNNNNNNNNNNNNNNNNNNNNNNNNNNNNNNNNNNNNNNNNNNNNNNNNNNNNNNNNNNNNNNNNNNNNNNNNNNNNNNNNNNNNNNNNNNNNNNNNNNNNNNNNNNNNNNNNNNNNNNNNNNNNNNNNNNNNNNNNNNNNNNNNNNNNNNNNNNNNNNNNNNNNNNNNNNNNNNNNNNNNNNNNNNNNNNNNNNNNNNNNNNNNNNNNNNNNNNNNNNNNNNNNNNNNNNNNNNNNNNNNNNNNNNNNNNNNNNNNNNNNNNNNNNNNNNNNNNNNNNNNNNNNNNNNNNNNNNNNNNNNNNNNNNNNNNNNNNNNNNNNNNNNNNNNNNNNNNNNNNNNNNNNNNNNNNNNNNNNNNNNNNNNNNNNNNNNNNNNNNNNNNNNNNNNNNNNNNNNNNNNNNNNNNNNNNNNNNNNNNNNNNNNNNNNNNNNNNNNNNNNNNNNNNNNNNNNNNNNNNNNNNNNNNNNNNNNNNNNNNNNNNNNNNNNNNNNNNNNNNNNNNNNNNNNNNNNNNNNNNNNNNNNNNNNNNNNNNNNNNNNNNNNNNNNNNNNNNNNNNNNNNNNNNNNNNNNNNNNNNNNNNNNNNNNNNNNNNNNNNNNNNNNNNNNNNNNNNNNNNNNNNNNNNNNNNNNNNNNNNNNNNNNNNNNNNNNNNNNNNNNNNNNNNNNNNNNNNNNNNNNNNNNNNNNNNNNNNNNNNNNNNNNNNNNNNNNNNNNNNNNNNNNNNNNNNNNNNNNNNNNNNNNNNNNNNNNNNNNNNNNNNNNNNNNNNNNNNNNNNNNNNNNNNNNNNNNNNNNNNNNNNNNNNNNNNNNNNNNNNNNNNNNNNNNNNNNNNNNNNNNNNNNNNNNNNNNNNNNNNNNNNNNNNNNNNNNNNNNNNNNNNNNNNNNNNNNNNNNNNNNNNNNNNNNNNNNNNNNNNNNNNNNNNNNNNNNNNNNNNNNNNNNNNNNNNNNNNNNNNNNNNNNNNNNNNNNNNNNNNNNNNNNNNNNNNNNNNNNNNNNNNNNNNNNNNNNNNNNNNNNNNNNNNNNNNNNNNNNNNNNNNNNNNNNNNNNNNNNNNNNNNNNNNNNNNNNNNNNNNNNNNNNNNNNNNNNNNNNNNNNNNNNNNNNNNNNNNNNNNNNNNNNNNNNNNNNNNNNNNNNNNNNNNNNNNNNNNNNNNNNNNNNNNNNNNNNNNNNNNNNNNNNNNNNNNNNNNNNNNNNNNNNNNNNNNNNNNNNNNNNNNNNNNNNNNNNNNNNNNNNNNNNNNNNNNNNNNNNNNNNNNNNNNNNNNNNNNNNNNNNNNNNNNNNNNNNNNNNNNNNNNNNNNNNNNNNNNNNNNNNNNNNNNNNNNNNNNNNNNNNNNNNNNNNNNNNNNNNNNNNNNNNNNNNNNNNNNNNNNNNNNNNNNNNNNNNNNNNNNNNNNNNNNNNNNNNNNNNNNNNNGCUAGUGUGUGUUAUGAGAGUCGGUCCAGUCAUGCUGGGGACUCUGAUGGUAUUGUUGGAUCAGUUUGAGAUUUCGGAUUUUGUAUGUUGCAGUGUGAUUACAUUGGAAGGUCUGGCCCCGGGUUAGUGAUUUUGUUUAGUUGAGGUAGUGAUUUUGUGGAGUGGAGAGAGUGCAUGGGCUUGAGAGCCCCUGCAAUGAGAGCCAGAGUAUGUGAAUAGCGGUUACGCAAAAAGGGUGGUGUCGCUUGGGGCGAGCACCGUGGCACCGGUUGGAGUGGCAUUAUGGCCAAGAGGGUUCCUUGGAAAAGGAAAAGAGAAAGGUGUGUAACUCCGAAGGGGAGUGCAAGUUCACGAAAGUGAAAGCUGCAGAGCAGAGUUAUGGUUAGAGUAUUUCGAGUAUGGUUUUGAGCAUCGUGUGCGCGGCAGUGAAGUAGGAACCCAUCCGGUUUGGGAUGUCUGUUGAGGCUCAGAAGGGAUGCAGGGGGAGAGAGAAUCUUGAAUUCUCAGUGUGAUUCUGAUCAGGGUAUAGGGUGGAUAUUAGUGGUUCAUCUUGGGAGAUGUUCGAGCAUAUCAUCAGUGUAUCGGGUCUUCCAACCUGCGGGCGUUGGGGCUAGUUCAGCAUGUGUAUGUGAUUGCAAGAGGAGAACUCGUGAGAGUUGCUCUGAGAGUAAGAAUGGGUCUCUCAGUCGGUCCGGAAUGGACAAAGUGGGCUUUGGAUCGGGGAUCUGGUGGUUCAUGGUUUCCUAACCCUUAUGGGUCAAGUGAUCAUUGAGAUUUAGAGCAGAGUUGCAUCUUGGGUAAUUCUCGGUUCCAGAGAGUGAUGAGCAGUACAGAGAUCGUUCUUCAGUCGACAGACCAAAUUCAGCAUAUUAGACAGAGGUUAUUAACCGCCCAGAGCCGACAGGAAAGUUAUGCAGACAGACGCCGGUCCGAGCUUGAGUUUCAGGUCGGCAACUUCGUACUCCUGAAGGUCUCUCCUUGGAAAGGAGUGAUUCGAUUCAGGAAGAGGGGCAAGUUGGGGCCCCGGUAUAUUGGGCCUUUUCAUGUGAUUGCGGGGGUAGGCCGGGGGGCCUACCGUUUGGAGUUUCCCACGGAUUUGAGACAAAUCCACGACAUUUUUCAUGUGUCGCAAUUGAGAAAGUAUAUAGCCGAUGAGUCGGCAGUGGUCCCAUUAGAAGACAUUCAGGUGAAUGCGAGCCUGAAUUAUGCCGAGAGACCAGUGGUCAUCAGAAAUCGGAAGAUCGAGGUUCUGAGGUAUUAAGAGAUACCUCUGGUGUUAGUUCAGUGGCAACACCGGAGGGGAUCGGAAAUGACCUGUGACCUGGAGCGUCAGAUGUGGGAGCAGCAUCCGGAGCUAUUUUCGGAGUGAGACUUUGAGGGCGAAGUCUAGUCCUAGUGGGGGAGAAUUGUAACAGCCCGGAAUUCCAGAUAUUGCUAUAAUUAUGAUUUUGGGUGUUUUAAGAGGGGACUCGGCGAGUUGGAGCUCAGACUCGCCGAGUAGGAUCGCAGAUCUAGUCGCGGGUUCGCGACUGGACUCGACGAGUCCGGAUAUGGACUCGGCGAGUCCACGCUGUUUAGCGAAACCCUAACCGUCCAGGUUUGGGACCUAUAUAAGGGGCCUUAUGGUCGUCAAUGUUCACCCUAGUCCUGUGAGUGAAGCCCUAAUUCGAUUGUGAGCAUCUGGAGCAAGGUAGAAGACCAUUGUUGAUUUUGGAAGUGUUGUUUUGCAAGGAAGAGGAGGCUUGGUUAAGGGAACAACAAGAGAAGCCACAUUCUGAGGAUUGGGGACAUAGAGAGCACGUUAUUCAGGUAAUAUUUCGAGUUGCAUUCUUCUAUGUUGAUGUGUAUAUGGAUUUAGGGUUUAUUGAACCCUUUUGUGGCUAGAUUGAGUGUUACCUUAGUCCCCCAAGCGAUUGGAACCCUGUAUUGGGACCUUUGGAAGUCCAGAAUGUCCCAUGCCUGAGCAUUUCGGGAAUCAAUGGAGGUUUUGGAUUGGAAUCCUUAUGCCUUAGGUCAAAAUGUAAAUUAUGAGUCAUGGGGUGUAUUAUGAGCACCGAAAUGAGGACCUUACGUGAUGAAUCAGUCUAGGAAGGCCAGACCUAUGAAUGGUCGGAGCAGUUCUGACCUUAGAAAGCAGUUUGAGCGGUUGCAUGGCAUGGACUCGCCGAGUCCGAUGAACAGACUCGGCGAGUAGCUUGAAGAAUAACUGGGACUCGUCGAGUUGUUCUUCAGACUCGGCGAGUUGAGUCGGGGUGGCCCCGCGAUUCUUCCAGGAGGAACUCGUCGAGUAAAAAGGGGAUACUCGACGUGUAGAAAGGGAAUCUUAAGGAAUCGGUGAGUCAAGGGCGAGUGGACUCAGAGUCGUUGAACUCGGCGAGUCUUGGGGUGACUCGGCGAGUUAGAUCGCGGGUUGAGUGAAGUUCUGAGUAUGGGGACUCGGCGAGUCAUAGGGUUGACUCGGCGAGUAGGGUCAGUCAGGGGUUGACUUUGACCUUGUCUUUGACCAAGGAUUGACCAGUGGUUCCAGGGGUAUUUUGGUAAUUGUUGUUUAUUGUUUGAGUUCAGUGCAUUGGUGGCUGUCCAGAGGUGGAGAUCGUAUCAGUGAUCGGAGCAGCUUGAGCUAUCUGUUCAGUCGGCAGUUUCGAGGUGAGUUAUCCUCACUAUAUCGCUAGGGUUUAUGGCACCAAGGCCGACCCUUUUAUCGGAUGGAAAUCCGGGUAGUUGUCAUUACAUGUUAUGGGCCGGAAGGCAUUGCUAUGUGGACCGGAAGGUCAUGGCCUGGAAAGGCGUAUGUAUGCAUUUAGUAUGUUGACUGAUUCGUAGGGUAAUGUUAUGCUAGUGACCGGCUAGACCGGUAUCUUGUUUAGAGUAAUGCUAUGAUAUGUGAUCUGUUGAUCGAUUGUUGUCUGUGAACUGCUAUAUGAUUAUGUGUUAUGAUUGCUAGAUCUGGGGUGUGACCCGAUAUGUAGGGUCGUUCUAUGAUUUGUUAUGUUAUGUAUGCAUUUUAUGCUAUGGGCCGGAAGGCAAUAUGUUAUGGGCCGGAAGGCAAUAUGUUGUGUUGUGGACCGGAAGGUCGGCGUGGGUAGGACCGGAAGGUUUACCCAGCAGGGACGAAAGUCCCCUGAGACACAUGGACUGGAAGGUCGUGGCCUGGAAGGGCGUAUAUGUGGUUGGUAUUUUGGGGGUAUCUCACUAAGCUUUCGGGCUUACAAUUGUGGUUUUAUGUUUCAGGUUCUCAAGAGUCUGUGGCAAGGCAAAGGCGUGAUCGUACCGUUCCUCGCGUUGAUGUUUUAUGAUAUGAACCUGGGAAAAUACUCUGUUAAAUAGUUUAUUGAAAACCUUUUGUAACAACGUUAUUAAAAUGAGUGGUUUUUGAAAAGUUUUAAUUGUUUUGAAAUUUUGGACGUUACAAUAUCUUUCAUAUCUAGACUAUGGUUGAGUUUUCGGAGCUUUGCAUGAGUCUACGUUAUAUUCUUGCUUCUUGACCUAGUUUAGGUAAAGCACAUGGAUGGGUCAUGCAUGUCCAUAAAGUUGACAUUUUAUGACCCUAUAGAGCCCUGAAAAGCUUUCUGGAAAAUAAAAAGUGAAGGCUUAAUGGAUGAAGGACUCAAUCCAUAAGGAUGUUUCUCAGCUAGUGGUCACGACAUGGGAGCAUAAAAGAACAGAUGGAGGCACCAUUGCGAUUGAAGACAUAUAAGGUCUUUUGAUCACAAUUGAAAGCGUAAUGUGAUGAUGAUGAUAUAAGUCCACUUUUAUGAAAGAUCUAGUAUGCUCAAGAAUCAUAUUAAAGUGAUAUUGCUAAUUAACAUAUGAUAAUAAUGGGUCACACUAACAGCUUGAUACAAUUGAUUAUUUAUUAGAAAUUGAUUUUAAAGCUAAAACUAGAGGAAGAGGAUAGGGCAUGGGACUUUUGAUUAGUUAAAUUGAAGUUAAGGUCAUGUCUUCAAAGAAUGGCGGAGAACAUGAUCUAGGUACAUAAGUGCUUGCUUGGUUAAGAACUUAUGAGUAAUAACCUUCCUUUAUGAAAGCUUGUAAGCCUUCAUUUGUUGGAAACUGAAACCUUAAUAUGUCCUCCCCUUUCUCUCAUUAUUCUUCUAAGAAAAGAUGAUAAAGUUUAAGUUACUUGCAUCCUUGCUUUAAAUAAAACUUUGGUAUUGGCUUAAAGCGCAAGAGUUGUAACUAACAUGACAUUAAGUUGAGUUAUUUUUGGCGUCUCUAAAGUUCCUCAUUCUCCAUCAAAUUUGAAGCCACCUAAAAGGACCCAAAUAACUACAAAGGUUGUUAUUUCUUCAUCCCUUCUUUGGUUGGUGAUUUAAUCUUUCUACAACCUGCAGGAUGAUCCUUGCUUGGUGUAAUUUGUUAUGUUAUUUUUGAAAAUCAUAAGUUUCCAUUUGCCAUUUUACUAGCUUAUGAAGCUAAUUUUGAAGUAAAACCCAACAUUUUAUAACUCAUAGAGAACCGUUGAGUAGGCCUGACAAUCGUGUCAUGUUCGGGUUGGCAUGUCACGGGUUGGCGGGUCAAAAUAUGCCAACCCAAACACAACCCAUUUAAAUAUAAGGUCACGGGUUGGCGAGUUUGGAACAUAAACUCAUAUCACUACUAGAAAACAACCCUUUAAUGACGCGCAAACAAUGACACUCGCUGAUAGAGGACGCGCAUUGGUGUGUGCCCUAAAAAAUAAUGUCAAUUUCGCAAAAUUUGAAGGAUAGUGGACACGAAUUUGUGCGUGCCAUAAAAUUAGUGUAAGAAAAGAAAAAAAAAAUGCAGAGGGUGCCUUUCAUAAAGUGUGCGUCCUCUAAAUGUGUCGCUUUAUAUAUUUUUUUUUUGCCUAAAUGCGCUAUUGUAAAGGGGGAAAACGAAAUCUUCUGAAAUCCUAAAAUUUUGAAGAACCCCGCUUCUACACUCUCUCCUCAUUAUCUCCCUUUUCAUUCACUCCUUCCUUCUCUCUGUAAACCCUAAGCUAUCGCCACUGCCACUGCCAUUGAGCCUUAAAAACUCAAUCCACACUAGAAUCCUACAAUAGAACCCUAAUAAUCCUUUUGAAUCAGCAUAUCCUUUUGAAUCGGCUCGUCUUCCUUUACCUCUGUACUCUCUCUCUCUCUCUCUCUCUCUCUCUCUAAGCCCUAAGCUGCCACCACCAACAUCGAACCCGAUAAGCUUUAAGAGUUUGGAGUGCAUCUAGAAACCUAAGCACACACUUCCACCAUCUCAAGAUACCGGUUCAAGAUCGGAACGCCAAUCCCUCUUUCCCCACUCAGAUCCCACGCACCGCUGCCCCUAACCUUCUCCUUCAAAACGAAAGAAACACUCGAUGAUUCUUCCUGUACCGGUGGUCCCACCUCCGAAUCACUCGAGACUGAAACUUUUGAGGACCGACUCUCGCAGUUACAUCUGCAUAAUCAGAGUGGCAAAUGGAAGAAAGUCGACCCAUGGAAGAGCAUGAAGUCCGGGAAGAAAUCCAAUGGGAGUUCAGGAUCUAGGGCAAACAUGUACCUCCCACUGGUGCCAUCGAAGGAUCCGAUUUCAGGUUGAGUUUGGAGUGCGUCUAAUGAAAUCUAAUCAUCGGCGAUGCAAUAACGGUUCUCUCUCACAAUCGAACCCUAGAUCUUGCUUCCUACCCUCCUUCAUCUCUAUUCUCUCCGUUCGACCACCAGACCAUCCAUGAGCACCGCCAAUCAAUGACGUCACGAUGCCUGCAAUUCCGACUCCUAUCAAACUGACAAUGGCAUGACUUCAUUUGACAGGUUUGUGUGUUUAUUUUGGCUAUUUUUUUUGUCUUUGCUUUGGUUUUAGAGAACCCUUUAUCGUUUUAGAUAUAGAUAACAUAUUUAUUUUGGCUAGUUUCAGGUCUGUGUCAGUAUAUUUCCAUUUCAUAGAUUCAUAGUUUUACUUGGGGUGAUUCUAAUAAUCGUUUUGGAUACGGAUACAGAUAACAUGUGAGGCGAAUGAAGAGUUGAAGAAGAAAGUGGAAGAACAUGCUAUGAAUAUGAGAGAUGCAGAGAGGAUGAAGAGAGAGUUAAAAUUAGUGGAAAGAGAUAUAGGAGAGGCAGAGAUUGAAAGGAACAAAUGGGAGGAGAAAUAUUUAUUUUCAGGUAUCAUCUUUAUAUCCCAAAAAUUCAAUGUAAUGCUUUUGUUGGGAGAGUUGAUCUAGUAUGUUUUUUUACGCCACAUAAAUAUUUAUUCUGCAACAAUACUGUCUAAAAAUACUGCUAUUUACUGUUUCUUGCAGGUCCAUUAUGCAACUACAAUACUAGAUAAAAACAAUCCGGUGAAGCAUGAUAGAAAAGUGGGUAUUUUCAUACUCAAAUUCCGCCAUGGAAGCAGCCUCUCGCUCGUUAGCUUCUAUCGAUUGCAGUACCAGAUUCACCGCCGGUCGCCAUUCCAUUUCGAGCAUUGUUAGGGUUAAGCGAUGUAAUAAUGUAACUCGUGUUGUUGGAACUGAACCGAAGCCCAAGGCAGUCGAUCCUUUAAGGUCCAUAAUCGUCGAUGGAUCUUCAAUCAACAACACUUCCACCGUACAUUAAUAUUUUCUCUUGCUUUCAAUUCUUACAUGUAAGUUAUUAGUUAUGUGUUCUAUCUGUGAAGAAAUAUUCAUGUUUCAAAUUUGAAUUGUUAUUGUCUGCAGAGAAUGGAGACCGUUUCACAAGAGAUUUAAAGAGUUAGGGCUAGAUGGAAGAGAAUGAGCAAUUGGCGAUCUGAGCACUCUUCCCUAUCUUUACAUAAAUACAUUCUUUAUUAUGAUCUCUCACAUGAUUUCCUUCUUCAAACCCAAAACUUUCAGCUAAUCGAUCUAUUUUUCUCAUUCCUGGAGCCAACCUGUUCCCAUAGUGCUUUGUUGGCUGGUUACUUCAGCAAGGUAUGUUCUAUAAAGUUAGGUGCUUUUUUCAUUGAAUAUAUGUAUUAUCAUUUAUUGUAAGAUCAAUUGGAGAAAGUGAAUUUUGGGUAACUAUUAUAUAUGCUCUGCUAUGUUAUAGGUUAUGAUAAGCCUCAUGCUGCGGAAGACAGUUCCAGAGGUUGUCUAAAACUCAAGAUGUUGAUCAAUUCCUUGAUCUGAGCCCUAAUUUCUUUUCUAUUUUUGGUUUUGGAAAGAAUAAUCUUUAAUAGGGACUGAUGAUUUCUUUUUCAUUUCUUGAGGUUGUCUAAAACUCCCAUAUUUAUAUUUUAUCUUUUUUCGAUAUGCUUUGGGGCUCAUUGAGUGUUACCCGGGUCGGUGGUAGCCAACAUAGUCAGAUGAAAGGAACAUGAACAAAUAAAGGUGCACGAGCAUCAAUGCGGAGUGAAAGGUAACCACAUCAGGAACAAAAAUUUGGUUCUUUCUUUUUCUAUAAUUUUUCUCGCUCUUUUACCAUCCCUAAAUGAAAAUCUAUUUUGAUCUUCAAAUUUUUGUGUUCGAAUCCUAUAUUUUCUAGGGCUUUGUCAAGGGGAACGUGUUACCAAACGCAAUUGCUUUUAUCACCCUAGAUUGUCUAAAAGCUCUCAAUGAAAUGAAUAUAGGUAACAUGUUGUUUGCUUAUAGCUUCUCUUCCAGCCAUAAUCAUCGACAAAUUUAACCCCCUUAGAUGCCACUUUCUAUGUAAAAAUUAAUACAAAUGAGAGUAAUUAUAUGAUUAUAGUCAUAAUCGACUAUAAUAAAGUUGGGAUAGUGUUUGAGCUUUGUUGUUUGAAAUUGAAUAACUAGAUAACGAUUAAUGAAUUUAGGAUACAAAAAUUUGGUUAAUAUCAACUAUCUCAGAUCUUAACAGAUGGAAUUAGUAUUGGAAAGAUGAAAUUUUAUUGACUUGAGUUCUAAUUUCUUUCUUUGGAGGUAGAUCCAUUAUGAACCAUCUACAUGGUUUUUUACUACAGUUUACUGACGAGUUUAAUGUGAAUCUAUUGAUCUUGGUUAAACGCUUGCUUUAAUGAUAAAAACAUAUAUUUUAAAAACUCCCCUUUCAGUUUGAAAUAUAUUAGCCAUGUUUAAUAUGGUACAUCUUAUCAGUUUCUGCACCACAUAAGCACAUAUGGCAUGGUGCCUAAUUAAUGAAGAUUGACUUUUAUUUUACAUCAUUUUAGAGUAUUACUGUAUUUGGCAAAAGGGGGCUAUGGUCACUUUUAAGUAUGUUUUUGCGAAAAUGGAGUUGUGGGCAUUUCUCACUAUCUUUUAAUUUUCUCUCAACACCAUGCUAAAUAUCCCCCCACUUUCUAUUCCUUUCCAUAGUUAUAAUUAUUCCACCAUAUGUCAUAUCCGGUUUGGCUUUGAUCCAAAAACCGAUGAUUACAAAGUCGUUAAAUUUACUGGUGUUGACCAACGAACCAAUACCAGCCUGUCUAACGGAUAUUUCAUUGAAUAUUGGCAGAAAAUUGUAAUUUAUAUCAUGAGAAAAGGUUCUUGGUAUUUAAUCACUCAAAGAUCAUGUUUUUUCAAAGUUUAGUGGUAUAACUCCAAUUGGAUCACUUUGCAAAAUUGAACACAGGCAUCAACAGGAUGGUUAAUUGUCCAAGGGAAAUAAAAACCAAGACAUUGGUUCUACUUGUACUAUCUUUUUUUUAUAUUUACUUUCCUGAUAAUAUUUUUUAGAAUUAGGUUGAUGUUGAGCCCCUUUUCUUAGAAUUUCACAAAAAUAGUGUGAAACUUUAUAAGAGGUCGUUUUCAUAAAAAACAGUUGUUGUGAUUUCUUAUAAUUCUUUGUAUGUAAUAUGAGUUAGUUAUGGCCAAGACUUUUGGUUGUAGAAGAGGACAAUUAUGGAUUCUGGUAAUUGGCCUAUAGUAGGUUUUGUUUUGCUAUGAACUGAUUUGUAAGAUUCAUUGACCUGAAGACUAAGGACCCUCAUUGUUGGUAUUUAUGCUCCACAGAAUUCUGCCUCCGCCUUUUCCUGCCUCUGGGGCUUGCUAUUUCUUGUAAAUUUCCCUACAUGUAUAUGAAAUAAAAUUUAAAUAGUUUUCUUUUUCAUUGUUUUUUAAACGAAAAAUCUAAUCUACUUUUCUAAAUCAUUAUUACUAAGCAAACAGGUGAAACACAUACCUUGGGAGAGGAGAAUGUGGAAGAAAGGUAGUGUUGAUCCUCCACAAAGAUUUGGAGAUUCUUCAUCUUCAUCAGGAAAUCAUUUUCUUCAUCUUCAAACUCCACCAUAUAACCCAAUCAAAUCAGUUCACAAAGAUUUGGAACAAGCUCUUCAUUCUCCCACAACACUGCUUUUGCUAUUUCUUCACCAAAAUGAAACACAUAUUCCAUAACAUUUUAUGACCGGAAGAUCUCUCCAUCUUCUGCAUAUAUAAUUUGAAGUAUUGUUUGUCCCAACGUACCAUUCGCCUUGAUUCCACAUCCAACACAUCUCCAGAUGAUAAACAAAGUCUGUAACAGAUGUUCAUCUUUUUCAAUGUCUCAAAAACUUCGGUUGCUAUNUUUCAAUGUCCAAAAGCUUCGGUUGCUAUUAAAUAUCUAACAGCUUCAUGUCUCUUAUCUGGCUCCAUUUUAAGUUUAGGAUCAGCAAGAAAUCCAAGAAAGAGUUUUAAAAACCCCUUUUUUAUUAUCUUUUCUUUUGAAUCAACCGGCUUAAAUGCAGCAUGAUCAAUAUCAGAUGUGUUUUGCUUAUCUUCUAUCUAAAACAGGGUGUCUACCCCAUCUUUUCCUUUGUAUAUGGCUCUAGGAAGAAUAGAUGUGAUGGAGCACCAUGUUUCAUUGUACUGUGGUCUAAGUCUAGUAAGUUACUUAUAAGAUUCUUUUUUUUUCCAACAUUAGAGGGUAAAGGAAGAAUAGUUUAAUUCACUACUAGUGGCAUUAGGACAAUUUUACCCCUCAUAAUGAUUAUUACACGCAAAUUGCAAAAGGUGUAUACUGAAUUUAUUAAACACAAUCAGCUAACCAAACUUGCCCUUAUUUAUAUUAUCCCUUAAUUCGUUAUGUUUUCUAUUUCAUUCAGUAGGAUGCUAUUUUGGUUGAUGUUGUGCAAAUGGUGACUCAAUUAAGAAGCGAAACACAGAAGCUAAAAGACUCGAAUUCAGAUCUCCAUGAGAAAAUUACCUUUCUGACCCUUGUGCUUUACACUUCAUAUCAAAACUACCUUCAUAGUUGGAAAAAGCAUCAAAAAUAAUGCCAUGUACUUGCAAAACAAUGAACAUCUAUAACCAUUGUACUUAAGUUUACUUUUAUAAAAAGUGUGAAACAUGAUGUUAUAAAAUUUUUUUUUGACUUGAUAUUCAAUUUAUUUUCUUGAAACUUGACUUGAUAUUCAAUUUAUUGCAACAUUAUUUUCUAAAGGAAGAUGGCGUGGUUCAUGUUUAUGCAGAUAAAGUUUGUAAGAUAUCAUGAUUCUUGAUGGUGGUGGUGCUUUUGUCUUUAGUUUUGACUUUUUAGUGUAAUUGUUUUCCUUUUCAGCAAAAGAGAGGAACCAGAUGAGGUAUUUGUUUCUAAUAAUUAGAAUAUGUGUUUCUUUUUCGCAUGAAUCAAUUUUUUUUUCUUCCUAUUUCAGGUUUUAAUAUUUCAUGAUGGGACAUAUCUAACCUUAAAGGAGGUUUUUGAGAGCUUGUAUUAACCAUGUAGCUUCACUAAUCAUUUCAACUAGUUUCUAGUGAUGAUAGUUGUUUUUUGUGUAUCUGUAGAACAAUUUUAUAUUCUUGUGUAGUUGCUUUUUAAUGAUCAUAAGUAUUCAAUGCAGGUAUGGCCUGGACCUGAAUGUUGAUCUAUUAGAUGUGCAUGCAGACAAGAGCACAUUGCAUCAUUUUGAUAAAUUCAAUCUGAAAUACAACCCAUGUGGUCAGAGUAGGCUUCGGGAGAUUUUCUUGAAACAGGAUAAUCUAAUUCCGGGUACGUUUCACAUAUUAAUGGGGUCUAAAGAAAUUAAAUAAUAAAACUUAUGGUUUCUACUUUUUCAGGUCUUUUCCUUGCUGAGGUAACAAGCCAAGUGUUUGUAGAUCUUGAAGCGAGUAAAUAUCAAGUGAGUUUUGAAAGCCAUGUUAUAUAUAUAUAUAUAUAUAUAUAUAUAUAUAUAUAUAUACACACACACACACACACACACACAUUCCUUUAUCUGUUUUGUUUCAUGUAUGACACUUACACUUGAAACUUUUACCUNACACACACACACAAACACACACAUUCCUUUAUCUGUUUUGUUUCAUGUAUGACACUUACACUUGAAACUUUUACCUUUUGAUAGAGUUAUGCAUGGCUUAAUCCCCCUACGCUUUUUGACUUAAUGUACAAAUGACAACUUAAUAGAGAAAUUUAGCUCAUUAUGUGAUAAUUUCUUAAUAUUGCUCUCAUUCAUUUUAGGGAAUUCGUGCAAAAUUAGUUUCCAAAGAUUUUGCUCCCAAGGUACCCUUUUGUGUUCUUUAAGUAUUAACACUCCUUGUGAAAUAUGACUUUAAAAUUUUCAAUAAUUAAUUUUCUUUUUUCUUGGAUUUGACAGUGGGAUAUUCCAAAUUUGGAUAUUCCUACUUCUGAGCCUGAACUAAACCUGCCCAUAACCUUGAGAGAGCAUUUUCAUGUGAACUUUCUAGGUUUAUCAUAGGAAUAUCCGAAUGACAGUUAUGCCCUUCGUACCAUAAAAAGUCAUUUGGCAAAAUGAAAUUGCUGAUGCAUUUGCCAAGAAGUAUUCAUAUGCCCAAGUUGUAAAAAGAAUACCAUUAGUUCUUGCAGAAAUUAAGAAUGCCGUCAAGGUGAGAUUAAAUUGUAAAAAAAAAAAAAGACAAAAAUAGCCCAAACACUUAAAGUUUGGACUCAUUUCCAUUUUAUGUUUAUUUUUUGUCCAGAGUAUACAUGAUAAUGGUGGCGGUAAAUUUUGGGUUCCCAAAACUGAUUGGUUUAUUGUUGUGCUUAAUUCUUAACAGCUAUCAUAGAAACCUUCAACAACAGUUUUGGAUCGACACCUUCUAGCAAAAGAUAUCAUGUACGUGUUCAUGUGCUGCUAUUUUGGAUUCGGGAACAUCCUUGCUUACUGGCCUAACUGUAUGUAUCUCACGUGAAGCUUUUGUUAGAACUAUUAAUCUUAGGGAUUUCAAGUUUUUCAUAUUUCUUCUAUCUAAUUAGUUUGUAAAUUUGUUACAACGUCUAUUGAUUUGUUUUUUCUUUCCAUGGAACGAUUAUUUGUAUGACAUUAAAGUUUAUGCAAUGGAUUGUAUUUUUUAUAUAUGGUAUUUUAUCUUUUAUUAUGAGACAUUAAAUGCAAAUUUAAUUUGAAAAUUAGUAAAUCUAUAAAUAAUAUUUUUUUAAACAUUUAAAAUUACGAUACGCAAAAAUGUGUGUCAUCUUCAUUUAUGACAUGACCUUUCUUGACAGAGGCUUUAAUGAUACGCAAUGUGCGUCAUAAACAUGAGCGUCGUAAGGUUACGACACACAAAUGCGCGUCGUCUUCCUUUAUGACAGGGCCUUCCUUGAUAUGCAUUGUGUGUCAUAAUUGUGCAUCGUAAAUGCGCGUCGUCUAUAGACGACGUGCAAAAAUGCGUCGUCUCUCUUUAUGACAGGGCCUUCCUUGACGCGCAUUUGCGCAUCGUCUGAGCGUUUUACGACGUGCAAUGAGCGUCUUAAAAGGCUGUUUUUCUAGUAGUGUAUAUGACCCGCCAACCCAUUUAUUUAUACGGGUUCACAGGUUGGCGGGUUCGUGAGUCAGAUUUGGGUUCGUGGGUCAGACCAUAAAAAAAAUUGACAAUUAAACAUGAAUAAAUUCUUGAUGGUUGAUGCAAACAUAUCAAAAUUUUAGACAGUUAACUACUUAAGUUUUAAACAACCAAAUGAAAAUUAAAAACAUUCAUAGAAACAUGUUCAAACUAAACAUUAAUACAAAUAUUGAUAAUAAUACUUGAUACACAAAUACAUUUAAAUAUNUAUAUAUAUAUUAACAAUAUAAGCGGGUUGGCGGGUCAACCCGUUUAUUUUUUGAGGAACUCAUAUAUGACCUGUUUAAUAAAUGGGUUGGUAUGUUGGCGAGUUGGACGGUUGGUGGGUUGAAAAACUCAACCCAAACCCAUUUAUUUCGUGUUGUGUCAUAGGUCGUGUCGCGGGUUGCCAACCCUACCGUUGAGAAGUAAUCACAAGAAAGAGAAGAAUUCACCCCAAAUCUCACAAUUAUCAAGGAAUGAUGCACAUCCCCAAAUUUAAAAAGUUACCAUUUAGAAAAAGCUUAUCAUAAGACGGUAAAUUGACCCUAGAGUAGCAUUUGGUGAGCAACAAUUUGCAACGACAACGCAAUAGAGUCAACAUUAAUGUAUGAGACAUGCAACAAAAGGAUAUAAGGGAUUUUGGUGUAUCAUAGUAUUGUAUAGUUGCAAUAAUAGAUAACUUACAUAGUGUUGCGAGGUAUCAUCAGUUCAUGGUUAUAUACGCUAAAUUAUUUUCCACUUUUAUUAGAAGAAUAAUUUGGGAGAGAAUUGGAUGAUGUGUGUAAUACAUUUCAGUAUGAAAUGCACCCAAUAACAUAGAAUAUUAAAUUUUUUUAUUAGUGUAUCUCUUAUAUAUUGUCAUAAUUUUUUUCUUACAAGAUUUAUAAGGAUAGAGUGGGUAGGUGUGUCUAAUAUAUCACAAUACAUGAUAUAUUAUGAUCAGCUUUUGGUAUCAUGUGAGGAAUCAUAAAUAUUUAAAGAAGAAAAAUAGGACAAUAAAUUGGUGGUACGUGUAAUAUAUCAUGGUACAUGAUAUACCCAUUUACACAGAUUUUUCAUGUCCUCAUCAACCUUUGGUAUCAUACUCUGAAUCAUAAUGCUUUAAAGAAGAAAGAUAAGGUAAGAAGGGGUUGGUACGCGUGAUAAACUAUGGUACAUAACUUAACCAUAGACACAAAAUUUCAAAAUUUUAUCUGUGUAUGGUAUCGUACAGUGAAUCAUCAAGUUUUAUGAUAAAAGACUUAUUGUGAGAGAAAAGGAUAUCUCAGUCACACUGAGGUGUAAUCAGUGAGAAUCAUAGACAAUUUGUGAGUCAUUAACUGAGAGUGGUUCAACUCCUAUCAUUAUAGAGUUAUGUUUAUAGUUUCAACAUAGAUUCAAUGCUUCACCAUCAACACUUUUUGAUAUGGUACAAGAUGGAAUUAAGAAAAUUAGUAAAAACACAAAGAAACAAUCAAAAAGACCCGAUAUGGUGUGUCUUUUCAAAUGAAUAUUCAUAAAGUACUUCAUUUUUCAAGAAACUUGCCACACCAUAUUUUGUCUAAAGAAGAAAGACAAAUUAGCACUCAUUUUACACCCCAAAAGACAUAAAAAUAUAGAGAUUUAAGCACCAAUAUAGAGAAAGAGAUGUUCUUAUCCUUCAAAUAUGAGAUUAUUCUGAUGGAUUCCAAGCUUCGUAUUUAUCCUAAUAAGAAGAGAUCUGAAGUAGUAUAGUCUUUGUAACCAAUGAGUUAAAUGGUUCUAAUCUUUCUAACCUUGAAGUUAUGACAUUCAACAGGAGAAGACUCAGAGAAACAAUGUGUGACAUCCCCAAUUUCACGGCCAGAAAAGAUCAAUUUGUUUAUGCUUUAUUUGAAAAUCAGAGUAUCCUUUUGAAGAAAUAUGUUGCAAAAUUUGUUCCAAAAAAUAUAUGAUAAAGAUAUUAUCAAAGCAUUUCCGAAGAAAUGUAUUUUAAAUAAAAUAAAAACGUUAGGAUGUCCUUGUCAAUACAGUACAAAAGCCUAAACAGAAAUAGUACAGGCCUUACAACAUCUAUUAUUCUAAUGGCGUAGAAUCCAUUGAUCUCUCAUUAGAGCAUCACUCUUAUUCUCUAUUGCCACUACAUGUAAUACAAAAAAUUGAUUGGGUCAGACUUGGUAUCCUGGUGAACACAUAAGGUUUUCAACCCACAAUAAUUAAGUUCAUUAAUUUACAUCAUAUCAUUCAACCCGAUUACCCAUUCAUGUUAUCCUUAAUUUUUGUCUCUAAAGCAUCUAAUUUAGGGGACCUAGCCUAACAAUUAUCAUCGGGAUGGACAAUACUGCUUAGGGGAUUCGUCAACAAUAUAUGUCAAAAGGCAACCUUGGGGGGAUGGAGUACACCUGGAGAAUACAUAGUUCAAAAACACCUAUAGAUUGCGAGCCUGUUAGCAUUCCACAGGACUGUCUAGAAUAGCCCGUGGCUGUCAUCUAUGCUUCGCUAGAUGACUGAAUCAGCUUAAACAUCGAGGUCUCUCAUCAUUUAUUUCAUCAUCUAUAUCAUCUACCCAUCUUUACCCAUCAUAAUUAUAGGUAUAAAAUACAUAUACAGUUUAAAUCUAAUAAAACAUCUAUAAUUUGUUCAUCCAUCAUAGAUAUCAUGAACACAUAUAAUAUGCACACAUAGCACUUAAUUUAUAUUAAAUACUUCAUAUCUAUGUGUAAGAUGAAAGUAAGUAUGCACUCACUUGUUAAAGUGAUGACUCGAAAUUCGGGCAACACUUCGCUUCUAACAAUUUUCUUUUCCUUCGACGAAACCUACUACUAUAAUUACUAGAUUUUAGUCUAAUAUUUAUUGCAACUAAUUAUUAGUCUAGAUUUAUCAUUAACUCAAAGUCUACUUUCAUGAUCUAUCAAGUAAGAAUCAACCAGGUAGGACAGUUGGGAGGCAGGACCAUUUCGACAUAUAGCUUUUUUGAAAUCCAAAAAACCAAGCAGACGUGACCAAUCUAGACCCAUCUCCCGUAAGUAGAUCAAUCAGUAUAAUGACUUUGAAUCACUGAUAAAUCUUGUUUAUAGGUUCAUAAUAACGAUAGUGAACUUAAACAUAAGUUAUACUUAAAGUAGGGUAAGCAUAACUCACUUACAAGGGGGAUUAGCGAGGAGCCGGGUCCUGCGCGGGCAGAACUUUUGAGCCGAAAAAUCUUCUUCUCGGGGCCUUCUGGCACUCCAGGACUCGCCUCUAUCACUUAGGAAGUGCUAGGGAAUCAAAGAGAGGGUUUGGGGGUAUUGGGAGAGAGUGGGAUAAUAAUAGUGUGACCAAAAUGAGAGAUUUGCGUUUCUAUUUAUAUGCUGGGAAAUUGGAGUACGCGAGGCGUAAUUACAAAGUAUGAAGGGCAUACCAAGCCUUAUGUGGGGCAUAAACAGGUCAUGUUUCGAGAUCAUAUGCAAAGCCGUGGGGAGAAAUGUAGGACUGAGAUGGUGUCAGGUGGCACUCCGAGGUUAACCCAAAAAUUAAUUAAUUUCUAAAAUCCGUAAAUUUCGCAUACUAGCUCCGUUUUUGACGUUCUUUAUAUCCACGCAUAGGUAGUGACGCAAUCUACAACUUUCAUUUUAACUCCGUCUGCUACUUUUGACUUUAUUUUUAAAGUUAUAUUUUAACAGACUUAUAUAGUUAAAGUCCGUUAAAAAUUCAUAAUUUUGUCAUCCCGACGUUUGUUUUCGUCUUUCUUUAUAUCAUUGAGCUCCUAUUAAUGAGAUAUUCGAUUCUCGUUUAGAAUGUGUCGGCUAAAAAUCGAUCGUUCUAAAAUUCGAUUACUGGGCUACAAACUACUAUGUCAAAUCUUACAAAAAUCAUAACUUCCUCUAAGGAUGUCAGAUUUUGACUUUAUUUAUAUGCACGCUCUUGGUUUAACCUAUACUAUGACUUUUGUUUAGAUAGUUAAGGCUAAAAAGUAUUUUAUCGCAAACUGACUUUUUAAGAUACACAACGUCGUGUCGGUUUUGUUACAAAACUUCGACAAGUCAUAACUUCUUCGUUAUAUGUCAGAUUUUAGCGUUUCUUAUAUCAGCGAAAUCCAUGUUACAACUACUUUAACAUUCUUCAUAGAUAUUGAGUGUAUCUAUUAAUUUAUUUUUGAUGCAUGAUUUUAUUAUUAUUUUAUUACAUCGUUAUAAGCACGUAUAUUGUACAUAAAUCACAUAAAUCACAUAAAUCACAUAAUAGUCAAACAAUACCUCUUCAUUACUUUAAAAUAGAUUAUAAUUGUCGACCCUAAGUAUUACAUCAUAAUAUUAACAACAAGUUACAUAAAUGGUCCCUAUAGUUUGGUUGAAUUCUCUGUUUUGGUCCCUAAGUUUAAAACUUGAUAGGUUAGAUUCAUGUGGUUUGUGAAAAUUACACUGUUGGUCAUUGGCCCAUAUAAAAAGACCAAAUUACACUUUCCUUCUUUUUUCUUUUUCUUUUAACAAUUUAUUAUAUAUAUNGUGUGUUUGUGUGUGUGUGUGUGUGUAUAUAUAUAUAUAUAUAAUUCUUUUUUAUUUAUAUUUUAAUAGAAUUAAAAUAGAUUUUUUAUAAAAUUGUUUUUAUUUUUUAAAUCAAUUAUCUAAAUUAUAUAAAAUCAUAUUAUUAUUAUUAUUUAUUAUUUAUUUUAUUUGUUUAUCUUUGUUUUUGUGGUUUAAAAAUCUUUUUAUAUUUUUGACGUUUUAUUUCAAUAUACUUUUUAAUGUUUUCUUGAUGUUUUGUUCGUCAUAUAUAAUUAUUUAAUGUUGUUUUUAGGUGUUUUUUGCUUAUAGACAGUACGAAAAGGCUGCACCAUUAAGAUCUGGCCUCAAAUAAUCUAGUAAGAUUCUUUUAAUCCUAUCAGAAAUUGGAUUAAUUGUUGAUCUUCAAGAUAUUUGUGAAGUUUAGCAGUCGCACCACAAGUAUAAUUUGGAGUAUCAUGAACAAUUUUCAAUUCCUCCUAAAUUUUAGUUAGUUUUGUGAAGUAAGUGGAGAAAUCAGUAGUGUUUUUGUGAAAUUAAAUACAAUUGUUGUUGGAUUUGAUAGAUUAAAGCACCAUAGGAUUAUUCAUACCUUUGAUGAAGUUCAUUCUAUAUAUGUCAUGCAGUUUGUAAAAACAAAACAGGAUUAAAAAAGUAUUUCACACCAAACCAAAUGGAAUAGGUGGAAGAAUCACUUGCUGGUAGUGAAAUAGAGCCAUAAAAAAAUAGUUUGCUUUUGAAAGUGAAAACAACAUAGUAACACCACUUUCAUGUAGAGAAUCAAACAAAAUUGGAUAUUCAGUGGUGUUAGUAGAAGGAAUUGAUCAUGAUUCAACCGUUGAUGAAGCUUAAAAGAAAACGAAUGUGAACCGAGAUUGCGAAAAUUGAAACAUGAAUCGAGUUAAUCUGAUACCAUGAGAGAGAGAGAGAGAGAGAGAGAGAGAGAGAGUUGAAACAUGAAUCGAGUUAAGCUGAUACCAUAAGAGAGAGAGAGAGAGAGAGAGGGAGAGGGAGAGAGAGAGAGAGAGAGAGAGAAUGAAAUGGAGAAAAUAUUCUCAUAGAUUAUGAAAUCAGAAAAGUACAACGAAUAUAUACAAAAAUCUUUUAACUAACUAUUAAUAACGAACUUGUAACAAACUAGGCAUAAAUUAUGAAAAUACCCUUAAUUAUGUAUAAAAUUAAUAACAUUUUGAUUCUUCUUCUUGGUGGGGUGGAUAUAUGCAUGCUAAAAACAAUAUGAUAUAUAUGUUUAAGUCAUUCAAUGAAGUUGCAAAAGGAAAAAAAAAAAGUGAUUUCAUGAUUACGGAUACAUAAAAAUUAAGGAUAAUGAAAAAGGGAAAACAAAUGGAAGAAAUGGAAAUAUCAAGGGAUUGUGAAACUCAUCAAGGUUUGAAGUACAAACUAAUGAUAACGGAAUUGUUGUAAUACGAUGAUAUUUAUAGUUAUCUUUCCCAUCAUUGUAUUUCACUUUUUGCUUGAAUAAUAAAUGGUGCUAAUACACUACCUUUUUGCUUGAAUAAUAAAUGGUGCUACUACACUACCUCGUACUCAUAUAAAUUGUCAAAUUAUGGAGCUACACGCUAUUCCAUUUACACGGGUUACACGAUGGAAUUUAGAAUGGUACAUAUAGAUUUACUCAUAAUAAACCCUAACCGUAGUGGCGAAUCUAGAACCAAAAACCAUGUAGUUUUUUAUGUAAAUGAAACAAAAAGAGUAAAUUACACGAAUGGUCUCUAUGGUUUAUGGUUAUUUGCACGUUUGGUCUCUAACUUAUUGUUUUAACUCGGAAGGUCUCUACUGUUUGUUUUGUUACGCACUUGGUCCCUUUCUUACCUAAAAGGACUAUGUUUCCCUUGAUUUUUUGAUUUUUUUUUUUAAAUUAACACACCCCCACCCCUACCCCUCAUCUUAAUUACCUAAUCCAUCAUUUUUCUCUAUUUAAAUAAUAGUAUUUUUAAGUAAGAUAGAGACCAAACGUGUAACAAAAACAAACAGUAGGGACCAAACACGUAACAAAAAUAAAUAGCAAGGACCUUCUGAGUUAAAAAAAUAAGCUACGGACUAAACUUGUAAAUUAUCCCAAACCAUAGGGACCAUUCAUGUAAUUUACUCAAACUAAAAAAACAAAAGAGUAAAAAUUACGAAUUGUAUUGGGUCGGGUUGUAUACCUUAAAAUAAUUAAACAUAACUUCACUAUUUAUAAUAAUUUUACAUUUAAACUCUAACGUCUUAUAUCUUGAAAUAUAUAUUAAUAAUUAUAUCGUUAUCGAUACUUUCUAAAACACUUUUUUUAAUUAAUGAUAUUAAACUAUCAUCCAAAAAUUGAAAUAUAUAAAUAUAAGCAGGAAGAAGUGGCACCCGGUGGAAGGAUAAUGAUUGUUGGUGGCCUCGCCAGACGACGGAUGACGGGCAGUGGAUCUAUCGAUCAAACAUGCAAGAACCUUUGAGGCGUCAAGCGUUAGGAGAUCUCAAUUAGUGAUCACAUUUGGUAAAGUUUUCUGUUAUUAUUUUAAAUGGAUUGAUCUGUUGCGUAAUGAAUAAAUUUUAAAUGAAUUUACGUAGUGGCAGUGACGGACACAUAAUGUUUUCGUAGGGACGUCACUCGUACUUCAAGCCGGUAUACCUAAUAGAAAAGAUAUUUUUUUACACUACGUAUGUGCCGGAAAUUGAAUAGUAACCCGGGACCCCCUAGGCUCCACUAAGGUCUGCCCCUGUGUGGUGGACUAUUUUAAACGGAUUAUUUUAUAUAAAAUUUAGGUUGAUGUAUUUUUAUUUUUAUUUUUCCAAAAAUUACAUAGGUACUAUAACACUAAUGAGAUAUUCACCAAUUUUUUCAUAUAUAUUUUAUAUUAAUAUUACUAAUAUUAAGAAAAAUAGGUAGGUCCUAGCUACCUUCAAAGUAGCUAGGCCCUUGCUGUAUUCCCUUUGUUUUUUUAUUAGUUUACAAAUGAAACAUUCUUAUAGUAAAAACAUAUCUUAUGUGUCUAUAUAUAGCAACACACAAGAAACAACGUGCUGAUCAAGAUUUCCAAGAUGACAAUGGAGGAGUCUCGGUGUCCUUAAAUGUUGGAAUACCAUCCCAAUAUCGACCACCCUUAACUGAAUCAGAUGAAGCAAUGGCUUCAAGUUCAGCCAUGUCUUUUCUGAUGUUAGUCUCACAGAUAAAGCUCCAAUGUUGUGUUCAAGAUUCUCAAUCUUUGUGGUUCCUGGAAUUGGCACCACAUCAUUCCCCUGGUGGUGAACCCAAGCCAAUGAUAGUUGGGAUGGGGUGCACCCCUUCUUCGCCGCCAUCCUAUUCACCUUCUUAUACAUGAUCUUGUUAUGCUCAAUAUUUUCAGGUUGGAACCUCGGCAAUAACUACAAUUAGAAAAUCUUGUACCCGAUAUGAACGACCUAUUCGUUUGUCAAUUGUGUUGGAAGAAAUUAUGGAUAAACAAGAAGAAGAAGAUGAUUUAUCAUACGUAAAUGUCAACUGCUUUAUUAAUUAACAGAGUUUACAUAUUUAUAUAUCCCUAACAUCCCUAACCAUCACGUCCAUUCAUUAGGACGGUUACAUAACUGAUAACGACUUUUACUAUAAACACCAACUAACUGAUUAUAAUUAGAUAAUAUUUACAAAGUAUCUAGCUUAACUCUAACAUUCCCCUCUUAAGCUAGAUUUCAGAUACUCCAAGAUUCUUCUUCAAACGAUUGAAGUUACCCACUUGCAAAGCCUUGGUAAAUACAUCUGCUAACUGAUCCUUUGUUCCACAAAAAACAAACUUCCACAUCUUUGUUUGCAACAAGUUCACGGAUGAAGUGAUAUUUAAUUCGAAUAUGCUUACUUUUCCAUGGAAUAUAGGGUUUUUUGACAGAGCUAUGGCAGAUUUGUUAUCACAGAAAAGCUUUGUUGCAUUGAUUUGGUAUUUUCCUAGUGUGACCAAAAUACCCCUAAGCCACAAAGCUUGGCAGCCAGCCAUUGAAAGUGAAAUGUACUACACCUCAGCAGAAGAUAUGGCGACUACAUUUUGCUUUUUCAUUUUCCAUGAUAUGGCUCCAGAGCCAAGGUUAAAAAUAUAGCCUGUGGUGCUUUUACUAUCAUCUAUACACCCACCAUAAUCACUGUAACAACCCGAAAUUCGUAUCACUGCUUGUACCCCUUUUCGCGACUUAUUUCGAUCAUCCAAUCGCCGUUUCCAAUUUCGUUUCCAAUUCCGACAUUUAAUUAAGUCAUUAAUGUUGAUAUUAUUUUAUGACUUAAUGAGUGUCUUAAUACCCUUAGAACUCAUUCUAACACUUCAUAUUAGUGAUCGGAACAUUUCUAGAAUCAGCCAUAUCGGGUUACGGCAAUUUGGCCGGGUGCGACCAAAAGCCCCGUCUAACGCUGGUAUCGGGUAGAAUUCCACCGUGUCCCGAACUUGGACACUAUUUAAAGAGAUCCAAGCUUUCAUUUGAAGCUUUUUCUUCAUUUCACAACCAUCUCUCUCUAACCUCUCUCCUCAAGCUAGAUUCAAGGUCCAAAACAUCAAAUUUAGGCUUCAAAUCACCAAGGUAAUCAUCUUAGCCCUUAGUAUAGUAUCCUUAGCCUUCAUUUUCUUGUCUAAAUCAUGGAAUAGGACCAUAAACAUGUGUUUAUAGCCCUGGAACAGCCUUAGGCCGUAAACACAUGAAAAAGGGGGGGUUUUGAGCAACAAAACCCUUCCAAACCACAACUAGACUUUAGAUAUGGCUAAAUGACUUCAAGGAAUGGACUUAGAGCACUUUAGACAUGGAUUUUGAGGGAUUUGAAUGAGUUUAUGGCCAAGACAUAUGCUUGGGCCGUAAACCCCUCAAAGAUGGGAGUAAACACAUUUCAAACAUGUUAGAAAGCCAUCCAUCACCACCAAAAGCCUUGGAAUAAAUCAUAGAACCAACCAAAAAUAGUUUAGGGACCUUAAACAUAUCAAAACUCUUCAUUUGAGAGUUUACGGCCAUAGCAUGUGCUCCAGGGUCGUAAACUCCUAAAAAUGUGUUAUUUGAUGCCCUAAAUUCAUACCAAGGCUUGUAAAAAUUAUUGGAAUCACAUGUGAUUAAUCUAAGGCCUUUAAAUCACUCAAUCAAGGAGAGUUUAGGAGUUUACGGCCGUAAGCUCCAUUCUAGGGCCGUAAACUCCCUUAAGUGUUGUUAUUGGUGAUUUAAAUUCAUUCCAUGCCUUAGAUAAAAUUGUUCCAACCCUUCCCAAGUGUUAUUGACCCAUUAAGCACCAUAAAUCUUGCCAACAUGAGUUCACGGCCGUGAACUCAUGUGUGAGUGGUGUAUAUGGACGAAAACUCAUUAGGGAGUUUACUCUUGAAGAGUAAACUCAAAUCCCAAGUCCCUUGCAUCAAUAUACGUCCGUAGAUGUCACCCGGGUCACUCCAAACACUCGUUUUGAAGUGUUUUCGCUCAUUGGAGUGUAAUAUCAUAUCUAAUUAGAGUUUAUAAAUCUAAUUAGAUAUAUUUGUAUACCAUUUCAUAUUACAUAGGAACCUCGCUCGUAUUCAAGCCUCGAUUCGACGUUUAGCAUCCUAGUCGUCACAUUCCGCGUCCGGUGAGUUCAUACCCCUACUUUUUUUUACAAUGGUUUUUAAAUGUUUUCAGGGGGGAAUACAAGCAAAAGUACAAGAAUAUCUUGUACUUAAAUUCAUUAUUUUACUUAAAUGGUUUCAUAAUUCGCACACUUUUAAGAAUUGAAAACCUACUAACAAAUUGUUUUAACUUGCAGAGUUGUUUGUUUAAAUGAUUUCAAUUCUUAUUAUAUACUGUUAUGUUUCAUAAUUGAUUGUUCACAAUUAUAUUGAUAGAGAUCUUAAAACCUUUGUAAUGUCUGUAAUAAAACACCAUAGGCUCGAGUGUAAAGGAUAGACACCAUUACAAAACAUAAAACAUUUGUAAUGUCUGUAAUAAAACACCCUAGGCUCGAGUGUAAAGGAUAGACACCAUUAGAAAACAUAAAACAUUUGUAAUGUCCUUAAUAAAACACCUAGGCUCGAGUGUAAAGGACAGGCACCAUUAGAACUUAGUUAGUCAUAGAUACUACUUCCCUAGGCACGAGAAGAAAGAGUAAUCUUAAAGAUUGGAGACACGUCCUCGGUGAACACUCCACAGAGAUACGCGAGUGGAGGACCGCACCUGUAACCAGAAUCUCUUAGAUAGGGAGCGUGACUUGAGUGUAUAGAUCUAUACGGGACUGACAAUCCCGCACCUGGCUGCUAGCUACAACCGAACCGAAAGGUUCAAGGGUGACGAAAGUCAUAAAAAGGAUACUGGCCAUGACCCGAGUCAUAUCUGGUCUGAAGUAUGGUUAUGGAACUCGCAAUCAAGAUUAUGAACACUUCACACUUAAUUAUUAGUUUUAUGUACGUAAUAAAACUAAUGUACAAUUAAGGAUAAUCAGACUUUCAGGAGAAUUCGCACACACACACGUUCAGGAAAAUAUGGGAUUUUCCUGGGGGAUAACAUUAAACAUAAUCAGAAUUGGUAACAGUUCACACACACACACAUGUAGGAAAAUAUAGCAUUUUCCUGAGUAACAGUAGUACGUAAGCAGAAAAUUGUAACAAGUUGGAUAACUAAAAUUUACAAUUCACAAGAACAAUUAUGUUUUCAGAAUACAUCUUUUUCAUUACAUUUUGGAUUUGGUAACCAACUUUUAAGAAAAUAUGGGAUUUUCUUGGAUAACCACUUUUUCAGGAAACCAAAGGAACUUGUACAUUUUUCACAAAACAAAACCGCUUAUGAAGUCACCAGCUUUAUGCUGAUUUUCAAACUGCUUGUAUUCUCAGGUCCGUAUUAGACAGGUACCCGACGAUCUCUUUUGGCGAAGACGGAGUGCGUAGAAGACUCGUCUUAUUUUGUUUAUAUAUAUACUAUGUAUCACAUGUAUAACUUUACUUUUGAAACAAAUGUAAACUAUUAUAUAUGUAAUGUAAUGGUUGUCUACUUUGCUUACUAUGUGCAUUGCAUUUGAUACUCAACGAGGAGUCCGCCCCGGAAAUGUUUCCGCCUUCGGUUUUCGGGGUGUGACAGAUUGGUAUCAGAGCCCUUGUUUAUAGUGAAUAAAGUAUACCAAACCUUACAUGGUAUAAAACUAUAAACAUUAAGGGGCCUAAAGUGCUCUGAACUAAAAGUAUCCUUCAAAAUAGAAUUAUUUUCAAAAGUAUAUAAGUAUACCGAACCGUCGAGAUCCGUAACUACAAGUAGAACAAAACAUAAGUAAAUGGGUGUUGUGUACUGCGUUAAACCUGGGCAGUUAUGUAGUCGUGUCUAGGAUCAAUAUAGCCUGGCCAACUAUAUUCAUUCGAGACACGGCCAACAUGUGCUUGGGAGUGACUGUAGUAUGCGGCAUGCCUAAAAUUUACCCUAAUACCACAAACAUGGAACCAGCGUCGUAACAAAUCAUGAAAUACUAUGGGAGUAUUUCUCGAGCCAAUCCUUGGUAGAACUCCUUGUUCACGCAUUGUUCUUUAAUCAUUCCCUCAGCGAUACUUUUCCCGCUUAGAUAGCUCUUUCCUGCUUUAUCGCUUAUUCAGCAUAUAUUCGUUAUAUCUCUUGAUUCAAUUCAGAGGACUUAUCAUCCUCUCUUUCUUGAUCUUAUUAGAUCAAGAUGCCUCCAAGAAAGAGACCCAGCUCCAAGACCAACAACCCUUCGCCACCACCUCCUCCCCAAAUUGAUCCUGUAGUAUUCCAGGCAGCUGUUACAGCCGCAGUGACAGCUGCCAUGUCUCAACGGAACUCUGGCGGUUCCGGUGGUUCGGGAGGUGGUACCCAAACCCAAAACCAAGAAAGCAGUCAGGGACACCGGAAAGAGGGUUCCUAUAAGGAUUUCAUGAACGCAAAACCCACGUCCUUUGAUGGCACUGGAGGUGUCAUUUCCCUCACCCGAUGGUUCGAGAAGAUCGAAUCCAUCUUUGAAAUUUGCGCCUACUCAAAAUCUGACAAAGUGAAGUUUGCCGCCUGCACCUUUAUCGACAAAGCCCUGACGUGGUGGAAUGGCCGAGUCAAAUCCCUAACCUUACCUGUAGCCAACACCAUGGGUUGGGAAGCCAUGAAGAAACUUCUGCUGGCUGAGUACUUCCCUCGGGGCGAAAUGAAAAAGUUAGAACACGAACUCUGGAACCUGAAGAUGAAAGGUUCCGACAUCACUGCUUACACUUCCAGGUUCGACGACUUGGCAUUACUCUGCCCGGGAAUGGUUACCCCGGAGAGUAAGAAGAUAGAGAGAUUCAUCUGGGAGCUGACCCAGCCAACGAAAGGAAAUGUCAUAGCUGCAAGGCCGGAUACAUACGACAGCGCCAAACACUUAGCACAAAUCCUAAUCGAUCAUAGUGACGACCUAGAGGAGGCCGCUACCACUCCUUAGCCGACAAAGAGGAGUGGUGAGAAAAGAAAAAUCAGGAAGAAGGAGAAAAGUCAAACAUCACAUGAAUCUUCGAAGAGACAGCAAAUAGUAGCAGUUCACGCUGCCACUUCCCCUGCAGCUGUCUCUGUUGUUGGAUCCUCAACUCGAAAACCUGUCAGUAGGUAUGCUGGAAGCCUUCCUAGUUGUGACAAGUGCAACUAUCAUCACUUUCCUUCCGGUUCAUGUAUAGAGGUAUUUUGCAACAAAUAUGGCAUAAAGGGUCACAUGGCGAAAAACUGUAAGACACCAACUCAAUCAACGAGUCAAACUUCCGGAGCGGGCAUUGGUCAGGCCUGCUAUGGUUGUGGAGAAGUUGGACAUCUCAAGAGAAACUGCCCCAAGGCAGUAACACCUGGCAACGCCGGAAGUGUUCUAGCGGUAGGACAAGAGGAGACAGCUACCAAUCCCACCAUUGCCACAGGUAUAUUUCCCGUUGAAUGUUAUGCCUGUGAUUCUUUUCGAUUUUAUUGCUGAAAGAAAUUCGCUAACCAUCCAUUUGAACAUCUUUAAAACCCUUUCAUUUGUGAGUAAUCGAAAAUGUAUACCGUCGAGAUGGUUAUCAAGUGAGAAUGGGGACGCUAACGUCAUAUCCGUAGAUUGUAUCCUUAAUCCGAACAAUUAUUCUUUUCUGUUCGAUCUAAUGGCAACCUUUUCAUGAAAUGCUUUGAUGCCAUCUUUGGCAUGUAAUGACCGAGCCUCAUUCAUGCUGUUAUUCUUGGUUUCGAGAAAGCCAUACGUCUUAACCUUCCUCCGACCCGACUCUCAUGAUCUUCGUGCAUCAAAGCUUAAAAAGUUUUUCCCAUGUAUUCCUCGUUCAUGUGAUCAUCGAGAAACGAGAAGUCUGCAAUUCUUUCCCCGAUACUGUUUCCAAAGGAUUCUUGAGAAUUCUUUCCUAACGCGUAGUCCAGUCUCGCAUCGACCAAGUCCCUGGAAUUACCUCAUAGUCCAAAAACCUUAGUGAGCACGAUGUGUCCAAGAGAGCAACCAGGGCUUGAUAUGAUCGCUACAAGGUAGUAGUGGUACCCUUCGAUCAAACCAUUUUCCUGGUCAAGUAGACAAGCAAAGCAGUCAUAUUUGUGAACCUCUCCAAAAGCUAAGGCAAUAAAGAAUCAGUCGGAACUGGGGAUACCCAUAGAAACCCGUCAAUUCUUGGAUCCCGUCGGCUAUGAUCGUAGACUCACGUAGAAGUUUCCUUUAGAACCAUCGGACCCUUAGCUACUCUGCCACAUGAAUAUGUACCCACUUGUUGGAAGUUUUACUCUGGAAAGACAUAGUAUGCCUUGGGAAGUGCGGAAAACUUAACUCAUGGAACAUUAGACCCUUCGAGAUCCUCGUUAGGAAUCGAUUCCAUAGCCCUCUUCGAGCUAUCUUUAGAACUCAGCAGCAACCAUCUGGCAUUCCACAUCUUUGAUAGUAAGGAUUGCCGACCUGACGAAACCCUAGAACUCCCUUGAUGAGAUCGAAACCAACGGAAGUCCGAACCUUCAUGGAUGAAUCAAUUGAGAUCAUGGAUCGAGAGGUUAGUCUUGCGUAACAAAGCCACAUCCUGACAGUGAGGGUUCGCUGAAAUGUCAAGCGGAGACCCGAUUCCACUUUGGAGCAUGAAGACCCGAAGCAGUAGAUUCAUCCUCACAUCUCUUUUCACUUCGUGAUCUGUGUUCGAAUCUUUGAAUUUCGGGACGAAAUUCCCUCUAACGUGGGGAUAAUGUAACAACCCGAAAUUCGUAUCACUGCUUGUACCCCUUGUCGCGACUCAUUUCGAUCAUCCAAUCGCCGUUUCCAAUUUCGUUUCCAAUUCCGACAUUUAAUUAAGUCAUUAAUGUGGAUAUUAUUUUAUGACUUAAUGAAUGUCUUAAUACCCUUAGAACUCAUUCUAACACCUCGUAUUAGUGGUCGGAACAUUUCUAGAAUCAGCUAUAUCGGGUUACGGCAAUUUGGCCGGGUGCGACCAAAAGCCCCGUCUCACGCUGGUAUCGGGUAGAAUUCCACUGUGUCCCGAACUUAGACACUAUUUAAAGAGAUCCAAGCUUUCAUUUGAAGCUUUUGCUUCAUUUCACAACCAUCUCUCUCUAACCUCUCUCCUCAAGCUAGAUUCAAGGUCCAAAACAUCAAAUUUAGGCUUCAAAUCACCAAGAUAAUCAUCUUAGCCCUUAGUAUAGCAUCCAUAGCCUUCAUUUUCGUGUCUAAAUCAUGGAAUAGGACCAUAAACAUGUGUUUACGGCCCUGGAACAGCCUUAGGCCGUAAACACAUGAAAAGGGGGUUUUUGAGCAACAAAACCCUUCCAAACCACAACUAGACUUUAGAUAUGGCUAAACGACUUCAUGGAAUGGACUUAGAACACUCUAGACAUGGAUUUUGAAGGAUUUGAAUGAGUUUACUGCCAAGACAUAUGCUUGAGCCGUAAACCCCUCAAACAUGGGAGUAAACACAUUUCAAACAUGUUAGAAAGCCACCCAUCACCACCAAAAGCCUUGGAAUAAAUCAUAGAACCAAGCAAAAAUAGUUUAGAGACCUUAAAUAUAUCAAAAAUCUUCAUUUGAGAGUUUACGGCCAUAGCAUGUGCUCCAGGGCCGUAAACUCCUAAAAAUGUGUUAUUUGAUGCCCUAAAUUCAUACCAAGGCUUGUAAAAAUUAUUGGAAUCACAUGUGAUUAAUCUAAGGCCUUUAACUCACUCAUUCAAGGAGAGUUUAGGAGUUUAUGGCCGUAAGCUCCAUGCUAGGGCCGUAAACUCCCUUAAGUGUUCUUAUUGGUGAUUUAAAUUCAUUCCAUGCCUUAGAUAAAAUUGUUCCAACCCUUCCCAAGUGUUAUUGACCCAUUAAGCACCAUAAAUCUUGCCAACAUGAGUUCACGGCCAUGAACUCAUGUGUGAGUGGUGUAUAUGGACGAAAAUUCAUUAGGGAGUUUACUCUUCAAGAGUAAACUCAAAUCCCAAGUCCCUCGCAUCAAUACACGUCCGUAGAUGUCACCCGGGUCACUCCAAACACUCGUUUUGAAUUGUUUUCGCUCAUUGGAGUGUAAUAUCAUAUCUAAUUAGAGUUUAUAAAUCUAAUUAGAUAUAUUUGUAUACCAUUUCAUAUUACAUAGGAACCUCGCUCGUAUUCAAGCCUCGAUUCGACGUUUAGCAUCCUAGUCGUCACAUUCCGCGUCCGGUGAGUUCAUACCCCUACUUUUUUUUACAAUGGUUUUUAAAUGUUUUCAGGGGGGAAUACAAGCAAAAGUACAAUUAUAUCUUGUACUUAAAUUCAUUAUUUUACUUAAAUAAUUUCAUAAUUCGCACACUUUUAAGAAUUGAAAACCUACUAACAAACUGUUUUAACUUGCAGAGUUGUUUGUUUAAAUGAUUUCAAUUCUUAUUAUAUACUGUUAUGUUUCACAAUUUAUUGUUCACACUUAUAUUGAUAGAGAUCUUAAAACCUUUGUAAUGUCUGUAAUAAAACAGCCUAGGCUCGAGUGUAAAGGAUAGACACGAUUACAAAACAUAAAACAUUUGUAAUGUCUGUAAUAAAACACCCUAGGCUCUAGUGUAAAGGAUAGACACCAAUAGAAAACAUAAAACAUUUGUAAUGUCCUUAAUAAAACACCUAGGCUCGAGUGUAAAGGACACACACCAUUAGAACUUAGUUAGUCAUAGAUACUACUUCCCUAGGCACGAGAGUAAAGAGUAAUCUUAAAGAUUGGAGACAUGUCCUCGGUGAACACUCCACAGAGAUACGCGAGUGGAGGACCGCACCUGUAACCAGAAUCUCUUAGAUAGGGAGCGUGACUUGAGUGUAUAGAUCUAUACGGGACUGACAAUCCCGCACCUGGCUGCUAGCUACAGCCGAACCGAAAGGUUCAAGGGUGACGAAAGUCAUAAAAAGGAUACUGGCCACGACUCGAGUCAUAUCUGGUCUGAAGUAUGGUUAUGGAACUCACAAUCAAGAUUAUGAACACUUCACAGUUAAUUAUUAGUUUUAUGUACGUAAUAAAACUAAUGUACAAUUAAGGAUAAUCAGACUUUCAGGAGAAUUCGCACACACACACGUUCAGGAAAAUAUGGGAUUUUCCUGGGGGAUAACAUUAAACAUAAUCAGAAUUGGUAACAGUUCACACACACACACAUGUAGGAAAAUAUAGGAUUUUCCUGAGUAACAGUAGUACGUAAGCAGAAAAUUGUAACAAGUUGGAUAACUAAACUUUACAAUUCACAAGAAUAAUUAUGUUUUCAGAAUACAUCUUUUUCAUAACAUUUUGGAUUUGGUAACCAACUUUUAAGAAAAUAUGGGAUUUUCUUGGAUAACCACUUUUUCAGGAAACCAAAGGAACUCAUACAUUUUUCACAAAACAAAACCGCUUAUGAACUCACCAGCUUUAUGUUGAUUUUCAAUCUGCUUGUAUUCUCAGGUACGUGUUAGACAGGUACCCGACGAUCUCUUUCGGUGAAGACGGAGUGCGUAGAAGACUCGUCUCAUUUUGUUUAUAUAUACUAUGUAUCACAUGUAUAACUUUACUUUUGAAACAAAUGUAAACUAUUAUAUAUGUAAUGUANUGUUUUAGUGUAAUCAACAAUUGUCCGAUUGGGAGUGUGGUUACUACGUUAUGAACUGGAUGCAUGGGUUUGUAAUUUUUCGACAACAUGGAUUUCCGAAAGUAAGUAUAUUGUUAGAUAUUUUUUUCAUUUUUGUUUAUUGUAAUAAAGGCUCACCUUUGUUAAAUAACAAAUUUUUUAUCUUAAUUUGUUUGUAGAACAUUUUGAAGGACAAAAAACCAUUUUUUAGUGAGGAAUUGGAGGAACGUGUUAAAACAUGGAUGAGAACUUUUGGUGAUAAAGUGAAGCCUUUUUGUAAGGUACACAAAUUGUAUUUCAUGUUGUAUUUGCUCAUAUUUUUUAUGUUCUGGAGAAGUUUUCACCCUUGCAUUGCUAUAGAUGAAGUUGUUAAUGGCCAAGGUCUUAUAAUUUGAGUUUUCAUCAUUAAAAGUUAUUUGAGAUUUUGAAUCCUAAGUUUUCUUGUUAAUUUUUGUAGGCAUACAAUGAAUCAACCACAUAGGGGAAAGAGAGGUUAGAGGUGACAAAGGGGAAAGAGAGGUUAGAGAUGUGACAUUAACAAAUUUUUUUCUGUUUAAUGAACUAAGUUCAUUGUAAUUUUUUUUUCUAUUUCUGAAAAUGAAAACAUGAUCACUGAUGUCCCACUUCUUAUGGUUGGAAUGGAAUCAUAUAGUAGGUUUGUAUUUUGUAGAGAUUGAUCCAUGUGUUCCAGAGCAUCCAUGGACUGUAAUUGACUGUUUGGAGUGGAAUUGGAAUGGAAUUGGUGUAUUAGAUGUGAGACAUCAAGUACGGUUGUUUAUUGGUGUAUUAGAUGUGUAUAUAUGGCGUAUUAGAUGAUUGUAUGUGUAAAAUAGAUAGGAUAAUAUAAUACGGUCAAAUAGCCGUACUCUAUUAUGCAUGUAAUCUAAUACACCCGUCUACUAAUACGCCCUCUAUGUACAUAUUAUAUUCACAAUGUCUGUAAUAAAACACCCUAGGCUAGAGUGUAAAGGAUAGACACCAUUACAAAACAUAAAACAUUUGUAAUGUCUGUAAUAAAACACCCUAGGCUCGAGUGUAAAGGAUAGACACCAUUAAAAAACAUAAAACAUUUGUAAUGUCCUUACUAAAUCACCUAGGAUCGAGUGUAAAGGACAGGCACCAUUAGAACUUAGUUAGUCAUAGAUACUACUUCCCUAGGCACGAGAGUAAAGAGUAAUCUUAAAGAUUGGAGACACGUCCUCGGUGAACACUCCACAGAGAUACGCGAGUGGAGGACCGCACCUGUAACCAGAAUCUCUUAGAUAGGGAGCGUGACUUGAGUGUAUAGAUCUAUACGGGACUGACAAUCCCGCACCUGGCUGCUAGCUACAGCCGAACCGAAAGGUUUAUGGGUGACGAAGUCAUAAAAAGGAUACUGGCCACGACUCGAGUCAUAUCUGGUCUGAAGUAUGGUUAUGGAACUCGCAAUCAAGAUUAUGAACACUUCACAGUUAAUUAUUAGUUUUAUGUACGUAAUAAAACUAAUGUACAAUUAAGGAUAAUCAGACUUUCAGGAGAAUUCGCACACACACACGUUCAGGAAAAUAUGGGAUUUUCCUGGGGGAUAACAUUAAACAUAAUCAGAAUUGGUAACAGUUCACACACACACACAUGUAGGAAAAUAUAGGAUUUUCCCGAGUAACAGUAGUACGUAACCAGAAAAUUGAAACAAGUUGGAUAACUAAACUUUACAAUUCACAAGAAUAAUUAUGUUUUCAGAAUACAUCUUUUUCAUUACAUUUUGGAUUUGGUAACCAACUUUUAAGAAAAUAUGGGAUUUUCUUGGAUAACCACUUUUUCAGGAAACCAAAGGAACUCGUACAUUUUUCACAAAACAAAACCGCUUAUGAACUCACCAGCUUUAUGUUGAUUUUCAAUCUGCUUGUAUUCUCAGGUACGUGUUAGACAGGUACCCGACGAUCUCUUUCGGUGAAGACGGAGUGCGUAGAAGACUCGUCUCAUUUUGUUUAUAUAUACUAUGUAUCACAUGUAUAACUUUACUUUUGAAACAAAUGUAAACUAUUAUAUAUGUAAUGUAACGGUUGUCUACUUUGCUUACUAUGUGCAUUGGAUUUGAUACUCAACGAGGAGUCCGCCCCGGAAAUGUUUCCGCCUUCGGUUUUCGGGGUGUGACAAUCAUUGUCGCUAAAACCUCUCAAACUUGCAUCCUCAGUUCUAGUAUAGAUAAGCCCGUGAUUGAGAGUACCAUUUAUGUAACGCAAUAUAUGCUUACCAACUUCCCAAUGACUUUUCUUGGGAUUCUCCAUGAUGCAACUAAUAACACUUACAGAAAACAUGAUAUCGGGUCUUGUUGCAGUUAAAUACAUAAGGCUACCUACCAUACUCCUAUAUAGACUAGGAUUCACAUCAUCUUCGGAUGUAUUUUUUGAGAAUUUUGAUCCAAACUCCAUUGGUGUAAAGACAGGUGAAGAACCCACCAUGUUGAAGCGUUUAAGCAGUUCCUUAGCAUACCUGUGUUGGGAAAUUGAGAUCCUCUUUUGCUCCUACUUUACCUCUAUUCCCAAGAAGUAAUGCAAUAGUCCCAUGUCAGUCAUUUCAAAUUCUGUUUUCAUAGAUUCCUUAAAUUCAUGAACCAUUUCCUCUAAGUUUCCUGUAAAAACCAAAUCAUCAACAUACAAACAACUAAUUAAGAUUUUUUUAGUAGCCUCUUUGACAAAGAGGGUAUGCUCGAAGGGGCAUUUCUUGAAGCCAUUAUCCAGGAAGUACUUUUCAAUUCUACUGUACCAGGCACGGGGUGCCUGCCUUAAACCAUACAAGGCCUUUUUCAAGUGACAAACUUUAUACUCUUCCCCCUUCUUCACAUAUCCAGUUGGUUGAUCAGUGUACACGUUUUCUUCAAGUGUGCCAUUUAGGAAGGCCAAUUUCACAUCCAUUUGAUGCACAUCCCAUUCAUUUUGUGCUGCUAAAGAAAGAACCAAACGAAUUGUUUCUAGUCUGAUUACCGGAGCAAAUACCUCAUGGUAAUCAAUUCCCAACUUUUGUUUGUAUCCCUAGGCGACUAAACUUGCCUUAUAUUUUUCAACCUCUCCUCUUUCAUUAAGUUUGGUUUUAUAUACCCAUUUGACACCAAUAGAUUUAUGAUCUUUGGGUGGAUCAACUAGUUCCCAUGUAUCAUUCUUCAGAAUUGACCUUAUUUCUGCAUCCAUUGCAUCUCUCCAUUUCUUAUCUUGAAUUGCAUCUUCAAAAGUAACAGGAUCAACAUCAAUAAAAAGAGCAUAGUCAGCCAUGUCUUCAAAGUCCAAUCUUUGAGUGUUUUCAUAUAGGUUUGCCAUGCUUCAUUUUUUCUUGAUCCUUCUAACACGAGGUGGUUCUUCAGAUGAACUUGAAGAUUCAUCGAUGGAUUGUACUGAGUUGUCAUUGACAGGUGUGUGUGUGUGUGUGUGUGUGUGUCUAUUCAUGUCAUUUCCCUCCUCAUUGCUUUCUUUUCCUGAACAAAUGCUCAUCGGGAUGUGUGCAAUGUUCUCUUCACUUCUUAAAGGUUCAUUCCAAGCUUUUGCUUCAUCAAAAAUAACAUCUUUGCUUACGAUUACCUUUUUUGUUAUAGGAUUAUAGAGCUUGUAUGCUUUUGUGUUUUUGCUGUAACCCACAAACACUGUUUUUUCGGAUUUCUGAUCGAGUUUUCUCCUUCUUUGGUCAGGAACAUGUGCAUAGGCAAUGCACCCAAAAACCUUUAAAUUUCCUACACCCGAUUUAAGACCACUCCAAGCUUCCUGUGGUGUCAUGUUGUUUACACUUUUUGUUGAUGUUCUGUUGAUCAGAUAUGCUGCACAUGCUAUUGCUUCAGCCCAAAAUUCCUCUGGUAAUCUUUUUCCCUAUAACAUGCACCUUGCCAUCUCUCCAAGAGUCCUAUUUUUUCUUUCAGCAACCUCGUUUUGCUGGGGUGUGUAACUUGCAGUUAGUUGAUGAUGUUUGCCAUUCUCUUUCAAGAGAGAUUGAAGACAAGAGCAGUGUAUUCCCCACCACGAUCAGAACUUAAACAUUUGAUUUUGUGUUCACUUUGAUUUUCAACCAAAGAUUUAAAGAUCACAAAGUAAUUGUAGGUCUCCGAUUUUUCUUUAAGAAAGUAAAUCCAGAUUUUUCUGCUAAAAUCAUCUAUGAAGGUUAAUACAUACCUACUUCCUCCGAUUGACAGUGUUUUCAUAGGACCCCAAAUGUCCGAGUGGACCAAUUCGAGAGGCUUUGAUGCCCUCCAUGCCUUGUCUUGAGGAAAUGACUUCUUUGAAUGUUUACCCAACGCACAUGCUUCACAUACAUACUUUGCAACAACGAUAGAGGGUAACCCAUGUACUAGUUGGUGUUUAUGCUUGUAUGUGAGAGCACCAAAGUUUGCAUGGCCAAACCUGUGAUGCCACAGACGUGACACAUCUUUUGUGUUUAUGUAGAGAGAGAAAAGAUUGUCCCCAUCAAACUUGAUAAGAAACAUCUUGUUCACAAUCAUCUUUACUCUCCCGAUCAAAUUAUUAUUCCUGUCUUUUAUCUCACAGAAUCCAUUUUUAAACCGUAAAUCAUACCCUUUCAUAAUAAGUUGUCCCACACUCAAUAGGUUAUGUCUCAAACCUGUUACGUAGAACACAUUAGAGAUAUUCUUUUCAUUAUCUCUAAUCUUAAUGGAUAUCACUCCAUUCCCUGCCACACUAAGCUUGUUAUCGUCCCCAGUUCGGACUUCCCUUUUCUUUGAGUUUUCUAGACUAACAAACAGGUCUUUAUUCCCUGUCAUAUGGUUACUGUAACCACUAUCUAGAUACCACAAGGUAUCUUGCACUGAAUCUUGAACACUAAGCAUCAUGAACAUCGUGUCAUCAUCAUUGCUUUCUUCGUUGUGAAUGAAACUAGACUCCGUUCCUUCAUCUGCAAUUCGUUUUCUGCAGACUUUCUUGACAUGACCGAACUUAUGGCAAUAAUGGCACUGUAUUUGUGGUUUUCUUUGAUUCUUGCCUUUGUUGGUGUUUCCGGGUUGAUUAUCUAUAGCCUGAAAGGCGUGUUCCAAUAUAGGGGAUUCAAACUGCUUCAUCCUAAGUUCAUGGGAUUGAAGCGUACCCAAAAGAUUUUCUAAUGAAAAAUCCUCCAAGUUUUUCGACUCCUCUAUAGCCACAACGACGUAUUCGAAUUUUUUUGUGAGGCUUCGCAAGAUUUUCUCAACAACCCUCCUAUCUUCAAGGAUUUCUCCAUUUAAGCGCAUUUGAUUUAUAAGGAUUAUUACCCGAUUGUAAAACUCUUCUAUGGAUUAAGUUUCUUUCAUUCUUAAUUCAUCGAACUCACAACGAAGCGUCUGCAAUCUAACAAUCUUAACCUUCUCUUCUCCUCUGUUUGAUUUGUGCAAAAUAUCCCAGGCCUCCUUUGAAGUGUCAGAGGAUGAAAUUCUUUCAAAUAUGUUUUCAUUGACUGCUUGGUAUAUUAGAAAUAAGGCCCUUCUAUCUUUCUUCCUCAAAUCAUUCAACUCUAAUGUCUCAAGCGCAGUCAAUAUGGUGGGUUCUGUGGGUUCAUCGAUUCCGUGUUCAACAACAUCCCAAAGAUCCUGAGAUUCAAACAACACUUUCAUUUGGAUAUUCCAGUGAAAGUAAUUCUUUCCAUUUAGUUUUGGUAACUGCGGUUGAGAUUGUAAUCCGUUCCCAGAAGUUGAUGCCAUGAAGAUUGGCUCUGAUACCAAUUUGUUGGAAGAAAUUAUGGAUAAACAAGAAGAAGAUGAUUUAUCAUACGUAAAUGUCAACUCGUUUAUUAAUUCACAGAGUUUACAUAUUUAUAUGUCCCUAACAUCCCUAACCAUCACGUCCAUUCAUUAGGACGGUUACAUAACUGAUAACGACUUUUACUAUAAACACCAACUAACUGAUUAUAAUUAGAUAAUAUUUACAAAGUAUCUAGCUUAACUCUAACAAAUUGGAAUGGAGGUGAGCUGAAUGGAAAAUAUAUUGAAAAAAGUUAACCAACAAACCUUACGUAAGUCGCCAUCUUCCAACUUCUCAACAAUCCUUGGACCAGAUGAGAAGAAACCCCGUCCUAGAGGACUGUAUGUAACAAUCCCGAUCCCAAGUUCUCUGAUAACGUAUGAUAUAUAUACAUAAGAAUGGAACUUCAGAUUUUUUGAUACAUGUUUAUUGAGAAAAUUAGAAAAAGAAAAACAGGAAAGAAAAGACAGCCAACCUGCAUGUAGGAAUGAUUUCUUCUUCUGCAUUUCUUGUCCACAAGGACCAUUCGAGUUGUAUAGCUGUUAAUGGGUGCACAGCAUGAGCUCUUCUGAUGGCUGAUGCUGACGCCUCCGAUAAUCCAACAUAUUUGAUCUUUCCUUCUUCCACAAGCUCCUUUAGUGCUCCCAUCUAACAAGAAAGAUAAAAGAUCUUAGGAGAUCGAUAUAAAUGGAUAAUGAAUUUAAGCAGGACUGCAACAGAACGACGUGUAAAGAGGAGGAAAUUAACAGUGAUUUCAAUAGGCACACGGUUGUCAAUCCUGUGCUGAUAAUAUAGAUCAAUACAAUCGACGCCUAAUCUCUUCAAGCUAGCUUCACAAGCAUACUUUAUAUAGGCCGGGUCUCCGGAGACGUCCAUGUGAUUACUGCUCUCGUAUUUGAACCCGAAUUUGGUACCCAGCUACACUUUUUCCCUGCCCUAUCCAGUCAAUGCCUGUAAUACAAAAAAAAAUGUUUGCUAAUCAGUCUACACAAGAAACGAUACUUAAACCAUAAGUUGACUGAAUCAAAACAUGAAAAAACCCAUGUGCUCUACGACCUUAAAACUAAUUGGGAGCGACAUUUGAUCAAUGUAAUAUUUAGUUAUGAAGCUUGUAAUAGUAGAAGAAUGUUACCUUGCUGAUAAGAACUUCGUUGGUUUGAGGGCCGUAGAUGUCGGAGGUGACUAGAAAGGUAAUGACGGCGUUAAUGGCGUGCUGGAUGAGCUUGAUCAUGUCAGGUUCAGGUUUGGGUUUUAAUUUCCAUAUAAAUAAGACAUUCCCAUACAACCUAAACCCUGAGCCGAUACCUCUAGACCCUGUGAACCUAGUUUGACUUUACGAACUCCUGCCAUUUUCGAAAUUUGUUGUUCUUUUAUAAAUUGACGAAAGCAACGCCUGACAGCUUACUUAUAUAGGGAGCAAGAAGCGGAGAGUUUGGAAGGCGUAGGUACCAAAGUAAUUGACUUUUUAACGUUAGAAAUGAAGAAGAAUAUAUAACACUUACUUACAAAUGUACAUAGCGUUUUUAAUUUAACCAAGUGUUCGACUAAUUAUAAAUGAGAAGUCGACAUAGGUUAUCUAGUUUUUGGUACAUAGUACAUGAUUUAAUCAUAGGUAUGCAUACACCCCAGUUUACAUGCUUUUUUACCUAAAAUUUAUAUAGAAUUUUUUUUAUUAUUAUAAUUGAUUUUCAGUUAAUGCCCCAUACUAAUAAUAAUAAUAGUUUUAUAUUAUACACCCCUUACAAUCAUCUCUUGAUCUGAUAUCAUAUUAUGAUCAACUUGGGUAAUUUCUCAGUUACUAUUUUUAAUCAACUUUUUCUUUUUUCAAUUCAUAAUACCCGAAUUGAAAAUCUUGUAUUUGAUUGUUUUGGGUAGUUAAUCAAUGAAAGAGACGAGUUAAAAGAGAACAUGUACAUGCGCACACAAAACUUAGCAUUUAUGAUACAAACCCAUGAAGUGAUACACGAUCUGGACAGUAGACUAAUUCUCAUGAUUUCUUUUUCCAUUAUGCAUGUUGCUAGUAGACUAAUUCUCAUGAUUUCUUUUUCCAUUGUGCAUGUUGCCACGUUUCCCUUUUUUUAGGAAUGCCAUGCUAGCUAUUUCCUUUCAGUAACUUUGCACGUCUUCAAUUCCUAGUUAGUUGCAAUCUUUUCUUUAAAUACCUUGUAAUUUGCAUUGGAGAAUAUAGCAGAAAAUUGUCUCAAUUAUCAGUUGUUUAGUUGUUUAUUUAGCUAGCAUCUUCUAUCUCCUAUAUCUAUUUCUACAGGGGACUUGCCAUCCAUAAUUUGGCUGUAUCAAUUUAUGUGUGUUUUUAAAUGACGUGGCCUGCAAACAAAGGAGAAUACACAAAUUAAGCGUAGCAUUCAUGUGUCUUUUUAUUGUUAUGGCCCUGUAAUCAACUUUGUACGUUGCUGCUGCAGCCUACCAGUAGGGUGUUAGAAUUAUAAUGUAGACUUGUUUUAUAAACUAUAGUUAGUGUGAAUUAAUGUUAGGCAGUUAAAAUGGGUGGUUAAUUUAGUUACCUUAACUGUCAAAUAUGGCAGUUAAAUCUGGAAGUUAGGUAUUUAGGAAAAGAUGUAGUGGUUAGAAGGGUUGUAUCGUUUUGGUACUAGUGCCUAUAUAUGUAUCAAAUGUAUGUAAUCUUCUGUUGACUUAAUAAAAGAAUUAAUGUGUUUGUUGUGUAAAGAAACUCUCCUUUGCAUUCUUCCCGAUGCACAUGAUCUUGCAACUUCUGAUAUGUUAGAUUAAAUCCAAUGUUAAUUGUAUAUUUGUAUGUUUAGUACAGAUCUAUACAAUUAUAUAGUUUAGGGGUCCUUUAUAUAAAUAUGUUACUCUAUGUAUUAUAUAUAUUGAUGAAUGAGAUUGACAGUGAUGACUCCGGUAUGGGACACCAUUCGAGGGGCCCAGGCGGAGGCCGUGAGACCGGAAAACCGCUAGAGGGAGCGAGUGAACGGGCAGGUAUCGGAGUUUGUUACCGAUAGUCGAGGACUUAUGACCUUUCAGGGUUGGGUUUGGGUACCGUUUGUGGGCGGAACGCGUACCGUCUUGAUGGAGGAGGCGCAUAGAUCGAAGUUCUCGAUCCACCUUGGGGCCACUAAGAUGUAUUUGGACUUGAAGAAGGAGUAUUGGUGGCCCUGUAUGAAGAGGGAUGUUGCAUGGUUCGUAGAAAGGUGCUUGACCUGUCGCAAGGUUAAGGCCGAGCACCAGCAUCCACAUGGUAAGUUGCAGCCGUUAGAGAUUCUUGAGUGGAAGUGGGAAGAGAUGACCAUGGAUUUUAUCACCAAAUUGCCGAGAACUGCCAGGGGUGUCGAUGCAAUUUGGGUAAUUGUGGACAGGUUGACGAAGAGCGCUCACUUCCUUGCCAUCAGUGAGAGCUCUUCCGCGGAGAGGCUGGCAGAGUUGUACAUUAGGGAGGUGAUAUCGCGGCAUGGAGUACCGAUCUCGAUCGUCUCAGAUCGAGAUGUGUGUUUCACUUCCAGAUUCUGAAAGAAAUUUCAUGAGGAAUUCGGUACGAGGCUGCAUUUAAGUAUCACAUACUACCCACAGACCGAUGGGCAGAGCGAGCGGACGAUUCAGACGCUCGAGGAUAUGUUUCGGGCAUGUGUACUGGAUUUCGGCAGGAGUUGGGACACGUAUUUGCCCUUGGCUGAGUUUUCCUAUUACAACAGCAAUCACUCAAGCAUUGGUAUGCCACCCUUUAAGUUGUUGUAUGGAAGGAGGUGUCGUACCCCCAUUUGCUGAGGUGAGAUAGGGCAACGUGUGAUGGGUAGUACAGAGAUAGUGCUUCAGACGACAGAGCAAAUACUGCAGCUCUUCCUUGCCAUCAGUGAAAGCUCUUCUGCGGAGAGGCUGACCAGUUGCGAUUAUGGAUCGGAAGGUCAAGGUUUUAAGGAACAAGGAAGUGCCCCUGGUGCCGGUCCAGUGGCAACAUUGGAGGGGGUCCGAGCUGACUUGGGAACCGGAGCGCGAGAUGCGUGAGCAGCAUCCAGAGUUAUUGCGUAAUUAGACUUCGAGAACGAAGUCUGAUUCUAGUGGGGGAGAAUUGUAACAUCCGGACUCCCAGGUAUCUUAUUUAUGCUUUAAUAUUGAGUUUUUGGAGAGAGACUCGGCGAGUAGGCGCUCAGACUCGCCUAGUAGGAGCGCGGAUGGUCAGACUGAUUUAAUGGUGCACUCGGCGAGUCCACGCUGUUUAAUGAAUCCCUAAUCCCCGGGGUUUGAGACCUAUUUAAAGGGGAUUAUAGCCACCAUUUGCGGCUACCAGACCCUUGAGAGAAACCCUUAUUGUGCUUGAACGUUUGUGAGAGACAAGAAGUCAUUAUUGGACCUUUGUGGGUUUGUUUUGCUAGAAGAAGUUGAUUCCAGCUUGGAGGAGGCCAAGGAAGUUGCAUAUUCGUGGAUUUCAAGCAGAGGGCAUCAUCUUUGCGGUAGCAUAUCGACCCUCUUUCUGUUUUGUUAAGGCAUCCAUGCAUCUAGGGUUUCCUAUGCCCUUUAUUGUGUUGAUUUGUUGAGAAUAAGGUCCCUUAUCAUGUUUAGACUUCAGAUCUGGACCCAUAGUGAUCCAUAGAAGGUUAUCCAUCUUGCUUUAUGUUGGGUUAUGGUAGAGAUGAACUUAGAGUGUUGUAUUUGGGACCAAAUCAUCAAGUAGUGUCAUUUGGAUGUUGCAUGUGUAUCAAGUUCGAACCUUUACGUGUUUAUUGAGCUUGGGGAGGUUAGAUCUAUGGAUUAGAGGAGCAGAUCUGACCUCAGAUGGUCAUUUGAGUUUGAGCAUGGCUUGAACUCGCCGAGCUCAAGAACAGACUCGGCGAGUAGGAUGAGUUUCCCCCAUAAAUCACGCAGAUGGUAACUCGCUGAGUUGGGGAAGUGACUCAGUGAGUCAUUUGGGGUUUUGAGGACGUGAGUUCAUGACUGAACUCGCUGAGUCAUAAUUGUGCACUCGGCGAGUUUGGUCAAAGGGUUGUUCAUUGACUUUUGUUGACUUUUAGGGCUGGUUAACUUUAGAGUAUUUGGGAGUUGAGAGGGGUAAAAUGGUCUUUUAGCAUCCUAAGAGUGCUAAGAGAAGGAAUGGUCUUGCUUUGGGAAUUGUGUUGAUGUCGAGUGUUUAUUUUCGUAUGAUUAGGCGGAGGCUAAAUCCUAUUUCACGGAGACCGAGAUUUUCGAGUGACCGAGUUACACGAGGUGAGUCUUCUCACUAUACAUUACCUAGAGUGGUAUUAUGAGUUGACCGAAAGGUCUUAUGUGCUAUGUAUGAGAUUCUGUGCCAUGUAUGAGAUUAUGCGCUAUGUGAUGUAUGUAUGAUAUAUAAUUGUAUAUACCGGACCGGAGGCUCCAACGAUUCAGACCGGUUCGGAGGGCCCAACAAGCUAUGACCGGACCAGAGGGUCCAACGAGCUACGGGACUGGAGGGUCCCGCUGAGACACAUCGGUCAGAGGGUUGUACAGUAGCCUCGAGUGGUGUAUGUGUUGUAUGUGGUAUUUUGGGGAACUCACAAAGCAUUUAUGCUUACAGUUGUUGUGUUAUGUGUUUCAGGUACUAGUGAGGACCGUGGGAAGGCGCCGACAUGAACCGUACACACCGAGAGGAGAUUUGAGUUAUGAUCUUGAGGACAUGUUUGAUUAAUAACUAUUGUGAAACACUUUUUGAGAAUGUUUUAUAUUUAAAAUAUGGUUGUUGAAAAAUGAAAAUUUUGUUUUGGAAAUCUCAUCGUUACAAGUUGGUAUCAAAGCCUUGGUUUGAGGGAUUCGGAUGCACCUUCGGGCGUAUUUGAACUCAAACUGAGGAUUUGAGAGAUUUUUUAUAAAACAAGUUUUUAAAAGAGUAAGAGGUUUAAAAAAAGAGAGAAGAGCAGAGCAGUGUGUACGGUCAGCGAGCACCCGAACGGUGAAUCCCCAAAAUACCCUUACAUUCUGUGUUAUGAGAAUAUGCUAUGUUAUGUUAUACAUGCCAGAGUAGGCUAGGUACUCAUAUUAGGACUAGAGUGGCCUAAUUUGUGAUGCCUUAGCCUAGGAGAUUACUGUUGCUAUGAGAUGCCCUGAGAGUGAGUAGGUAGUAGAUGAGAGAUCUAUCGGAGGGUAGCCAAUGCAUAGCGAGAGUAGAGUACUUGUGAUCCGAAAUCCAAGGAGGAGGAUUUGGGGUGAAUGUUGAUGCGGUGUGGUCAGUAGUAUAGGACCUGUAAUACUGAAGACACCGGAUCAACGAGCAGUCCAAGUAAGAAUCCUUUGGAUAUUGGAGGACGAGUAGGGUUGCGUUAUCGAGUGCGAGUAUGCUCGAUCGAGUCUCUGAUAUUUUUAUGUUGUAUUUCAGAGACAACAUGGUUGGGACACGACACACACCGGGGAGCAGUGGUGUCAGCGACGAGUAGAUCCGUCGAUUGAUUCAUGAGGAGGUGACUGCUGCCAUCCGGGCUGAGAUUCCAGAGAUGUUCGGGGACAUUAAGACCACAUUGAUUGAGACCUUUGACGAGCGGUAUGCAGCAAUGACUGAGGCUGCGGCUGCUGCAGCUACUGCUGCUGUUGCUGCUGCCAGACCUCAGGGAGGUGACUCGUUGUUGUUUCGGGAGUUCAGCAACACGAAGCCACCAGAGUUUGAUGGGACGCAGGACCCAAUUGCUGCGAUGAGAUGGGUUUCUGAAAUCGAGGGGUAUUUCUAUACGUGUUCUUGUCCAGAACACUUGAGGGUACGGUUCGCUCUGAAAUAGCUCUGCUUGGGAGCGAAGGAUUAGUGGAAGUUCGUGACGGAGAGCUUCACUCUGGCAGAGAUUUCUGAGGUGAACUGGGAGAGGUUCACCGCCAUGUUCAGAGAUGAGUAUGUUCCCCUGGUGGAGAGGUAACGGUUGAUUCAGGAGUUCUUGACCCUCAAGCAGGGUACUGAUUCUGUCACAGUUGUUACCAGGAAGUUUCAUGAGAGGGCGAUGUUUUCCCCUGAGCAGGUGUCUAUGAGCAGGCUCACAUGAGCCGGUACUGAGUGUUCUGAGAAGAGAUAUUCAAGAGUUCGUGGCGAACUCGACUUACCGGACAUUUGCUAAGCUCCAGGAAAAUGCCCAGAAGAGGGAGAUUGAGUUGGAGACUUAGGCCAGGGAGGAGGCCGAGUGACAGAGGAUGGACCGGCGGCCGGCUUAGUCUCAGCCGGCAGCCCAGUGGGCUAAGCCCGCUGAUUCGAGAUCUGGGAGCGCGAAGGGCCGCACUUGUGGGAAGUGCGGCAAGAGUCACGAGGGGUCGUGCAGGGCAGGGGUAUGCUAAAAGUGCGGGAAGGAGGGGCAUAUCGCGAGGGAUUGCCCCAAGGGAUUCUCUAUUUGCUUCCAUUGCAACCAGACCGGCCAUCGGAAGGCCGAGUGCCCUCAGCUACAGCAGGGAUCUGCGCCUGCGGCUAGGGCUACCGAGGUUCGUCCAGUGAAGGCCGAGGCACCAAAGGCCCACGGGAGAGCCUUCCAAUUGACAGCAAAGGAGGUCCGCGCAGCACCCAACGUUGUGGUUGGUAUGUAUUCUUCUCUCUAUUUAUUUGAGUCUGAGAUAUUAUGCUUAUAUCAUGUUAUGCGUAGGUACUUUUCUUGUGAAUUUUGUACCUACCUUAGUGCUAUUUGACUCAGGAGCGAGUCGAUCUUUUGUGUCGUUAGCUUUUAGUCGUCAUAUCAGUAUUUAUCGAGAGGCCUUGAGUCGACCUCUGUGAGUUUCUAUAGCUAACGAGCAAGCAGUGUAUGCCACGGAGGUGAUACGAGGAUGUAGACUUGAGAUCUUCGGUGUGGGGUUCCCGAUCGAUCUAGUCCCGAUUGCGAUGGGGGACGUAUGUGUCAUAGUGGGCAUGGAUUGAUUGAACCAAUUUGGAGCUAUUAUAGAUGGCAUGCGUCAAUGGUGACGAUUCGAGACCCUAGUGGGGGAGUACUUACGGUGUACAGUGAGGGUACCCAUCCUAAGUUAGCAUUUUGUUCGGCGAGUCCAUGCUGUUUAAUGAAACCCUAAUCCCCGGGGUUUGAGACCUAUUUAAAGGGGCUUAUAGCCACCAUUUGCGGCUAACAGACCCUUGAGAGAAACCCUUAUUGUGCUUGAGCGUUUGUGAGAGAGAAGAAGCCAUUAUUGGACCUUUGUUGGUUUGUUUUGCUAGAAGAAGUUGAUUCCAGCUUGGAGGAGGCAAAGGAAGUUGCAUAUUCGUGGAUUUCAAGCAGAGGGCAUCAUCUUUGCGGUAGCAUAUCGACCCUCUUUCUGCUUUGUUAAGGCAUCCAUGGAUCUAGGGUUUCCUAUGCCCUUUAUUGGGUUGAUUUGUUGAGAAUAAGGUCCCUUAUCAUGUUUAGACUUCAGAUCUGGACCCAUAGUAGUCCAGAGAAGGUUAUCCAUCUUGCUAUAUGUUGGGUUAUGGUAGAGAUGAACUUAGAGUGUUGUAUUUGGGACCAAAUCAUCAAGUAGUGUCAUUUGGACCUUGCAUGUGUAUCAAGUUCGAACCUUUACGUGUUUAUUGAGCUUGGGGAGGUUAGAUCUAUGGAUUAGUGGAGCAGAUCUGACCUCAGAUGGUCAUUUGAGUUUGAGCAUGGCUUGAACUCGCCGAGUCCAAGAACAGACUCGGCGAGUUGGAUGAGUUUCCCCCAUAAAUCACAUAGAUGGUAACUUGCUGAGUUGGGGAAGUGACUCAGUGAGUCAUUUGAGGUUGUAAGGACGUGAGUUCAUGACUGAACUCGCCAAGUGACAAUUGUGCACUCGGCUAGUUUGGUCAAAGGGUUGACCGUUGACUUUUGUUGACUUUUAGGGUUGGUCAACUUUAGAGUAUUUGAGCUUGGAGAGGGUUAAAAUGGUCUUUUACCCCCCUAAGAGUGCUAAGAGAGGGAAUGGUCUAGCCUUGGGAAUUGUGUUGAAGUCGAGUGUUUAUUUUCGUAUGAUUAGGCGGAGGCUAGAUCCUAUUUCACGGAGACCGAGAUUUCCGAGUUACCGAGUUACACGGGGUGAGUCUUCUCACUCUAGAUUACCAAGAAUGGUAUUAUGAGUUGACCGGAAGGUCUUAUGUGCUAUGUAUGAGAUUGUGUGCCAUGUAUGACAUUAUGUGCUAUGUGAUGUAUGUAUGAUAUAUAAUUGUAUAGACCGGACCGGAGGGUCCAACGAUUCAGACCGGGUCGGAGGGCCCAACGAGCUAUGAUCGGACUAGAGAGUCCAAAGAGCUACGGGACCGAAGGGUCCCGCUGAGACACAUCGGCCAGAGGGUUGUAUAGUAGCCUCGAGUGGCGUAUGUGUUGUAUGUUGUAUUUUGGGGAACUCGCUAAGCAUUUAUGCUUACAGUUGUUGUGUUAUGUGUUUCACUGCAACGCCAAAGUCAUCCUAAGUAGUGGUCUCCAUCACCUCACCUGUAACAACCUGAAAUUGUUCGUCGCCAAAACCCGUUCUACCCGAAAGGUCGCCGUUAUCAAAUUCGUUUCGUUUUCUCUUUGGGUUAAUUAUAUAAACUUAUACGUUGAUUUUAAUUUAAUGAGUGUCUAAAUCACUCAGGAACUCACGUAAUUAGCCUGAAUAUAAUUAUUACAUGAGUUUUAGAAACGUCCCCGCCAGGUGAUGGAAACUCAAUCGGGUGCGACCUAAAGCAUCGUUUAAGGCCGGUAUCGGGUAGAAUUCCACUGUGUCCAAGUUUUAGGAACUAUAUAAACAUGUUUAACCUCUCAUUUGAAGCUUUUUCCUUCUCUCUCUACUCUCUCUCUAACCUCUCUCCUAAAUCCAAAGAUUAAGGGUCCAAAACUCAAUUUUAAGGCCUCAAAUCCUUAAGGUACCUUCCUAGCCUUAAUCUAUAGCAUGUUUGGCUUCCAAAUUUGACAUUUAAUCAUGAAAUAGGACAUCAUAUGUGAGUUUACGGCCCAGGAGGCUGCCUAGGCCGUAAACACCAUUUUGAAGGGUUUUAAGCCCUUAAACUCCUUCCUAAACUCAUUUGGACUUUAGAUAUGGCUAAGGGACUUCAAGAUAUGGACUUAGAACACUUAAAUCAUGGAUUUUGAGUCAUUUGAAGGAGUUUACGGCCAAGGCAUAAGCUUGGGCCGUAAACUCAUUUAAAUGGGGUUUUUCAUGCCCUUAAACCCUUCCAAAUCACUACUAUGGCUUAGAUAUGAAUUAUAGGACAUUGGUUUUAGCAUUUGGACACUUGAAACAUGAUUUUUGGGGGACUUAGAUGAGUUUACGGCCAAGGAUAGUGCUUGGGCCGUAAACUCCCCAAAACUUGGCAUAAAUCCAAUUCUAAGGUGUUAGAAAGCCAUCCAACACCACCAAAAGCCUUGGAAUAAAUCAAGGGACCAACCAAAAAUACUUUAAGGGCCUUAAACACAUCAUUUAUGGGAUUUCUAAGAGUUUACGGCCAAGACCUGUUCUUGGGCCGUAAACUCCAAAAUUUUUGGUGUUAGAAUGCAAACUAAACACCCCUAAGGCCCUUAGAUGAAUUUUAGAAGCCAUUCUAUGCAAGUUUUAGACCUUGAAACACCUUGUAGCAUCAUAUAGUAGAGUUUACGGCCAUGAGAGGGGUCUCAUGGGCCGUAAACUCCAUAAAUCCUUCAUAUGUCCCAUACAAAUUCAUGUUAGACCUUGGAAUAAUUCUAUUAAUCACAUGUGAUUUGUUUUGGAACCAUUUAACACCAUUUUCUUGGAAAAAUAGGAGUUUACGGCCAUGGAGCCAUGCUAGGCCGUAAACUCCCAUAUAAGGGUCUAUUUGAUGCUUUGAAAUCAUUCCAAGUCCUUAAACCAAGUCUAGAAAUUAUCCCCUAAGUGUUUGAAGUCAUUUAGCACCUUAAACCACACCCACCAUGAGUUUACGGCCGUAAACUCAUGGGGAAUGGGUGUUUUAGACCAAAAACUCUUCUAUUAGUUUACUCAUGGGGAGUAAACUCAAGUCCCAAGUCCCUAGUGUCAUUUCACGUCCUUAAACGCCACCCGGGUCCCUCCAAACACUUGUAUCGGAGUGUUUUCGCGACUUGAAGCAAGUGUCCCUAACAAAUAGCUAAUCUAAGUCCUAAUUAGAUACAAAUGUGUAUCUUUAAAUUAUACUUAGGAACCUCGCGCAUUUACAAGCCCCGGACUAAAGUUUAGCAUCCGAAAUCGUCACGUUUCUCGUCCGGUGAGUUCAUACCCCUACCCUUUUUCACUGUUUUUAACUGUUUUCAGGGGGGAAUACAAGCAAAAGUACAAGUGUUUCUUGUACUUAAACUGAUUUACAAUUUAAUGAUUUUAGUUUCUAAAUGUCAUGAUUUCCAAAGAUUAUGAUAACUGAUGUUUCGAAUUGCAGGUUAAUUGUAGAUUUCUUUCGAAAAGUGUUUUAAAUCACAUUAUCUUUUGUAAAAGAAAUCAUACUAAUAAUAACAAAUAUAACUAACAGGAUAGAACGAAUGCGAAUAUGGAUAUAACUAGGUACGAAUACGAAUAACGAAUUCGAAUACUAAUACGAAUACGAAUAACGAAUUUGAAUACUAAUAGGAGUACGAAUACGAGUACUAAUACGAAUACGAAUGUAAUUUAGAACGAAUAUGUCUACGAAUACGAAUAUGUCUACGAACACGGAUAUGUCUAUGAAUACGAAUACGUCUACGAAUACGAAUAUGUCUACGAAUACGAAUACGUCUACAAAUACGAAUACGACUGCGAAUACGAAAUAACGCCUUUGGUUGACACUAAGACUUCAAAUAUACAGUUAAUGUACUCCUUGAGUGUCACCAGAGUUUCGAAUUUAUUACGAAAAUACUCCUUUGGACCUCUACUGAGUUUCGAAUAUAUCCGCCUCAGAAUGUCGACAGAGCUUCGAAAUUACAACUAAGUUAGUAGACUAUAGUCAUCCGAUCGUAGAAUAACUAAGGAAGUAGAAUAUAUAAUUAAUACUACUCACAUAGUAAUUACUAGUAUUUCGAAAUCAGACUUAAGAACAAAACACUACACAUAGGAAAAUAUGGGAUUUUCCUGGGAUAACAUCAAAAUCAGUAACGAACCUAGAUACAAAUAGACAACUCAACAUAUAGGAAAAUAUGGGAUUUUCCUGGGUAACACAACAGCACAUAAUCGAGUAAAGAAACAAACGAAUAACUAUAACUAUAAGGAAAAUAUGGAAUUUCCUGGAAUGUCAUAACUAACCGUUUCCGAAUUUGUAACAAAGGAUAACUAAACUGUUUUUGAAUAAGAAAAUAUGGGAUUUUCUUCAUCAACAACUUUUCUCGAAACGUAAAGGAACUCGUCUUUUCAAAACUAAAUUGCUUAUGAACUCACCAGCUUUAUGCUGAUUUUCAAACUGCUUGUAUUCUCAGGUCAGCGUUAGACAGGUACAUCGCAACCUUUUGGAGAAGAUGGAGCGUUCCGAAGACUCGUCUUUACUUUUGUUUAUAUUACAUAUGUAAAAUACUUGUACAACUCUACUUUCAAACAAAUGUAAACAAUAUUAUGUAAUGUAAUGUUUUGUGAUUACUGUUUUACUAUGUGCAUUGGAUUUGAUACUCAACAUGGAGUCAACCCCGGAAAUGUUUCCGCCUUUGGUUUUCGGGGUGUGACAUCACCCAUCUCAGAUUCAGGAAGCAGACUACACCUCAGGCUCUCAUUUUUUGGGAGCAAAUUACACCUCAGCCUCUCAUUUUCAGGAAACAUACCACACAGAAGACAGUAAAAUAGACAAGUUAUUAGGCAUUGUUACUUAAUUGAAAACCACAAUCGAGCACUUUGGGAAGAGAAUGGAUAAUUGGGAAAAAGAUAAACAAUUUGGUGUGAACAAUAUGGAAAAUGUGGAUGCGGGGGAAGAAUUUUUUCAUGGUUUGGAUCCCGAGUCAAACCAUACGUAUGUGUAGACACCACCGCCUAUUGUUGUAGUUAAGGAUAACACAGUUACACAGUUAAAAGGGGGGUAAAAAUGAAAUCGAAAUUUUGUAAGGGGCCCUACACAAAGGUAUAAAAUUAAGUAAUUUCUAUUUAUAUAGUAAAUAAUCAUUCCAAAUUAAUUAACAUAUUGAUUUUGUAGGUUCCAUCGACGAAACCAUUGAAGAACAGAAAAUGGAAAAAGUCGCAGAAUUCCAAUAAUGUAGAAAAAAGACUUUUACUACUGGACGUUUAAGCAGAUAGUGAUGAUGAAUUUUGGAAAUUGUGGGGAAAGAACAUGGGAGCGGUAUUUUUGGAGCAUAGACUUUUAAGAGGUAUUUAGAUGGAUUAGGAAUUUUGGUCAAGUUUAAUUGGUAUUGGCUGUGGAUGGUUGCUCUCUGAGGUAACACACAUCCUUUGUUUUAUAUUACAAAAAGUGGUGGAUAAUUAAUUCUACAAAAUGAAUUUGUUUUCCAACAAGCAACAUUUGGUUAUCUGGACGUCACUGCUCAAGGAAAUAAAUCCGUCGAUUGGUAGGUGGACGAUUAUUAAUCUUGAAGGCACGACUUUGGAACCUGGGAAACAACAUUAUUUGAGGCGUGUAGCAGCCGGGAUGGUUGAUGGACCACAUUGNUAUAUAUAUAUAUAAUAUGUAUUUAUCUAAUAACUUUUCAUUUUUUUGAAGGUUUUAAUUCCCAUCAGCAUACCGCACCUGCAUUGGUAUUUGGCUGAUUUGGAUCUACUUACAUGGAAAGUGAGCAUAUAUGAUUCGGCCGAAUGAUGUGGUUUCUUUACAAGAUAUGCGUGUGACGGUAGUUUCAAAUUAUUGAGAGAUAGUAUAUUAAGUGAACUAGACCACAUAUCAUAUUGGGCCCAUUUUCCCAAUAGACAGAAACCUACUAAGGUGGAAUUCAUUAAAGCUAAAGAUGCGUCGCAACAAGAAAAAGUAGAAGAAGGAGAAAGAGGAGAUUGUGGAUUUUAUGUGUGCAUGUUCAUGGAAAUGCUUGCAUUGGGUGUUCCAUUGGUAGAGAUACGGGAUUUAGUUACCGUAAUACGAUGCCAAAAAUUAUUUGGAAUAGUAGACUGAUUGUUUUAUGAUUAUUGUUUUAAGAACAUUUCCAUUAGCAUAAACAAUUCCAUUCCACUAUCCACAUAAACUUUCCAAUCGAGUUAUAUGUCGUUGGGACUUUACAUUAAGGCUAAUUACCAAUUGUCAUUGAGAUUUUACAAAAGAUACGAAAUACAUACAAAAGAUACAAAAAACCUUCACAUCCCAAUACACACACUUUACACUAACAGCUAGACCAAAAGCUUUACAUGCUAACACUAAUUAGCUAACUAAAAAACAAAACAAACAUACCCAACAACUAGAACAACUACCAACAACUUGUACAUACGUAUGCUCUUUCUUGGAAUCACACAUCCCCUUCUCUAUGCUUGCCGCUAAACUCUUCUCCUUACUGAGGAGAAAAUCCAACUCAACAUUCUUAGUCCUUAAGUUUUUUAUGACACCAAGAUCCUAUUUGGAAUCCAACUGCUGCUUCAUGGAAUAGAUGAGGUUUUUGUAGUAACUAUCUUCCAGUGCAACAUCUUCCCAUUCAAAGUAAUCACAUUUCCUCAGUCUUGUCUGUAUCAAAUCCACAUGGAUAAAACAUCCAAACACAAUUACUCACUAAUCCCUAAAUGCUACCGCUAGACUCUUCUCCUUGGAAUCACACAUCCCCUUCUCCAUGCUUGCCACUAGACUCUUCUCCUUACUCAGGAGAAACUCCAACUCGGCAUUCUUAGUCCUAAAGUUUUCUAUGAAACCAAGAUCCUCUUUGGAAUCCAACUGCUGCUUCAUGGAAUAGAUGAGCUUUUUGUAGUAACCAUCUUCCAGUGCAACAUCUUUUCAUUCAGAGUAAUCACAUUUCCUCAAUCUUGUCUCUAUCAAACCCAUAUGAAUAAAACAUCAAAACAUAAUCACUAAUCACCAAAUGCAAUUUAGGAAACCACGAAAUAAAAAAUGAUUAACACUACAACACCAUUUAAACAAUCGCGAUCGUACAUAUAUUUUUAGAAACGAAAUCACGACAACAACCCAAGAAAAUGAAAAUUACUUUUAGGGUUUUUUUGUAAUGUAAUGGGUUUUUAAUAGUGAAGCCCUAAAAAAUCUUGCAUUAACAAAUCAAACUAGAUCGAAGCUUAGCAAGCUGUUGUUGCAAUACCAAAAAUGUCCGUCGGGGUUAGUGAGCUUCCAACAUGUCUGUUCCUUACCUGGAAUGACAUCGCAGUCACAUUUGUUAACAUCGUCUUUAAUAAACACACGAGCAACAUGGAGGCGAUUUCUUAGAUUGGACGAGCUUACAGAAAUUGUGUUGAAGAAUCGAACAAGUUGAUUAUAUAAAGGAAGGUGCUUGCUUCGACUUUUCACGAAGGGGUAAGAAACAAAUGAAUGAGGUCCAAAUCGGGGUUUUAAUUAAUAGCAUAAUUGGGAAGAUAACACGUCAGGUGCAACGUUGGAAGUCUAGGUAAGGGGUUUUUUACACAUCACUUAGCUAGAUAAGGAUCAUGUACACCGCAACAACAGUGUACACCUCUACGGAUCAGUGUACACCUUUGUGGAUAUGUAUACACAUCUAAGGAUCAGUGUACACCUCUACGGAUCAGUGUACACCUCUGAAGAUAAGUUAUAGAACUGUUUUUUGUGGAUCAGUGUACACCUCUGCGGAGACGAAACUGAUGUAUUUCAAUUGAGACAUGUAAUGUUUGAAUCAAAGAAAAUUGUGCAUUUGUAUUUAACGGUGGUAGGUGAAGAAGCUGAAGAACAAACAAUGGUUAACAACCAGUUUAAUCUAGGAAAAACUAAUAGAGGUCGUAGAGAAAGCCAAUGUGAUGGAAACUGUUCAAGGAAAAGACAAAAUGAAGUGUCAUUCAUCACCUCCAAGGUAAUCAGGGGUAACCAUUGUUGUUAUACCUUCAAAAAUGUUCAACCAAAAUUGUAUUCUAACCAUCACCUCUCUUGUCGUCCAUGGACGUGGAGUAUCGGACGACGAUGUUGCAUUCGUAGAAGUUGGUGCAUUCACGGCCAUUUCUAAAUUUUUCAAUACCGAGGUGAGUUGAUACAAUAUAUAACCAAUAUGACAAUUUAUACGCUGAUCCACAGAGGUAUAAGCUGAUCCGCUGAUAACCGUUCAGUGGUGUAAAGAUACUCUCCUUUACAUUCUUCCAGAAGCACAUGAUCUUGCAUGUUCUGAUAUGUUAGAUUAAAUCCAACAAAUGCAUGCAUGAUGAUCGGGAAGAAUGAUCUUCUAUGAAUUUGUUGUUAGAGAAACUUGACGAAAGAUUCGAACUGAUUAUUAACUCCAAAAUAGGGAUGACAAAAAACACCAAAACCCAAAGAUUUUGGGAGCAUGUCGGGUCGAUCUUAUCAGGUCGUUAUCGGAUAUAUAUGAAAUUACUCAUUUAUGUCCUUAAAGACAUAACCCUAAAAUUGUGUAUCACUUUUAUUUGACAGCGAAAAGCAUGGUACAAGAAAACAAAUUACAUAUCAACCAAAGAUAUAUAGCAUAGCACAAAUUAAACAAAUAAUGUAUAGCACUACGCAACAAACAAUAUGCUCGCAGCAUGAAUCAAGCUUUCCAGGAUGACAAUGGAGGAGUCUCGGUGUCCUUAAAUGUUGAAAUACCAUCACCAUAUCUACCACCCUUAACUGAAUCAGCAGAAGCAAUGGCUUCUAGUUCAGCCAUGUCUUCUGGUGUUAGCUUCACAGAUAAAGCUCCAAUGUUCUGUUCAAGAUUCUCAAUCUUCGUCGUUCCAGGAAUGGGAACCACGUCAUUUCCUUGGUGGUGAACCCAAGCCAACGAUAGCUGCGAUGGCGUGCACCCUUUCUUUGCGGCCAUGUCACUAACCUUCUUGAACAUGAUUGUGUUAUGCUCAAUAUUUUCAGCUUGGAACCUCGGUAGAUACUACAAAAUAAUAAAUUUGAAAACCAGAUUGAUAUCAAUUGCCUAUUUGUUGCUAGAUAUGUACAUGAAUCGAAAAUAUAACCAAAAAGUGUAACAAUCAACAGACCUUACGGAAGUCCCCAUCUUCCAAAUUCUCGAGCACCUUUGGACCAGACGAGAAGAACCCCCGUCCUAGAGGACUGUAUGUAACAAUCCCAAUCCCAAGUUCUCUGAAAUACAAAGGAUGAUAUAAAGAAGUAAGAGCUUUGAAUUUUUUAAUACUUCGUCACUUGCUAAAUAUUGAAGAAAAAAGAAAGAAAGAAAGAAAACAAGAAGAAUAGAUGGUAACCAACCUGCAAGUAGGGACGAUUUCUUCUUCAACGUCUCUUGACCACAAGGACCAUUCUAGCUGUACGGCUGUAAUUGGGUGCACAGCAUUAGCUCUUCUGAUGGUUGAUGCCGAUGCUUCUGAUAAUCCAACGUAUUUAAUCUUUCCUUCUUCUACCAGUUCCUUCAUUGCUCCCAUCUAACAAUCAAGAAAAGAUUUAAGAGAGAUUUCAAUGGAUGAUGAAAGGAUAUGGAUUUUGUAAAGAAUACUAACCGUAAUUUCAAUAGGCACACGAUUGUCGAUUCUGUGUACAUAAUACAGAUCAAUGCAGUCGACACCGAGUCUAUUCAAGCUAGCUUCGCAAGCAUAUUUUACAUAGGCCGGAUCUCCGGAGACUUCCAUAGCUUCGCUGUCGUAUUUGACACCGAAUUUAGUCGCCAAAUCUACUUUCUCUCUCACUCCUCCCUUCAAAGCCUGUAGUUAACAAGAAACAAAAUACUUGAACAGUAAGUUGACUGAAUCAAACCAUGAAACGAACCAUGUGGCAGCGACGAUUGAUCAAAGUAAAAUGUAAUUGUUAAGAUCAAAGUAGUAGAAGAAUGUCACCUUGCCGAUAAGGAUCUCGUUGGUUUGUGGUCCGUAGAUGUCGGAGGUGUCGAGGGAGGGUAAUGCCGGCGUUAAUGGCGUGGUGGAUGAGCUUGAUCAUGUCAGGUUCAGGUUUGGGGGCUCCAUAGAAAGCGGACAUGCCCAUGCAACCCAAACCCUGUGCUGAUACUUCAAGACCCUGUGAACCCAGUUUGACUCUUCUAACUCCUGCCAUUUUCGUACUUCGAUCUUCGGUUACGGAUUGAUUUUUGAAAGCAAUAUCUAGCAGAUUACUUCUUCUUCUACUAAUUGAUUGAAGAAAGAUAGCCUGGUGGAUUACUUUAUAUAGGGGUUGAGAAGUGGGGAAUUGGUUGUAAUUUCAUGACGUACAGCUUCUUGAUGGUCAAUCUGGAUGGCCAUUGACGAAAGGUAGCUGACGUAAGUACCGAGCAUUCAACGUUUGACCUUCAAAAUGAGAAAUUAAAAAAAGAAUAAUAUAUAAAAGCUUUCACCUAUACGGUGAUUUUAUUCCAAAAAAGAUCAAAUAAAACAAAUAUAAAAGUGUUUCACCAUAAAUAUAGUCGAACUUUACCUGCCCAUGAUAUGUGAUAUGCUGUUCCCACCUUAUAAAAUCCCCAUUCACACCCUGUGGAUUGCCACUGUUACACCUUAAAUAUCUUAAAUAUAAUGUAAUCCAUUUUUUUCCUGCUCAUAUAUAAUAUAUUAUAUGGAUUUCUUUAAAAAAAAUUAAAUAUUAAAUUUUAGCGAUUUGAAAAAAAUUGGAUUUAAAAUAAAAAUGAGAAAAAUUAUGAAUUAUUGAAAUUAAUGAUAGUUUAAUGUAUUGAAUACAUUAUAUAUAUAAAUAAUUUUUAAUAAAUAACUUACAUAUAUAUUAACAUACAUAUUAAAUAUGAAAUUUUAAUUUAAUAAAAUAAAAAACACAAUAAAAUGACAAGUUGAAAAUAGAAAAUUCAAAAAUCUAAAAAUGUCAUGAUGUAUAUAAAUGAAGAAAAAAUGACAUGUGACAAAAAAAAUUAUUUAAUUAUUAGAAAGGAUGUCAUACAUCAAAGUUCAAACAUCCAUUCAUCAACUUUUCCGAACAAAUUUUUCAAUAUAUAUUAUAAAGUGUUACUAUAUAUAACUUACAUAAAUCGUUACACUAGGAGCUACAAGCCUUAUUACACUCAUAUAAAUGAUACACAAAACAAUUGAGGGUAUGUUUAGAAUUUCCCUUAUUAUAUUUCAUUACCACAAAAAGCAUAUCAUAUAAAACUCAAUUCUUCAGAAAAUUAGGGAAUGUUUUUUAGAAUUAUAUGACCCGCCAGGUAUUAGACCAAACCCAAAAAAAGAUCGAGGCCCAAUAAAAGAGCAAGACCAAAUCAAUCUAAAACGACACCGGACAGAAAAAAAACGGCCCGAGAUCGUCCGGGACCGAUCCGAAAAUGACCGGAUCGUUUAGAGACCAUCGGAACCCACACAAGAUCGGUCUAAUUAAUAGUUGUCUAAAGAAAAAGACCGGUUGCCAAAUUUUAUAAAUAUAUAAUUUUUGUGUUAAUUAGAAGUGGACGUAUGAAUAUCUAGCAAUAGUGGCAUCAAAAAAAAAAAUUCAAAUCAAAUAUAAGAACAUAGAUGUGGAAAAAGGAUUCGUUUUGGGUCGAGUUUAUGUCCACAAUAUAUGAAUAACCCAUGAAACUUGUCAAACUCUGACAAACUCAAAUCAAAAAAUGAUUUUACUAAAAAAUUAGUUUCAACAACAUUAAAGAAACUCAAAUUUAAACUAAGAUGUUUUUCUUUUUUUACAGUACAAGAAUACAAAUCUACGCCGAUGACACCUAUGUCGAUGACGGUUGUCGUUGCUAAAAGAACCCCAAUGCAGACGACUUGUCGUCGGCACACCCUUUGCAAACUUUGACUAAAUUUCUUUGACCAAGACAUAUGUGCCGACGACAAGUUGUCGCUACAGGUUUUGCAGGAACGACAUAAAUUUUUCGCGGUACUUUGAAAUUCUAUACCGAUGACUUGUCAUCGGGAUAGGUAGCGAAAAAUAGAUUUACUGUUUAUUUCAAAUACAUGUUCCAGAAAUACAAUACGCCGUCGUUUUAAGUAAGCUAUGUCGAAGACAUGUCGUCGGCAAGCCACGUGGCGAUCCGCGUGAAACCUUAUUCCAACGACAAGUCGUCUGCACAGGGUUUUAAUUUUUUAUUAUUUUUUUUGUUUCAGCAUAAACGAAACGACAUCCUUUGUGUGGACCCUAUCCUGACGACAAGUCGUCGGCGUAGGAGUUUACCCUAAGAGAUACGCACUCAGUCCAUUCAUUCGCACACAUACGCAUUUAGUCUCUUCUUUCCGACGAAAAUCAUAUUUUGCCUUCCACAAUCGACGAUUUGCUCCAGGUAACAUGUUUUCUACUCAUAAUUUGUUGUUUAUUGUUGUGUUGUAAAGAUUUUUACCCUCAAUUUAGGGUUUUUUUGGGUGUUAUAGCUGUCCACUGGUGGUGAAGAGGUUUUGCUUCACCACCGUCUUCCACCACCCUCAACCUCCCACCGAGGAAUCCAACCUCUUUCUAGCUUCUCCUUCACUACCACAAUAGGAAAGUAAGUAAUAUGGUGGGUUUUUGUGUGUGUGUGUGUGUUUUUUUUUCUGAUUUUGUGCUCUUCGGGUGACCACCAGCCACCAUUGGAGGAUCAUUAUCAAUUUUGACAAUCAAAUUCCUGCUAUCACAACAAAAAAAACGAAAAAGGUUAGUAUUUUUUUUAUAAUUUUUAUUGGAAAUGAAAUUGUAUAUAUGUAUAAGUUUAUAUGAAAUUGAAAUUGAAAUGAAUCCUCCUAUGAUUAUAGAAUUGUGUUGUUUGUUUUGUAUGUGUAUGAUUGUGUUGUUUGUUUGGUAUAUGUAUGUUGUUUGUUUGUUUAGGUUUAUAUGAAAUUGAAGUUGUAUGUAUAAAAUGUUAAUUUAGUUGGUUAAUGUUGUAUCAAAUUGAAAUAGUGGUUAAAAUAUUAUCUGAAAUUCAAAUUUGUUUAGGUACAUAUGAAAUUGAAAUUGUAUUUAUACAAUGUUAAUUUACUUGUUUAGGUUUAUAUGAAAUCGAAAUUUUGUAUGAUUGUGAAAUAUUUAUGAUUGUGCUCUUUGUUUUAGUUGAUAUGAAAUUUUAUGUAUAAAAUGUAAAAUAUGUAUGGUUGUGCUACUUGUUUAGUUUAUUAGCUUGGGUGAAUGAAUUGAUAAAGUGUUUAAUUUUUAAGUUAAAAUGUUUAUCAUUAAGAACAAACGUUACUAAUAGCAACAUAAAACAAAAUAUAAAUAUAUUUAAACAAAUAAAAGUAUGUUUAUUGAGAAUAAAGUUUACUAAGUAAAAAAUAUUUAAACUGCAAAGGUUAUUAAUAGCAACAUACUUUUUUUUGGCUUUUUUAUUGAAGUAUUUUAUUUUCAUUUCUAUUUGAUAGUUAUAACCUAAAACAAAAUAAUAAAACUGCGUUGCUAUUAAAAGUACGGUGCUAUCAUAAAACAAAAAGAAAAAAACAAAAUAAUAUUAAAACUACAAUGCUGUAAUUGAAAAAAACAAAAGUUAUAUAUAUAUAUAUAUACACACACACACACACACACAUUAAACAAACUAAUAAAAGUACAUUGCUAUAAAAUUACAUUGACUCAUUGUGGGUUUUGAAGCCUACCGAAAUGAAUGCUCUAUCAAUUCUGUCCGAUUUCUACUUCUAGGUUAUAUAUUUCUUUAUAUACUUGUGAAUACUCUAUCCAUUCCGUCGGUUUUUUUUCUUAAACAAAAAGUUAUGCAAUACAUAUUCACAUAUAGCUAAAAUACAAUUUUACUAUGUAUACAAUGUGAUUUUUAAUAAUGAAAUAGUAAUGACGAUCGAUAAGAGUUGGAUUCAUGAAAACCGAACGUCCCCAAAAUUCUUGUAAGGUCUUAAACACUUUAUGGAGAUUUCUAGGAAACAUGUUGACUCUGAAGACAAAGUGAGAUGUUCGUGCGUAAAGUGUGUGAAUAUGUAUCGACAGUUGUUGAGUACGGUUUAUGCCCACAUGCAUGAUUGUGGGUUUCUAAAAUCGUAUAUUAUAUGGAUUUAUCACGGUGACAAGCGUCCUGUUUCGGAUUUGGGCUACAAUUCGCCUCCCAUAAACAUUCGAACAACUAAUGAGAUGUUUGAUGUAAUUAAUGAUGUUACGUCGGAACAAAAUCUAAAUGAUGAAAAUACAGAUGAUGAAGGACGAGGCAUGGACCCAGAAUUUGAUGCUUUGUUUGAGGAGCUCAAUAUCGAGUUAUACCCUGAUUGUGAGAUGUCUUCUUUAAACUUUUGGCGAAGUUGUUGCAUAUUAAAGUGAUCAAUAAAUGGACAAAUAGUUCAUUUGACCUGCUUGUAGAGUUGCUAAGAGUUGCUUUCCCGAAGAUCAAGAUUCUAACUUCACACUAUGAAGCUAAGAAAAAGUUGAGAAAGAUAGGGUUAGGAUAUGAUUCCAUCCAUGCUUGCAAAUAUGAUUAUGCUUUGUUUCGGAAGGAGAAUGAUUCCAUACAAAAUUGCCCGAUUUGUAACGAGAGUAGACGAGUGGACACAACCAUAAAGGGGAAGCGAGUACCACAAAAAGUGUUACGGUACUUUCCUUUAACUUCAAGACUUCGACGGAUGUAUAGUUCGAAAUUCACAGCUAAAUAUAUGGUUUGGCAUAAUACUGGAACAUCAACGGAUGGUAUGAUGUAUCAUCCGGUAUAUGGGAAGUCAUGGCAAGAAUUUGAUAAGAGAUAUCUAGAGUUUGCUAAAAAAAACCUAGAAAAGUUUGUCUAGGUUUAGCUGCUGAUAGCUUUAAUCCAUUCAGAAACUUUAAUAACAAUUAUAGUAUUUGGACCCAGAAUACAGAUGAUGAAGGACGAGGCAUGGACCCAUAAUUUGAUGCUUUGUUUGAGGAGCUCAAUACCGAGUUAUACCCGGAUUGUGAGAUGUCAUCUUUAAACUUUUGGCGAACUUGUUGCAUAUUAAAGUGAUCAAUAAAUGGACAAAUAGUUCAUUUGACCAACUUGUAGAGUUGCCAAGAGUUGCUUUCUCGAAGAGCAAGAUUCUAACUUCACACUAUGAAGCUAAGAAAAAGUUGAGAAAGAUAGGGUUAGGAUAUAAGUCCAUCCAUGCUUGCAAAUAUGAUUGUGUUUUGUUUCGGAAGGAGAAUGAUUCCAUGCAAAAUUGCCCGAUUUGUAACGAGAGUAGACGGGAGGACACAACCACAAAGGGGAAGCGAGUACCACAAUUAUAGUAUUUGGCCGGUUAUAUUGACUACCUACAAUACACCACCAUGGAUAUGUAUGAAAGAGUCUUCUUUCAUGCUAACUUGGUUGAUUCCUGGCCCUAGAUCACCCGCAAAGGAUAUUGAUGUUUACUUGAGGCCUCUGUUGGAUGAGUUGAAAAUGUUGUGGGCCGGAGGUGUCCAAAAGAGAGAUGCAUCAACCAACACUGUAUUCAAUAUGCGUGCGAUGUUGUUAUGGACUAUCAAUGAUUUCCCAUCACGUAGCAGACUAUCGGAUUGGAGUGGUUAAGGUUAUUUAGCAUGCCUUACUUGUAAUGAAGAUACAUCUUCCGUUUAUGUGACCAACAAGNNNNNNNNNNNNNNNNNNNNNNNNNNNNNNNNNNNNNNNNNNNNNNNNNNNNNNNNNNNNNNNNNNNNNNNNNNNNNNNNNNNNNNNNNNNNNNNNNNNNNNNNNNNNNNNNNNNNNNNNNNNNNNNNNNNNNNNNNNNNNNNNNNNNNNNNNNNNNNNNNNNNNNNNNNNNNNNNNNNNNNNNNNNNNNNNNNNNNNNNNNNNNNNNNNNNNNNNNNNNNNNNNNNNNNNNNNNNNNNNNNNNNNNNNNNNNNNNNNNNNNNNNNNNNNNNNNNNNNNNNNNNNNNNNNNNNNNNNNNNNNNNNNNNNNNNNNNNNNNNNNNNNNNNNNNNNNNNNNNNNNNNNNNNNNNNNNNNNNNNNNNNNNNNNNNNNNNNNNNNNNNNNNNNNNNNNNNNNNNNNNNNNNNNNNNNNNNNNNNNNNNNNNNNNNNNNNNNNNNNNNNNNNNNNNNNNNNNNNNNNNNNNNNNNNNNNNNNNNNNNNNNNNNNNNNNNNNNNNNNNNNNNNNNNNNNNNNNNNNNNNNNNNNNNNNNNNNNNNNNNNNNNNNNNNNNNNNNNNNNNNNNNNNNNNNNNNNNNNNNNNNNNNNNNNNNNNNNNNNNNNNNNNNNNNNNNNNNNNNNNNNNNNNNNNNNNNNNNNNNNNNNNNNNNNNNNNNNNNNNNNNNNNNNNNNNNNNNNNNNNNNNNNNNNNNNNNNNNNNNNNNNNNNNNNNNNNNNNNNNNNNNNNNNNNNNNNNNNNNNNNNNNNNNNNNNNNNNNNNNNNNNNNNNNNNNNNNNNNNNNNNNNNNNNNNNNNNNNNNNNNNNNNNNNNNNNNNNNNNNNNNNNNNNNNNNNNNNNNNNNNNNNNNNNNNNNNNNNNNNNNNNNNNNNNNNNNNNNNNNNNNNNNNNNNNNNNNNNNNNNNNNNNNNNNNNNNNNNNNNNNNNNNNNNNNNNNNNNNNNNNNNNNNNNNNNNNNNNNNNNNNNNNNNNNNNNNNNNNNNNNNNNNNNNNNNNNNNNNNNNNNNNNNNNNNNNNNNNNNNNNNNNNNNNNNNNNNNNNNNNNNNNNNNNNNNNNNNNNNNNNNNNNNNNNNNNNNNNNNNNNNNNNNNNNNNNNNNNNNNNNNNNNNNNNNNNUAUAUAUAUAUAUAUAUAUACAUAUAUAUAUACAUAUAUAUAUAUAUAUAUAUACAUACAUUAAACAAGCUAAUAAAAGUACAUUGCUAUAAAAUUACAUUGACUCAUUGUGGGUUUUGAAGCCUACCGAAAUGGAUGCUCUAUCAAUUCUGUCCGAUUUCUACUUCUAGGUUAUAUAUUUCUUUAUAUACUUGUGAAUACUCUAUCCAUUCCGUCCGUUUUUUUCUUAAACAAAAAGUUAUGCAAUACACAUUCACAUAUAGCUAAAAUACAAUUUUACUAUGUAAACAAUGUAAUUUUUAAUAAUGAAAUAGUAAUGACGAUCGAUAAGAGUUGGAUUCGUGAAAACCGAACGUCCCCAAAAUUCUUGUAAGGUCUUAAAAACUUUAUGGAGAUUGCUAGGAAACAUGUUGAUUUUGAAGACAAAGUGCAAUGUCCGUGCGUAAAGUGUGUGAAUAUGUAUCGACAGUUGUUGAGUACGGUUUAUGCCCACAUGCAUGAUUGUGGGUUUCUAAAAUCGUAUAUUAUAUGGAUUUAUCACGGUGACAAGCGUCCUGUUUCGGAUUUGGGCUACAAUUCCACUCCCAUAAACAUUCGAACAACUAAUGAGAUGUUUGAUGUAAUUAAUGAUGUUACGUCGGAACAAAAUCUAAAUGAAGAAAAUACAGAUGAUGAAGGACGAGGCAUGUGUUGGAUAUAGUGUCUAAGUCCAUAACUAUAUUUGGUAUGUACUUGACCCGACCCGGCAUGGUCCAUUUGGGUUGCACUUCACCCGAACAAUUUAUGGAUAAUCUUUUGAAAAUAGUAUAAGUUAUGAUUUAUUAAUAUAUUAUAACUUCUAAUAUACUAAUAUAAGAUCAUGUUAUUUAAUUAGUAUUGAUCUAUAAUUAAUCUAGGAUUAAUUUAGAGAUCAAAAGUAUUACUAAUUAAAUAUGGGCUCUUAUACUUAUAUAGUGUGGGCUAAUGCUUAUUUGGAAUGGGCUAGGCUUGCAUGGAAAGUCCAUGGAUACUCCAUGGAGCUUUAACCCAUGGAUCUCAUGGAAAUGAAGAGACAUGGGUAUUAGGGUUUACAUGGAUGUAACCCUAAUCCACCACACUAUAUAAAGGAGGCUUUGGUUCUUGAAAUCACACUAGUUGAGGUGAGUAAAGUAAGAGGGCCGAUUUCAAGAUAGUAGUGACUAUUCUCUCAAAGUUCCAAGUUUGUGGUGAUUUGUGAUUUCCAUUUGAGGCAUCCACACUAUUGGUGCUAGGCUCUAAAACUCCAAGCAAUCAACUACAACUACAAGGUAAGUAAUUCUACUAGCUUUAUUUGAUUCAAGUUCCCCAUGCCAUGCUAGAUAGGAUAUGAACCUUGGAAAAAUAAUUAUUUGCAUGUAUCUUAGACAAACAUAGAUCCAAGGUUUAUUAGGGUUGCAUGUACACUUAGGAAGUGUUAGAAUGCUCAAAACCCAUCAGUGGUAUCAGAGCCACGGGUUGUUUUCUGUUAUAUUGAUGCAAAUAUUUUAUUUUCAAAGUUGAAAAAAAAAAAAAAAAAAAACAUGAAGUUUGUCAAAUUUUAAGAUAAUUACUUGUUCUUGUGAAAAACUAAUUAUUUGUAAAAUUUGAAUAAUUUGCUUUAUGAGUUGAAUUAGGUCAAAUUUAAUAAAAGAUAAAAUAAUAUGAUUAUUUUAUUAGUUUUAAAAGUUUGAUCUAAAGAGUUUUAUUUUUUGAAACCUCCAUAAGUUAUGGAUAUGAAAAGGUUUUAAAAAAAAAAUUGAUUCAAAGUUUUUUUGGAGUUACAAAAUUUGGUGUUAAUGUUUUAAAGGAUUCCAUAACUUAAGAAUAAGUUAUGGAUCACCAAAAGUUUUUUGUGUUACCUUGUUUUAUGAGUGAAUUUAGAUUAAUGAAUAAAAUUAUGUGAUAGUUGGUUUUAAUCCAAAUUAAUCUAAGAAUUGAUUCUAAAAUGUGUUUUUGUAACUUGUCCUCAAGUUAUAUGAAAAGUCACAUUUAAGAAUCAUAAAACUCAUAAAAAUUGGCAAAGGUUACAAAAAUGAAGAGUCUAGUUCUAAUUAAAUGGUUUUAUGACUCCAUAACUUGUCCUCAAGUUAUGGAGGACCAAGAGUCUCUUCAUUUAAUAAAAUAAAAUAAAAAAAAAAAAAGUGUAACCUUAAUUAAUUCCAUAAGUUAUAAAAUAAAGAAAAGUUAAUUCUUUUAUUAGUUUAAAGUCUUCCAUAACUUGUCCUCAAGUUAUGGAACUUGAAGAGUUUUUGGAUUAAAACUACUUUAAACACAUAAGUUAUGGAAUUAAUUAGUUUUGAAUAGUUUCAAAACUUGCCCUCAAGUUUUGGAAUUUGUAAAGUUUUCACUUAUGAAUACUUUAAUUCCAAGUUAGCCCUUAGAAUUUUAAAAGUUAAAAUUCAACCCUUAUACUUUAUAAUAUUAUAAGUUAAUAAUAUAUAUAUGUAUAAGAGUAAAGUCAGUCUUACCGCUAGUACGCCUCAUUCACGAAGCCGGUCUAUAAGGUGGGUAUAAGGUUGUUGCCUAUAAAAUGGCAACUUAAUGGGUGUCCACUCUCACCCACCGCUUGCUUGACUGGUGGAGGGUCGUUAGCCGAACGGGUUUGACAGGACUAGAAUUCUCCCUUCAUUAAAAGUAUUAAUGAUAAUACUAAGUAACUAAACUCUUAAUAAUACCCAAUCUUAGUUACUUAGGAAAAAUGUGAAUAAGGUGCUAAUCCAUGAAAUUACACUUUACACUUUGUCUAAGUCGUUAGUGGAGCGUGUGUGGUUAACCGGCACACUAACUUGGACUUAACAAGGUAGGUAAAGGGUGACUUAAUAUUUAUCAUAGUAUCGAUGGAGCGUGUGUGGUUAACCGGCACAUCGAUUGAGGGGUAAUUUAUUAAGGGUACCAAGUGAUUUGCAUGGUUACUUCACACCUUGUUUUGUGAUCCUCGGCAUCCCAGUCACAAAACCUGAAGGGCACACUCGAGAUUGAAACAUGCCUUUGAACAGUUCAAUGAAUCUCAAAGAUCUAGGAGUUUCAAAACCAAUUAAAACCUAAUAAUACAUUUCGUUUAUCUUGGUGGAAAUUGGUGAAUCGUCAUUCACCUACCUUCAAAUAUUUUAUAGCUUGGAUUACGGCAUACCUCUUCUAAGUUAUAAAAUAGUUUGUUGGGUCCUAGCCUUAAUAUUUCAUAUUGGGUGUCAUAUUAAGGACUUUAAAUCAACUAUCUUGAAUAUCUCCCAAAAGAUGUCUGUAAUAGACACCUAUGAUCUUCCCAAAUCUAGUGAAACAAGGUUUCCUAAAUGAAGAUGAUGUCCUUUGGAAAUCAUACUUCUUUCACCUCCUCCAAUUAUUCUCCCUAACCCACAAGUUCUUGAAAAGUUUAAGGUCACUCAAGCCCUAUUGGCAAGGCAAGGUCUAGGUGUGAUCACAUCUUGGAGAUGUAGUCACAUAUUGACAAGCCGGGAGAGUUGGGUGUCAAAGUCUUGAGAAAGUUGGUGGUUCAAUCACUUUCUAAGUCACAUAGUGAGUUCCUUUGGGACACCUAUGAAACAGACUAUGACAAGACCCUUAAUGAUCUUAUCUAUUUGCUAAGAUCAACUUCCUAAAACUUUAUGGACAUUGACAAUGAUGACAUUGGAUAUCCAGUAAAGCAUUCUCUUCCCAAUGGAAAGGGAUCGGCCAUAGUCAACUCGGUUGACCAAAUGGUAAAGAGAAAAGCUAAGUCUGUGAUAGUCCCGUGUACCAUUAUCAAAGGGUCCAUAUGUUUAUAUUGCCAAAGGAAGGGGCAUUGGUUGCGAAGCUGCCAAAUUUACCUAAGGAUGUUAAAGUCAAUAAGUUUGACUCUACUUCAGGUAAAGUCCACUAUCUAACUCUGUUAAGUUUCUAUUCUGAGAUUCCUGAUACAUGAUGUGACUGGGUCACAUGGUGAUGUUUUAAGAAUCAAAGAAAAGUGAAGAAACUUAAAGAAAGAAUAUGCUGAAUCUGAUGGCGUAGAUGGAUUUCUAUCGCAUAGUUUGAAGAUCGGAUUCUUGAGCAACUUCUUAGGAGUUAUGAGAUAUUGCUUAGGAAUAGAUAACAACAAGUUUUCAUAUGGAUUGUAAGGAUAAGUUUUUCCGCAAAGUUUUAAAAUAAAAGAAAAAUUUUUUGAUUUUAUUUAUUUUAAAAUAUCCUUACAAUGGCUUUUGAGGAAAAAUUGUUGCUUAUAUGAUUCCAUUAAGAGCAAGAGUGGAAAUAUGAAAUUGAUUCUUUCAUUUGUGGUAAUGUCUAGAUUUACCAAAUAAGGAAAGAUUCUCAUCACCCAAGUUUCAAUUGGACCGGAACUUGGAAUCAUGCAAGUUGUAUAGCAUGAUGAAUGAGAACUUUCAAGUUUUGGAAAAUUAAGACUAAUUACUCGGCCACAUGGAUGUGUGAGUCAAGUAAAGGACUAAGGGAUCGAGUACACAUUCUUGUGCACUGAUUAAGUCCACCACAAAAGAUUGAUAAGACUAUUCGUCAUAGUUUACUAAAGCUCAGUAAAUAUGAUUAUACUUACAAGCUUAAGUGUAACUCUGAGACAUUGGAAAAGGUUCCAAUGUAUGGCAGGGCGAAUAAGAAGAAUCAAAUUAGGCAGAAGGAUAAAAGUUUCUCAAAUCUGAAAAGAUGGGAGAGUACUUUAGUAUCAGUUUUGUGAUCAUCUUAAUGAUUAAGAAACCAUAUCAAAAUUAGUUCUCUAAGGAAAUCUUAGUGCAUUCUUAUGACUAAGAAGAGGAACUUGAAUUGUUGAAAUGGUUAAAUCAAGAAGAUGAGUCAUACUUCGUUCCAAUACAAGUCUUAGAGUCAUACUCCAAGAUUGUCAUUUGAGUGACAUGUCUUAAAGAAGGUUUAAAACACUUGUCAAAUGUAAGAGUAAAAGUUUUCUACUCUUGUACAUUUGAAAUUGGUAAGUUGUGAUGUUUUGGAUAAAACAAAGACCAACUUAGGCCAAUUGGGUAAAGUGUUUUUCUUGAUUAGAAUCCGCACUAUCUCUUGGAUGUUUGACAAGGGAGUCUUAUAUGUCAAGAGGACAGUGGGAGUCUUAAAGGUCUUGAAAGUCUCAAGAACUAAUCAAGAAUAAAACCUGAAGUUCUUCACUAGCACACGACUUGAGGUUCAUAACCUAUCGUGUUGACAUAUUCUGUGCCCAUUCCAGUUAAAGUUGGCUUUGCAUAUGAGUUCUUAGAGUUCUCAAUUUGUUGCACAACAACUUGGAAGCAAUGGUAGGCCCUUGAGCUGCCAGGUGGCAAGAAAUUAAGAUUGAGUUCAGUCCAUAUGAGUUUGGAUUUGUCAUUAUCCUUGUCUUGUGACUAUGAUUUUGACAAUUCACAUGGAUAAGAACACAUACACCAUUAAAUCUAAGUGUCAUAAGGUUUCUCUCCGAUUCAUGAAAAUGAUGGUGAGGAAACACUUUCACUAAGUAGAUUUUAGCUAGAUAGCAAUUGUGAUAUUUGCAUUCUCAAAGUCGUUAGUGGAGCGCGUGUGGUUAACCGGCACACUAAUUUGGACUUGUGAGAAGUGGCAAAAAGGUCUAAACAUUAUGAUUACGGCAUCCCUCUUCAUAAUUGUUUAGAUACACAAGUGUGCUAUCUAAGGGAAGGUGUAUGAUUUUGAUAAAGUUUUAUCAAAACAAUCUAGCAUCAGAAAUCUGAACUUUGGUAAGAAAGUCAAUGAAGUAUUGAUUUCUAGAAGUCCAGCUGAUUUCUGAGUACAUGUCAAAGCUAGUGGGAGCAUAAGUGUUAUGCUAAUAAUCAUCAUGUUAGUGGGAGCAUGAUAAUUAUGAUAAGUAUUGCAAGUUAGCAAUGUUAAUUAUAGAAAACAAAAGUUUCAAUUGGGAAAAAGUUGUUUUGCUAUAAUUAAGGGAGAGGAAAUUAUGCUUCAUCUCAAAUCUAUAAGCUUAGAUCGUGAGGUUUUAAUCAUUUAGUCAAGGAUAUAUAUGAAUUUCAUGUUGGAAUGGCUCAACAUAAGGAAAUUCUGUAUAUGGGUCCAUUAUUUGCGUUCUAAAAUUCGAUUAUGAUUACGGCAUCCCUUUUCAUAAUCUGAAUUAUGAGAACUUGGCAAAUUGAAAUGGAAAUGUUAUAGCAAAAGACUGGUUUAGUCUUUAUGUGAGACAUCAUGAAUCGUGUCCCAUAUGCUUCGGAUAUAGGAUCGAUUACAUGUGCUAUAUUCAUCCGUUCUAAAAUUUUCCAAAUGCCUGGGGCAUUAAGAAGGGAAAAGGUUUAGAACUGGAUAUGACUAAAAGGAUUAAACAAUUGUCGAGGACAAUCUAAGGUUUACCAAAGAUUGGUUGCUCAAGGACAGUUGGAAGUAUAGUGAUAAUUCUGGAAGGACCAUAUUGACAUAAUCUGUAAGGAGGCAACUCUUGUUCAGAAGUGAUAGUCAAAAUGGAAUCUGGAAAUGUUUCAAAGUUAGAAUUUUCAAUCUGUUUAAGAUUAGGAAACUUAAUGCAAGAAGGAUGUUUCCAAGGAGCUGAUCUCCUUUGGAAUACUCUGUAAUGAUUGUUGUCAAGUCUUUCUGACUUUGUGCAUAAUCAUUACAAGAGGAUCAAUGCAUAUAAGUUUAGAAUCUAACAGAUUUCAGUAAAUGGCAUGAAUUUGGAAUUCUUGCAUUUGCAGUAAGGAUUUGGGAGUGUGAAAAGAGAAUCAUUGAAGUUAUGUUCAAUUGAUCUAGUUCACAAAGUAAAGAUCAUAGACAAACAUAGUAUGCAUACUUGGUGUGUGGCAUGACUAGUGUUUAAGAAAACAUAGUGUACAUGCUUGGAGCAUGGGACAACUAUUGUUUUAAAUUCAAGAAUAAAGUUGAUAGCUGAAACAGUAUACAAUGAAUAAUGUGUAAUCAUAUGGUGAUAAAUAAAAGGUGUUUUAUUUAUGUUCAAAGGGUUGAUACCAUAUUGGAUUCAAUUAUUAUUGUGUUUCACUUUGCAUGUUUUGACUUCCCGAAUAAACUAGGUUAUUCUUCCGGAAUGACUAAGUUAUUCAAACCAUCCACAGUCGGUCAUAUGUUGGAAGUAGAUAUGAAUUAAGACUGUCAUGGGUUGGCUUGUAGAGGUCUAAGGUGUUGGACAAAGGGCUACAACACUCAUGAGUGCUCAUAAGUUCUGAGUAUUGGAUUCAACCCGCGCUCAUUGGAAUCACUUCAUGGAUUUUAUCACGAGUGAUCAUGAGACGAUAAUAUCUUAUAUUCUUCAAACCUAGAGAUAUGAGUUGUUACUAUGAGUUGAUAGUACAUUGAUUGCACGAAAACGCAUUUGGUAACUCGGUGCUAUAAAACGUGCCUUUGUGUAUGAUUCAACAAGUAGUAGAACAAGCCAUAUGAGUCGAAGUUUAUCCGUUCCUUUUACCUUCGGGAUAAAAGCGAUAUCUGUGGGCCCCUCGAUGAUUUGAUGAUGACAAAUGGAAGUGCUCGGCCGGGCCAGGACUGAUUUGAUUUGUUCAAUUAGUCAGUCGUCAUAAAUCGGAAAUCGGGAAACAACAAAUGGACAGAGAGAAUGAUUAUAAUCCAUGUCUCAGUCCAUAUGAUAUCUAGAAUGGAGGAAUAUAUGAUCCCUUAUCUAAUGGACAAGUCACUGACAAAGGUCAGAGUUCAUCUACAAGGUCAGAGUUCGACAGAAGCUUUUGAGAGCUACGAUUGCCGGUUGGUUCCUGAAGUCAUACGCAAUAAUAGUUUUAGACUUAUCCAAGUGGGAGACUGUUGGAUUAAUGUCUAAGUCCAUAACUAUAUUUGGUAAGACUUGACCCGACCCGGCAUGGUCCAUUUGGGUUGCAUACCAUCAUGGACUUUAAUGAGAGAAAUAAGACACUUAUGGUUAUUAAUAUAUUAUAAGUUCUAGUAUAUUAAUAAUAAGAAUAAUAAGAUUAUUUAAUUAGUAUUGAUCAAGAAUUAAUCUAGGAUUAAUUAAGUGAUCAAAAGAAGACUAAUUAAAUAUAUGGGUUGAUUGUGUAAAUCAUCCAUACUUGUAUAGUGGGCUAAUGCUCCAUGGAUAAUCAAGUUGGGCUAAAACCCAUAGGAUGGUCCAUGGAUGCUCCAUGGUGUAUUUGUACCCAUGGAUCCAAGGAAAUGGAAAGCCAUGACAAUUAAGAGUUUACCCUAAUUGUGUAACUAUAUAAGCAUCUUAUUAUUGAGGAAAAAUCGGCCACUAGUAGUAUUCAAGAAAGGGCUAGCCGAUUUUGGUGAGUGUAGAAUUCUCUCAAGUCAUUCUAAGUGUUUUGAUGAUUGUGAUUCCAUUUGAGGUGUCACACUUGGGGCACUAGGCACUCAAGCUUCAUGAAGACUUUCUACACCAAAGAGGUAUGUAUUCUAUCUUGCUAUAGUCAUUGUUUUGUAUGCUAGAUUAGGAUAAUACCUUGGAAGUUCUUAUUUGCAUGUAUAAUAGAGAAAACAUAGAUCCAAGGUAUUUAGGGUUGCAUGUACACUUAGGAAGUGUUAGAAUGCUCAAAACCCAACAGUGGUAUCAGAGCCACGGGUUGUUUUCUGUUAUAUUGAUGCAAAUAUUUUAUUUUCAAAGUUGAAAAAAAAAAAAAAAAAAAACAUGAAGUUUGUCAAAUUUUAAGAUAAUUACUUGUUCUUGUGAAAAACUAAUUAUUUGUAAAAUUUGAAUAAUUUGCUUUAUGAGUUGAAUUAGGUCAAAUUUAAUAAAAGAUAAAAUAAUAUGAUUAUUUUAUUAGUUUUAAAAGUUUGAUCUAAAGAGUUUUAUUUUUUGAAACCUCCAUAAGUUAUGGAUAUGAAAAGGUUUUAAAAAAAAAAUUGAUUCAAAGUUUUUUUGGAGUUACAAAAUUUGGUGUUAAUGUUUUAAAGGAUUCCAUAACUUAAGAAUAAGUUAUGGAUCACCAAAAGUUUUUUGUGUUACCUUGUUUUAUGAGUGAAUUUAGAUUAAUGAAUAAAAUUAUGUGAUAGUUGGUUUUAAUCCAAAUUAAUCUAAGAAUUGAUUCUAAAAUGUGUUUUUGUAACUUGUCCUCAAGUUAUAUGAAAAGUCACAUUUAAGAAUCAUAAAACUCAUAAAAAUUGGCAAAGGUUACAAAAAUGAAGAGUCUAGUUCUAAUUAAAUGGUUUUAUGACUCCAUAACUUGUCCUCAAGUUAUGGAGGACCAAGAGUCUCUUCAUUUAAUAAAAUAAAAAAAAAAAAAAAAAAGGUGUAACCUUAAUUAAUUCCAUAAGUUAUAAAAUAAAGAAAAGUUAAUUCUUUUAUUAGUUUAAAGUCUUCCAUAACUUGUCCUCAAGUUAUGGAACUUGAAGAGUUUUUGGAUUAAAACUACUUUAAACACAUAAGUUAUGGAAUUAAUUAGUUUUGAAUAGUUUCAAAACUUGCCCUCAAGUUUUGGAAUUUGUAAAGUUUUCUCUUAUGAAUACUUUAAUUCCAAGUUAGCCCUUAGAAUUUUAAAAGUUAAAAUUCAACCCUUAUACUUUAUAAUAUUAUAAGUUAAUAAUAUAUAUAUGUAUAAGAGUAAAGUCAGUCUUACCGCUAGUACGCCUCAUUCACGAAGCCGGUCUAUAAGGUGGGUAUAAGGUUGUUGCCUAUAAAAUGGCAACUUAAUGGGUGUCCACUCUCACCCACCGCUUCCUUGAUCGGUGGAGGGUCGUUAGCCGAACGGGUAGGACAAGGACUUAUAAAUUCUCAUUAAAAGUAUAAUGAUAAUACUAAAGUAACUAAACUUUAUUGAAUUCCCAAUCUUAGUUAUUUUAGGAAAAUGUGAAUAAGGUGCUAAUCCAUGAAAUUACACUUUACACUUUGUUUAAGUCGUUAGUGGAGCGUGUGUGGUUAACCGGCACACUAACUUGAACUUAACAAGGUAGGUAAAGGGUGACUUAAUGUUUAUCAUAGUAUCGAUGGAGCGUGUGUGGUUAACCGGCACAUCGAUUGAGGGGUAAUACAUUAAGGGUACCAAGUAAUUUGCAUGGUUACUUCACACCUUGUUUUGUGAUCCUCGGCAUCCCAGUCACAAAACUUGAAGGGCACACUCGAGAUUGAAACAUGCCAUUGAAGAAAGUUCAAUGAAUCUCAAAGAAUCUAGGAGUUUCUAAACCAAUUAAAACCUAAUUAAAAUUUCGUUUUUCAUGGUGGAAAUUGGUGAAUCGUCAUUCACCUACCUUCAAAUAUCUUAUAGCUUAGAUUACGGCAUCCCUCUUCUAAGUUAUAAAAUAUUGUGUUGGGUCCUAGCCUUAAUACUACAUUUGGGUGUUUUAUUAAGGACUAUCUCUAAAUCUAAUCUAAUCUAUUCCCUCUUCUUUUCAGAUGUCUUCCAAUAACAAUGCUUCUGGCUCUAACCCUACUAGCUCUUUCUCUCUCAUGAAUCUUUGUGGGAGAGUCAUCUUCGAUGGAUCCAACUUUACUGAUUGGAUCAGGAACAUCAGGAUGGUCACUCGGUAUGAGAACAAAGAAUAUGUUCUCGACAAGGAGCUAAAGGUACCCGAGCCAACUGCUACUCCUGAAGAGCUUGCUGAAUAUGAGGUACAUGAAAGGGAUGCUACAAAAGUAGCAUGCAUCAUGAUGGCCACCAUGACAGCCGAGCUCCAAAAGUCCUAUGAGGACUAUUAUCCUUUUGAGAUGCACCAGGACUUGAUGGACCGUUACCAUCAAAGUGCUCGUCAAGAGCGAUAUGAAAUAAUCUCCUCCAUGAUAACAACCCGAAUGAAGGAUGGUGAACCCAUCACGGGCCACAUGCAGAAAACGCAAAGGUAUGUGGACCGUUUACUGAAGCUGAAUGCGAAAUUCCCCGAGGAGUUAGCAAUAGGCAUCAUUUUGCACUCCUUACCAUCAUUUUAUGAUCAAUUCCGCAUGACAUAUCACAUGAACAAGGAAGAAGUCACCCUCAGUAAACUUCAGGGACUCUUGAAGACCACAGAGAGUGGUCUAAAGGGUAAGUUGGUUGUUACUACUCCUAUUCCUACUCCUACUGUGGCCAAUGUCUUGGCAAUCGGGCAUGGCAAAGGGAAGAAGAGAAAGAACCCUUCUAAGGGUACCAAGGGUAAGACCCUUGAAGGCUCCUCUUCAAGCAAAACCAAGAAAGGUUUUGUCACUCCUUCUGCUAACUUUAAUGAGGCUGAAUGCUUCUAUUGUCAUGAAAAGUCGCACUGGAAGCGAAACUGCCCAAAGUACCAGCAAGAUGUGAAGGAUGGGAAAGUAAAACCCAACCAUGCAGGUAUAUACACUAUAUUGUCUAAUAACUCACCUCAUUUUAAGUCUUGGGUCCUUGACACAGGUUGUGGUAUCCACAUAUGUUGUGACUUGCAGGGACUAAGAAGAAGUGAGAAUGUGGAGCAGGGAAAGAUAAACUUGAUCAUGGGAAACAGGAAAGCUCCACCUGUCACCAAGAUAGGAGUUUAUUCCUUAGUGCUAAAUAGUGGGUUUACAUAAGAUUUGAAUAAGUUUUAUUAUUCGCCAAAAAUGGCAAACAAGGUUUUACCUUUUAUUUUAAUAAUAAUAAUGGUAGUAUUGACGCUUUCUUUAAUAAUGUUCUUUAUUUUAAAGCAUUACCUUGUGAUGGCGUGUAUGAAAUUGUAUCUGUUGUAGAUAAUCUAGGAUAUAAUGUAUUGUAUAUUGAAUCUUCCACUAUCUUAGAUAAAGCAUCUUUAUGGCAUUGUUGUUAUGGACAUGUAAGCGAGAUACACAUAGGCCAACUCCAAAAGGAUGGAGUCCUGGAGUCAUUUGACCUAAAGUCUGAUGAUAGUUGUGAAUCUUGUUUGNAUGACAAAGUCACCUUUUACAGGCACUUGUGCUACGGGUGAAGGUUUGUUGGACCUCAUAUGCACGGAUGUGUGUGGCCCCUUCAGAACCGCCACAAGAGAUGCUAAUCGGUUUUAUGUGACUUUUACUGAUGAUUUUAGUAGAUAUGGAUAUGUCUACUUAAUCAAGCAUAAGUCAGAAACCUUUGAGAAAUUCAAAGAGUUUAAGCAAGAAGUGGAGAAUCAGUUGGGCAGGAACAUUAAGAUGCUUCGAUCCGAUCGUGGUGGUGAGUAUCUUAGUACUGAGUUCCUUGACUAUCUUAAGGAAUGUGGGAUUAUCUCACAAUUGACACCUCCUAGGACACCACAGUUGAAUGGUGUAGCUGAGAGGCGCAAUCGGACCUUGUUGGACAUGGUUCGUUCCAUGAUGAGUCGAGCUUCGCUACCAAUAUCAUUUUGGGGGUAUGCCUUAGAGGCUUCCGCCCAUAUCCUUAAUCUAGUCCCUACAAAGAAGGUUGCCAAAACACCUCACGAGAUGUGGACUGGAAAAGUUCCCAAUCUAGACCACAUCAAGAUUUGGGGUUGUGAGGCUUUCGUGAGACGCGAGACUCACGAUAAGCUCGAACCCCGAAGCGAAAGGUGUAUUUUCAUCGGCUAUCCACAGAAAUCCUUUGGCUACAUCUUCUACAGACCCAGUGAUNNNNNNNNNNNNNNNNNNNNNNNNNNNNNNNNNNNNNNNNNNNNNNNNNNNNNNNNNNNNNNNNNNNNNNNNNNNNNNNNNNNNNNNNNNNNNNNNNNNNNNNNNNNNNNNNNNNNNNNNNNNNNNNNNNNNNNNNNNNNNNNNNNNNNNNNNNNNNNNNNNNNNNNNNNNNNNNNNNNNNNNNNNNNNNNNNNNNNNNNNNNNNNNNNNNNNNNNNNNNNNNNNNNNNNNNNNNNNNNNNNNNNNNNNNNNNNNNNNNNNNNNNNNNNNNNNNNNNNNNNNNNNNNNNNNNNNNNNNNNNNNNNNNNNNNNNNNNNNNNNNNNNNNNNNNNNNNNNNNNNNNNNNNNNNNNNNNNNNNNNNNNNNNNNNNNNNNNNNNNNNNNNNNNNNNNNNNNNNNNNNNNNNNNNNNNNNNNNNNNNNNNNNNNNNNNNNNNNNNNNNNNNNNNNNNNNNNNNNNNNNNNNNNNNNNNNNNNNNNNNNNNNNNNNNNNNNNNNNNNNNNNNNNNNNNNNNNNNNNNNNNNNNNNNNNNNNNNNNNNNNNNNNNNNNNNNNNNNNNNNNNNNNNNNNNNNNNNNNNNNNNNNNNNNNNNNNNNNNNNNNNNNNNNNNNNNNNNNNNNNNNNNNNNNNNNNNNNNNNNNNNNNNNNNNNNNNNNNNNNNNNNNNNNNNNNNNNNNNNNNNNNNNNNNNNNNNNNNNNNNNNNNNNNNNNNNNNNNNNNNNNNNNNNNNNNNNNNNNNNNNNNNNNNNNNNNNNNNNNNNNNNNNNNNNNNNNNNNNNNNNNNNNNNNNNNNNNNNNNNNNNNNNNNNNNNNNNNNNNNNNNNNNNNNNNNNNNNNNNNNNNNNNNNNNNNNNNNNNNNNNNNNNNNNNNNNNNNNNNNNNNNNNNNNNNNNNNNNNNNNNNNNNNNNNNNNNNNNNNNNNNNNNNNNNNNNNNNNNNNNNNNNNNNNNNNNNNNNNNNNNNNNNNNNNNNNNNNNNNNNNNNNNNNNNNNNNNNNNNNNNNNNNNNNNNNNNNNNNNNNNNNNNNNNNNNNNNNNNNNNNNNNNNNNNNNNNNNNNNNNNNNNNNNNNNNNNNNNNNNNNNNNNNNNNNNNNNNNNNNNNNNNNNNNNNNNNNNNNNNNNNNNNNNNNNNNNNNNNNNNNNNNNNNNNNNNNNNNNNNNNNNNNNNNNNNNNNNNNNNNNNNNNNNNNNNNNNNNNNNNNNNNNNNNNNNNNNNNNNNNNNNNNNNNNNNNNNNNNNNNNNNNNNNNNNNNNNNNNNNNNNNNNNNNNNNNNNNNNNNNNNNNNNNNNNNNNNNNNNNNNNNNNNNNNNNNNNNNNNNNNNNNNNNNNNNNNNNNNNNNNNNNNNNNNNNNNNNNNNNNNNNNNNNNNNNNNNNNNNNNNNNNNNNNNNNNNNNNNNNNNNNNNNNNNNNNNNNNNNNNNNNNNNNNNNNNNNNNNNNNNNNNNNNNNNNNNNNNNNNNNNNNNNNNNNNNNNNNNNNNNNNNNNNNNNNNNNNNNNNNNNNNNNNNNNNNNNNNNNNNNNNNNNNNNNNNNNNNNNNNNNNNNNNNNNNNNNNNNNNNNNNNNNNNNNNNNNNNNNNNNNNNNNNNNNNNNNNNNNNNNNNNNNNNNNNNNNNNNNNNNNNNNNNNNNNNNNNNNNNNNNNNNNNNNNNNNNNNNNNNNNNNNNNNNNNNNNNNNNNNNNNNNNNNNNNNNNNNNNNNNNNNNNNNNNNNNNNNNNNNNNNNNNNNNNNNNNNNNNNNNNNNNNNNNNNNNNNNNNNNNNNNNNNNNNNNNNNNNNNNNNNNNNNNNNNNNNNNNNNNNNNNNNNNNNNNNNNNNNNNNNNNNNNNNNNNNNNNNNNNNNNNNNNNNNNNNNNNNNNNNNNNNNNNNNNNNNNNNNNNNNNNNNNNNNNNNNNNNNNNNNNNNNNNNNNNNNNNNNNNNNNNNNNNNNNNNNNNNNNNNNNNNNNNNNNNNNNNNNNNNNNNNNNNNNNNNNNNNNNNNNNNNNNNNNNNNNNNNNNNNNNNNNNNNNNNNNNNNNNNNNNNNNNNNNNNNNNNNNNNNNNNNNNNNNNNNNNNNNNNNNNNNNNNNNNNNNNNNNNNNNNNNNNNNNNNNNNNNNNNNNNNNNNNNNNNNNNNNNNNNNNNNNNNNNNNNNNNNNNNNNNNNNNNNNNNNNNNNNNNNNNNNNNNNNNNNNNNNNNNNNNNNNNNNNNNNNNNNNNNNNNNNNNNNNNNNNNNNNNNNNNNNNNNNNNNNNNNNNNNNNNNNNNNNNNNNNNNNNNNNNNNNNNNNNNNNNNNNNNNNNNNNNNNNNNNNNNNNNNNNNNNNNNNNNNNNNNNNNNNNNNNNNNNNNNNNNNNNNNNNNNNNNNNNNNNNNNNNNNNNNNNNNNNNNNNNNNNNNNNNNNNNNNNNNNNNNNNNNNNNNNNNNNNNNNNNNNNNNNNNNNNNNNNNNNNNNNNNNNNNNNNNNNNNNNNNNNNNNNNNNNNNNNNNNNNNNNNNNNNNNNNNNNNNNNNNNNNNNNNNNNNNNNNNNNNNNNNNNNNNNNNNNNNNNNNNNNNNNNNNNNNNNNNNNNNNNNNNNNNNNNNNNNNNNNNNNNNNNNNNNNNNNNNNNNNNNNNNNNNNNNNNNNNNNNNNNNNNNNNNNNNNNNNNNNNNNNNNNNNNNNNNNNNNNNNNNNNNNNNNNNNNNNNNNNNNNNNNNNNNNNNNNNNNNNNNNNNNNNNNNNNNNNNNNNNNNNNNNNNNNNNNNNNNNNNNNNNNNNNNNNNNNNNNNNNNNNNNNNNNNNNNNNNNNNNNNNNNNNNNNNNNNNNNNNNNNNNNNNNNNNNNNNNNNNNNNNNNNNNNNNNNNNNNNNNNNNNNNNNNNNNNNNNNNNNNNNNNNNNNNNNNNNNNNNNNNNNNNNNNNNNNNNNNNNNNNNNNNNNNNNNNNNNNNNNNNNNNNNNNNNNNNNNNNNNNNNNNNNNNNNNNNNNNNNNNNNNNNNNNNNNNNNNNNNNNNNNNNNNNNNNNNNNNNNNNNNNNNNNNNNNNNNNNNNNNNNNNNNNNNNNNNNNNNNNNNNNNNNNNNNNNNNNNNNNNNNNNNNNNNNNNNNNNNNNNNNNNNNNNNNNNNNNNNNNNNNNNNNNNNNNNNNNNNNNNNNNNNNNNNNNNNNNNNNNNNNNNNNNNNNNNNNNNNNNNNNNNNNNNNNNNNNNNNNNNNNNNNNNNNNNNNNNNNNNNNNNNNNNNNNNNNNNNNNNNNNNNNNNNNNNNNNNNNNNNNNNNNNNNNNNNNNNNNNNNNNNNNNNNNNNNNNNNNNNNNNNNNNNNNNNNNNNNNNNNNNNNUGAUUGUGAGAUGUCUUCUUUAAACUUUUGGCGAAGUUGUUGCAUAUUAAAGUGAUCAAUAAAUGGACAAAUAGUUCAUUUGACCAACUUGUAGAGUUGCUAAGAGUUGCUUUCCCGAAGAGCAAGAUUCUAACUUCACACUAUGAAGCUAAGAAAAAGUUGAGAAAGAUAGGGUUAGGAUAUGAUUCCAUCCAUGCUUGCAAAUAUGGUUAUGCUUUGUUUCGGAAGGAGAAUGAUUCCAUACAAAAUUGCCCGAUUUGUAACGAGAGUAGACGAGUGGACACAACCAUAAAGGGGAAGCGAGUACCACAAAAAGUGUUACGGUACUUUCCUUUAACUUCAAGACUUCGACGGAUGUAUAGUUCGAAAUUCACAGCUAAAGAUAUGGUUUGGCAUAAUACUGGAACAUCAACGGAUGGUAUGAUGUAUCAUCCGGUAUAUGGGAAGUCAUGGCAAGAAUUUGAUAAGAGAUAUCUAGAGUUUGCUAAAGAACCUAGAUAAGUUCGUCUAGGUUUAGCUGCUGAUAGCUUUAAUCCAUUCGGCAACUUUAAUAACAAUUAUAGUAUUUAGACCCAGAAUACAGAUGAUGAAGGACGAGGCAUGGACCCAUAAUUUGAUGCUUUGUUUGAGGAGCUCAAUACCGAGUUAUACACUGAUUGUGAGAUGUCUUCUUUAAACUUUUGGCGAAGUUGUUGCAUAUUAAAGUGAUCAAUAAAUGGACAAAUAGUUCAUUUGACAAACUUGUUGAGUUGCUAAGAUUUGCUUUCCCUAAGAGCAAGAUUCUAACUUCACACUAUGAAGCUAAGAAAAAGUUGAGAAAGAUACGGUUAGGAUAUGAGUCGAUCCAUGCUUGCAAAUAUAAUUGUGCUUUGUUUCGGAAGGAGAAUGAUUCCAUGCAAAAUUGCUCGAUUUGUAACGAGAGUAGAUGGGUGGAGACAACCACAAAGGGGAAGCGAGUACCACAAUUAUAGUAUUUGGCCGGUUAUAUUGACUACCUACAAUACACCACCAUGGAUAUGUAUGAAAGAGUCUUCUUUCAUGCUAACUUUGUUGAUUCCUGGCCCCAGAUCACCCGCAAAGGAUAUUGAUGUUUACUUGAGGCCUCUGUUGGAUGAGUUGAAAAUGUUGUGGGCCGGAGGUGUCCAAAAGAGAGAUGCAUCAACCAACACUGUAUUCAAUAUGCGUGCGAUGUUGUUAUGGACUAUCAAUGAUUUCCCAUCACGUAGCAGACUAUCGGAUUGGAGUGGUUAAGGUUAUUUAGCAUGCCUUACUUGUAAUGAAGAUACAUCUUCCGUUUAUGUGACCAACAAGAUGUGUUAUGCUAGUCACAGACGAUUCUUGAAUAUAAACCAUAGUUUGAGGGAGAGUCUAUUGUUUGAUGGUCAACCUAAGACAAGCCAGCGUCUUAGAAGAUUCAGUAAUGCAACUAUAUUAAAGCAAGUAAAUUGGCUCUCCGAUCGAAUUCCAGGGUAACAUCCUGAUUACGGGGGCAAGAAAAGAAAGUGCGACACUGAAAGAAAAACGAGAGUUAAAUUGGACGAAACAAAGUAUCUUCUUUGAGCUUGAGUAUUGGUCUUCCGUCGACCUAAAACACAAUUUUGAUGUUACGCACGUUUCAAAGAAUGUGAAUGACGGUGUAUAGAAUAUUGCAUUGAUGAAUGAUAAAAGCAAAGACAAAAAAGAAGCAAGAAUUGACUUGAAAAAUAUAAGCAUUAGACCAGAUCAAUGGCCAAAAGUGAAAGUCAAGAAAAUGAAGAAACACAACAUGGAAGAAAACAAGAAGAAAGAAAUACUCACACAUGCUUCUUACUCUUUCAAACCAAUUGAUCGAUAACAUUUAUGUCAAUUCAUUAAAGGAGUGAGACUACCUGAUAGUUUUGGAUCGAACUUUAAGAAGAAGGUUAAUGAUACUGAAUCAAAUUUGGUUGGGUUGAAGUCUCACGAUCAUCACGUCCUCAUGUAACGAUUGCUACCUAUAGGGUUCGAGCAUGUCUCCCACCAAAUGUUACAAGAACAAUCAUUGACAUGGGUGCAUUCUUUUAAAAAUAUUUGUGCACGGUCAUUGGAUGUUAACGACAUGAGAAAUGUCAGAACAGAAGUGGUGAAGAUCUUAUGGAAUCUUGAGUUGUUAUAUCCUCCAACAUUUUUCGACAUAAUGAUUCACCUUAUUCUUCAUUUACCUGAUGAAGCCGUUCUUAGAGGGCCUGUACACAUGAGAUGGAUGUAUCCUUUUGGAAUAUAGAUGAAAAAACUUAAAAAUUAUGUCAGAAACAAAGCCACACCAGAAGGUUCAAUAGCAGAGAGUUAUGUUGCAGACGAAGCUUUGACAUUCUGCUAUGUAUCCUGAGGGUAUCCAAACAUAUGUCAAAAACAUGCCAACCCAUGACAGUCUUGAUUCAUAUCUACUUCCAACAUAUGACCGAAUGUGGAUGGUUUGAAUAACUUAGUCAUUCCGGAAGAAUAACCCAGUUUAUUCGGGAAGUCAAAACAUGAAAAGUGAAACACAAGAAUAAUCGAAUCCAAUAUGGUCUCAGAACUUAUGAAUAUAAAUAAAACAUCUUUUUAUUUGUCACCAUAUUGAUUACCCAUCAUUCAUUUCAUACUGUUUCAAACUAUCAACUGUAUAUUUGAAUUAAAACAAUAGUUGUCCCAUGUUACAAGCAUGUACACUAUGUUUUUCUAAACACUAGUCAUGCCAUACACCAAGUAUGCAUAUUAAGUUUGUCUAUGAUCUUUACCUUGUGAAAUAGAUCGAUUGCACAUAGCUCCAAUGAUUCUCAUUUCACAGUCCCAAAUCCUUACCGCAAAUGCAGGAAUUCCAAAUUCAUGUUAUUUACCGAAAUCUGUUAGAUUCUAAACUUAUAUGAAUUGAUCAUCUUGAAAUGAUUAUGCACAAAGUCACAAAGACUUGACAACAAACAUUGCAGAGCAUUCAAAAGGAGAUGAAAUCCUUGGAAACAUCAUUCUUGCAUUAAGUUUCCUAAUCUUACACAGAUUUAUUAAACAACUUCCACCUUCCCAUAUUCCCAUUUUGACUAUCACUUCUGAACAAGAGUUGCCUCUUUUCAGAACAUGUCAAUAUGGCCCUUCCAAAAAUUAACACCAUACUUCCAACUAUCCCUGAGCAUCCAAUCUUUGCUAAACCUUAGAUUGUCCUCGACAAUUGCUUAAUCAUUUUAGUCAUAUCCAAUUCUAGACAUUUUCCCUUCUUUAAUGCCCCAUACAUUUGGAAAAUUUUUAGAAAGGAUGAAUAUUAUAGCACAUGUAAUCGAUCCUAUAUCCGAAGCAUAUGGGACACGAUUCAUGAUGUCUCACAUAAAGACAUGAUUCUAGACUAGUUUUUUGCUAUAAUAUUUCUAUUUUCCAUGUUCUCAUAAUUCAGAUUAUGAAAAGGGAUGCCGUAAUCAUAAUCGAUUUUUAGAACGCAAAUAAUAGACCCAUAUAUAGAAUUUCCUUAUGUUGAGCCAUUCCAACUCAAAAUUCAUAUAUAUCCUUGACUAAAGAUGAUUAAAACCUCAAUCUAAGAUUUUAGAAUUGAAAUUAAGUAUAAUUUCCUCUCCCUUAAUUAUAGCAAGACAACUUUCCAACCCCUGCAACUACACGAAUUGAAACUUUUGUUUUCUAUAAUUAACAUUAUUGUCUAAUAAUAAUUAUCAUGCUCCCACUAACAUGAUGAUUAUUAGCAUAACACUUAUGCUCCCACUAUCUUUGACAUGUACUCAGAAAUCAGCUGGACUUCUAUAAAUCAAUAUUUAUUGACUUUCUUACCAAAGUUCAGAAUUCUGAUACGAAAUGCUUUGACAAACUUUAUCAAAAUCAUACACCUUUCCUUAGAUUGCACACAUGUGUGUCUAAACAAUUUCAGAACUACGAAAAGGGAUGUGGUAAUCAUAGUCUUAAUUGUUUAGACCUUUGUCAUUUCUCACAAGUCCUUGUUAGUGUGUCGGUUAACCACACAUGUUCUACUAACGACUUUGAGAAUGCAAAUAUCACAAUUGCUAUCUAGUUAAAAUCUACUUAGUGAAAGUGUUUCCUCACCAUCAUUUUCAUGAAUCGGAGAGAAACCAUAUGACAUUUAGAUUUAAUGGUUUAUGUGUUCUUAUCCAUGUGGAUUUGUCAAAACCAUAAUCACAAGAGAAGGAUAAUGACAAAUCCAAGCUCAUAUGGAUUGAACUCAAUCUGAAUUUCUUUCCACCUGGCAGCUCAAGGGCCUGCCAUUGCUUCCAAGUUUUUAUGCAACCAAUUGAGAACUCUCAGAACUCAUAUGCAAAGCCAAAUUUAAAUGGAAUGGGCAUAGAAAUAGAAGUAUGUUAACACGAUAGGUUAUAAACCUCACGUCAUGUGCUAGAGUUAAACUACAGGUUUUUAUUCUUGAUUAGAUCUUGAAAUUCUUUUAGGACCGUUAAGACUCUCACUGUCCUCUUGACAUAUAAGACUAUCUUGCCAAAUAUUCAAGAGAUAGUGCAGAUUCUUUAUCAAGACAAACACUUCACACAAUUGGCCUUAGUUCCUUCAUUGCUCCGAUCUAACAAUCAAGAAAUAUAAAAGAUUUAAGAGAGAUUUCAAUGGAUGAUGAAAGGAUAUUGUCACACCCCGGCCGUCGACGGAAACACUGGGCAGUGUAACUUCAUUUCUCGUAUCAUAGUUAUCAACUUCCUGAAAACACAUGCAAUUUAAAAUACGUCAACAUAAAGUUGGUAGGUCCACAGGUUUUGACUCCAUAUAAAAAUAAUACAUUUUCCAAGUUCAAAAGUAUAGUUUUGAAAGUAUCAUUUUGACUCUCAAACAUUUAGUAUAUAUAUCCUAGGUAUAAUGGUUUACUUAACAAAUAAGUGUUAUACCUAAACGUUCUUUGAACCUAAAGUAUAAGUAUAAAUGUUUGUAAUUCCAUACAAACUAAGUUACUACGCAUAAAUCUUAUUUCAAUUUUAUACGAGUAAAACCGCUACGUAUAAAUCUAUUUCAAUUCUAUACGAGUAAGUAGGAUAGGUAUAGUGGUCUACUUAAUACACAAGUAAUAUACCUACUAGAUUCUUAUACAUAGAGUAUAAGUCUUUGGGAAACUUAUACUUAAUAUUCAUACUUGUAUAUCAACAAAGUAUAAUGCUUCUAAAGUUAUGUUACCAUGAGUCUGUAGCUACGACUGUACGACUUUGUUUUAUACCUCUGGUUAUUAUUAGAAGGAUCACACCUUGUGGUAGUUACAAGGAUCACACAUUGUGGUAGUACAAGGAUCACACCUUGCGGUAGUACAAGAAUCACACCUAGCGGUAGUACAAGGAUCACACCAUGCGGUAGUACAAGGAUCACACCCUGCGGUAGUACAAGGAUCACACCUUGCGGUAGUUUCCAUAUGCUUUAUCGACGUCGGAAGGUAGUAAAUUAGGUAAGUUCAUCACCCACAAAUUAUUGGUUGUAACUAACAAGCACGGGUGGGGUUGUCACACUCACACAGGAUUAACGAAUACAAGUAAGAGGAUUUCCACUAAGAUCCCCAAUCUUAGAUGAUGAAUACAAUAGCUCAUGUAAACUUUGACGGUGUUCUAUAGUUCUAACAACAAAAGCAUUUUCGUGUCUAGAACCCUAAGUUACUAGACUAUGCUUUUAAACAUUACUCCUAACUUCAUAAAAUUUAGGCAGUAUAAAAGCUAUAACUUGAGGUAAAACCAGGUUUUAUCUUGACAUAAAACCAAUAACAACAUAUAACGUUCCUAGUUUUAUCUUGACAUAAAACCAACAAUAAUAACAUACUUAGAAAUCAAUAUAUAUAACUCUCGAGUAUAGCAUCGAAGCUAUAUCACACAUAGUAUAUAUAGAACUCCGGAGUAUAACUCAAGGUCUACAUUAGUAUAAUAACAUGUUAACAAGUUGAUAAUAGUUGUAUAUAUUUAAAAUAUCAUAUUUAAACAACUGUAUCCCGGUUAAUAUAACUAUCUACGUUGAUAUUAACAUACUAUCAUAUAGACAUAAUAUUAACGUAUAUACAAUAUUUAUCAUGUGUUUUCCCCCGAAAAUAUUAGAAAGUGGGGCCAUGAAACUCACCUUAGUAUCGUGAUUUUAUGUAAUCUAAGCAGAAACGGUCAGCGGUAUGAGGUCGUCGGGGCUCGUGAAGCGAAACGGCUUCAGCAAACGAGAGAGAAAGAAAGUAGAAAUGGUGUAAUGAGCCUUGGGGUCAAAAUGGAUAUUUAUAGGCUGAUUUUUAGGCUCUCACGACGUGAGAAUGAUAGAUUCACGUCGUGAGCUAUGGCAAGAGUCAUCCCGUAGCUUUAACGCGUGUUUUCUAGCCUCGAAUAGUGUCCUGCAGCGUCCUCACGUCGUGAGAAAACCUUGCUCACGUCAUGAUUUUUUGGGUUAUCGUUCCAUAGACUUAUAGCUUCGAAAUGUGGCGUUUUGACUCCUCACGUCGUGUGUUUUUAGGUUCAUGUCGUGAGUCCAGUCAGAUUAGGGUUUCUGACACGUGUCGUGCUCUAAGAUAGCUUUAACUUCGGAAGGUCGUAACGUUUGCAUACGAACUCUGUUUUUAACGUUCUUUAUAUCCACGCAUAGGUAAUUCUGAGUAAUACAACUUUCUUUUAAAUUCCAAUAGCUAAUUAUAAGUCUAUUUUAAAUUCCUCAUAUUAUAGAGAUUUAUAGUGUUAGGGUUUAUCAUAACUUCUUCACGCGAAGUCAGAUUUAGACGUUCUCUAUAACUUUGGAAUCGUAUGGAUGUAUACUUUGAGUUGUAUCAUAAAAUAUGUAUGAAAUUUCAUACUUUAACAUGAAUUAGAUAGUAAUUUUAUCAAAAUACUAGUUUAACAAAAUCACAUUACAUGAUUGGCAUAAUCACAUGUGAUUGUUAUUGACCUAUUUUGACGGGUGUUACAUUCUCCCCCCGUUAAAGAAAUUUUGUCCCGAAUUUUAUUUUAUAGAUAGGGUUUUGUUAAAUAGUUGGGGAAAACAUUGUUGAUAUUGCUUAGCUCUUGAUGUAACUUAAGUUGAUAUGCGACAUAACCAAUUCUUGCUAGAAUUUUAAAAGUUUCUAUAUAUUGCGGGUUUAGCUUGCCUUGUUUCUUGAAUCGAAUCAUGCCUUUCCAAGGAGAGACCUUUAACAUUACUCCAUCUCGAACUUGGAAUUCCAAAGGCUUACGUCUUACGUUAGCAUAACACUUUUGACAAUCACGUACUGCCUUUAAUCGACCCUUUAUAUGCAUGAUCUUUUGAGUUGUCUCGUGGGUUAUUUAUCGCUCGGCACAUAAGGUAUCACCUAUAUGUUCUCUGGCCAAUUGUGUGUCUCCGACUUCUCAGUGCAAAAACUACAGCUCCUAAUUCUAGGGCAUGGAUAGUGUAAUUAUUCUCAUGCACCUUAAGUUGUCGUGAUGUGUAGGCGAUAACUUUUCCUCUUUGCAUCAACACACAUCCCAAUCCUUGAUUUGAUGUGUCGCAGUAUAUGACUAAAUAUUCUGUCCCAUCUGGGAGGGAUAGGAUUGGUGCACUACACAACAUUUGCUUUAUUUUCUAAAAAGCAGUUUCUUGUUUAACUUCCCAGUUGAUCUUCAUAUCCUUCUGGAUUAGCGUUGCAAGCGGCUUGGCUACCUUGGACAAAUUCUCUAUGAAUCUACGAUAUUAGCCAGCAAGUCCUAAGAAUUAACGCACUUUUGUUGGUGUCUUUGGUGCUUCCCAAUUCUUAAUUGCUUCAAUCAUGGAGGGUUCGACAUGAAUCCCUUUGUUACUAACUACAUGUUCUAAAAUUUUGUACUUCUCUAAUCCAAAAUUCACAUUCGGAGAAUUUGGCAUACAACUUUACUUUUCUUAGUAGUUCCAAGAUUAUUUACAAGUGUUGACCAUGUUCUUCCUUUGUUCGUGAAUAUAUCAAUAUAUCAUCGAUAACUACUAUCAUAAAUUUAUCCAAGUACGGUUUACAAACACUAUUCAUGAGGUCCUAGAACAUUGUUGAAGCGCUGGUCAAUCCAAAGACUUAACUAGGAACUUAGAUUGACCAUACCGAGUCCUAAAUAUUGUCUUCAGAACAUAGUCUUCUUGUACUUCGAGUUGAUGGUAUCCUGAUCUGAGAUCUAUCUUCAAUAUUCUAGAAUCUUCAGGUGUUUUAAUCAAUCAACCACCGUAUCCAAGUUUAGUUGUGCAUCGGCCUGACCAUAAUUAAACAUAGGUGAUCAGUUUACGUUUAGUUGUGGUUCAUACCAUGUACAACAAAACUUGACUAAGUAGUUUGACCUAAAACCUUGAGUUGUAUUGGUAUCGAGGGUUUGGGUUUUCUGUAUUUUUAGUUUAUACAUGUGUUCUCAUCGUGGGACUGAGUUCAUACAUAACUCUAUAUCUUUGUUUUUGUUGUAUUCACGGGUAUUAUUAAUUAUUUUUUGUUACUUCAGGUUUAGCUGAUAAGGCACCGGCCAGUCAGGACAGUCGGUGGGCAGGAUCAUUUUAGCAUAUAGCCGUUCUGAAAUCCAGCAACCCAAGCAACGUGUCUAUCCUGUCACCGGUCCCGUAAGUAGUCCUUCAGUAGUAUAAUUUAAUAAUACUUUUAUUUGUAGGUUAAGGGAUAUACCUAAACCUAACAGAGUAAGCCCUAAACUAUAGUCGUGCUUUCCUAAGAAAGUACUAAUUCACUAUAGUUAAUAGCUCUAAUACCAAGCUGUCACACCCCGGCCGUCGGCGGAAACACCGGGCAGUGUAACAUCAUUUCUCGUAUCAUAGUUAUCAACUUCCUGAAAACACAUGUAAUUUAAAAUACGUCAACAUAAAGUUGGUGAGUCCACAGGUUUUGACUCCAUCUAAAAAUAACACAUUUUCCAAGUUCAAAAGUAUAGUUUUGAAAGUAUCAUUUUGACUCUCAAACAUUUAGUAUAUAUAUCCAAGGUAUAAUGGUUUACUUAACAAAUAAGUGUUAUACCUAAACGUUCUUUGAACCUAAAGUAUAAGUAUAAAUGUUUGUAAUUCCAUACAAACUAAGUUACUACGCAUAAAUCUUAUUUCAAUUUUAUACGAGUAAAACCGCUACGUAUAAAUGUAUUUCAAUUCUAUACGAGUAAGUAGGAUAGGUAUAGUGGUCUACUUACUACACAAGUAAUAUACCUACUAGAUUCUUAUACUUAGAGUAUAAGUCUUUGGGAAGCUUAUACUUAAUAUUCAUACUUGUAUAUCGACAAAGUAUAAUGCUUCUAAAGUUAUGUUACCAUGAGUCUGUAGCUACGACUGUACGACUUAGUUUUAUACCUCUGGUUAUUAUUAGAAGGUUAACACCUUGUGGUAGUGACAAGGAUCACACAUUGUGGUAGUUACAAGGAUCACAAAUUGCGGUAGUACAAGGAUCACACCUUGCGGUAGUACAAGGAUCACACCAUGCGGUAGUACAAGGAUCACACCUUGCGGUAGUACAAGGAUCACACCCUGCGGUAGUACAAGGAUCACACCUUGCAGUAGUUUCCAUAUGCUUUAUCAACGUCGGAAGGUAGUAAAUUAGGCAAUUUCAUCACCCGCAAACUAUUGGUUGUAGCUAACAACCACGGGUAGGGUUGUCACGCUCACACGGGAUUAACGAAUACAAGUCAGAGGACUUCCACUAAGAUCCCCAAUCUUAGAUAAUGAAUACAAUAGCUCAUGUAAACUUUGACGGUGUUCUAUAGUUCUAACAACAAAAGCAUUUUCGUGUCUAGAACCCUAAGUUACUACUCUAUGCUUUUAAACAUUAUUCCUAACUUCAUAACAUUUAGGCAGUAUAACAACUAUAACUUAAGGUAAAACCAGGUUUUAUCUUGACAUAAAACCAAUCACAACAUAUAACAUUCCUAGUUUUAUCUUGACAUAAAACCAACAAUAAUAACAUACUUAGAAAUCAAUAUAUAUAUAACUCUCGAGUAUAGCAUCGAAGCUAUAUCACACAUAGUAUAUAUAGAACUUCCGAGUAUAACUCAAGGUCUACAUUAGUAUAAUAACAUGUUAAAAAGUUGAUAAUCUUUAUUCUAAUAAAAGAGUAGCUCUUUUGCCAUGUGUCACCAUGUUAGACAUUGUAAUUAAUAUCAUGACACUUGUCAAUCUAUUGACACUUGUAAUUAAUAUCAUAACACUUGUCAAUCUAUUAAUUCUACAUUUUAAAUUUCAAAUUUCAAAAUCUAAAUCAUAUUUUAAUUACAUUAAAUUAAUAAUAUUAGAAUUAAAAUAAAAUAAAAUUUAUACCAAUUAUAAUAAAAUAAAACUUAUACAAAUUAUAAUAUGAUAUAUUUUACGUAUUUAUAUGAAUCAACGAUUAUAAUUUUAUAUAUAACUAAAAAAUAUAUUUUAUUUAAUAAGUUAUUUAAAAUUAUUAAUUAAUAGUUUUGAGCUUUUACUUAGAAAGUUUAAUUAAUUUUGUAACUGUGGUUACCACGGGUUAUAAACUAGUAGUUUUAUAUAUUUAAACUAUUAUAUUUAAACAACUAUAUCCCGGUUAAUAUAACUAUCUACGCUGAUACUAAUAUACUAUCAUAUAGACAUAAUAUUAACGUAUAUACAAUAUUUAGCAUGCGUUUUCCCCCGAAAAAUAUUAGAAAGUGGGGCCGUAACACUCACCUUAGUAUCGUGAUUUUAUGUCAUCUAAGCAGAAACGGUCAACGGUAUGAGGUCGUCGGGGCUCGGGAAGCGAAACAGCUUCAGCAAACGAGAGAGAAAGAAAGUAGAAAUGGUGUAAUGAGCCUUGGGGUCAAAAUGGCUAUUUAUAGGCUGAUUUUUGGCCUCUCACAACGUGAGAAUGAUAGAUUCACGUCGUGAGCUAUGGCAAGAGUCAUCCCGUAGCUUUAACGCGUGUUUUCUAGCCUCGGAUAGUGUCCUGCAGCGUCCUCACGACGUGAGAAAACCUUGCUCAAGUCGUGAUCUUUUGGGUUAUCGUUCCGUAGACUUCUAGCUUCGAAAUGUGGCAUAUUGGCUCCUCACAUCGUGAGUCCAGUCAGAUUAGGGUUUCUGACACGUGUCGUGCUCUAAGAUAGCUAUAACUUCGGAAGGUCGUAAUGUUUGCAUACGAACUCCGUUUUUAACAUUCUUUAUAUCCAUGCGUAGGUAAUUCUGAGUACUACGACUUUCUUUUAGAUUCCAAUAGCUAAUUAUAAGUCUAUUUUAAAUUCUUCUUAUUAUAGAGAUUUAUAGUGUUAGGGUUUAUCAUAACUUCUUCACGCGAAGUCAGAUUUAGACAUUCUCUAUAACUUUGGAAUCAUAUGGAUGUAUACUUUGAGUUGUAUCAUAAAAUAUGUACGAAAGUUCAUACUUUAACAUGAAUUACAUAGUAGGUUUAUCAAAUUACUAGUUUAACAAAAUCACAUUACAUGAUUGGCAUAAUCUCAUGUGAUUGUUAUUGACCUAUUUUGACGGGUGUUACAGAUAUGCAUUGUGUAAAGAAUAUGAUACUAACCGUAAUUUCAAUAGGCACACGAUUGUCGAUUCUGUGUACAUAAUACAGAUCAAUGCAGUCAACACUGAGUCUCUUCAAGCUAGCUUCACAAGCAUACUUUACAUAGGCCGGAUCUCCGGAGACUUCCAUAGCUUCACUAUCGUAUUUGACACCGAAUUUAGUCGCCAAAUCCACUUUCUCUCUCACUCCUCCCAUCAAAGUCUGUAGUUAACAAGAAACAAAAUACUUGAACAGCAAGUUGACUGAAUCAAACCAUGAAAUGAACCAUGUGGCAGCGACGAUUGAUCAAAGUAAAAUGUAAUUGUUAAGCUCGAAGUAGUAGAAGAAUGUCACCUUGCCGAUAAGGAUCUCGUUGGUUUGCGGUUCGUAGAUGUCGGAGGUGUCGAGGAGGGUAAUCCCGGCGAUAAUGGCGUGGUGGAUGAGCUUGAUCAUGUCCGGUUCAGGUUUGGAGGCUCUAUAGAAAGCAGACAUGCCCAUGCAACCCAAACCCUAUGCUGAUACUUCAAGACCCUGUCAAUGUCCAUUGAAGGUUUGGAAAGUUGAUCUUCUAAUCAAAUUUGCUUUUCUAGUUCUCAAAUCAUUUCUAAUUCAACAACACCAAGCAAAUAGAUAAGAUCAUUAAGGGUCGUGUCAUAGUCUAUUUCAUAGUAGUCCUAAAGGAACUCACUAUGUGGCUUAGAAAGUGAUUGAACAUCCAACUUUCUUAAGACAUUGACACCCAACUCUCCCGACUUGUCAAUAUGUGACUUCAUCUCCAAGAUGUGAGCACACAUAGACCUUGCUUUCCAUUAGGGCUUGAGUGACCUUAAACUUGUGGGUUAGGAAGAAUAAUUGGAGGAGGUGGAAGAAGUUAAGUUCCAAGAGAUUUGGGAAGAUCAUAGAUGUCUGAACUAGACAUCUUUUGGGAGAUAUUCAAGAUAGUUGAUUUAAAGUCCUUAAUAUAACACACAAUAUGAAAUAUUAAGGCUAGGACCCAACACAAUACUUUUAUAACAUGGAAGAGGGAUGUCGUAAUCCAAGCUAUAAAAUAUUUGAAGGUAUGCAAAUGACGAUUCACCAAUUUCCACCAUGAAAACAAAAUAAUUUAAUUAGGUUUUACUUGGAUUUGAAACUCCUAGAUCUUUUGAGAUUCAUUGAACUGUCGAUGGCAUGUUUCAAUCUCAAGUGUGCCCUUCAGGUUUUGUGACUGGGAUGCCGAGGAUCACAAAACAAGGUGUGAAGUAAUCAUGCAAAUCACUUGGUAUCCUUAAUAUUUACCCCUUAAUCGAUGUGCCGGUUAACCACACGCGCUCCACCGAUACUAUGAUAAAUAUUAAGUUACCAUUUGCCUACCUUGUUUAAUCGAUCUAGUGUGCCGGUUAACCACACACGCUCCACUAACCGAAUUAAACAAAUUGCAAAGUGUACUUUCAUGGAUUAGCACCUUCUUCACAUUUUCCUAAAGUAACUAAGAUUGGGAAUUAUAAAAGAUAUAUUUAUCAUUAAUAUUUUUAAUGAAGGGAGAAUUAUAGUCCUUGUCCUACCUGUUCAGCUAACGACCCUCCACCAGUCAAGGAAGCGGUGGGUGAGAGUGGACACCCAUUAAACUGCCAUUUUAUAGGCAGUAACCUUAUACCCCUUUAUAGACCGGCUUCAUGAAUGAGGCCUACUAAUGGUAAGACGANUAAUAUUAUAAAGUAUAAGGGUUAAAUUUUAACUUUUAAAAUUCUAAGGGCUUAACUUGGAAUUAAAGUAUUCAUAAGGGAAACCUUUUGAAAAUCCAAAACUUGAGGGCAAGUUUUGAAACUAUUCAAAACUAUUCAAUUCCAUAACUUAUGUGUUUAAAGUAGUUUUAAUCCAAAAACUCUUCAAGUUCCAUAACUUGAGGACAAGUUAUGGAAGACUUUAAACUGUUAAAAGAACGUGACUUUUCUUUAUUUAUAACCUAUGGAAAUAUUUAUGAGUUUUAUGAAUCUUAAAUGUGACUUUUCAUAUAACUCGAGGACAAGUUACAAAAACACAUUCUAGAAUCAACUCUUAGAUUAAUUUGGAUUGAAAACAACAAUUUCACAUAACUUUUCUAUUAAUCUAAGCAACUGAUAAGAACAAGAUAAUUCAAAUCAAACUUUUUCAUGUAAUUAGUCUAAACCUUAAACUAAUACAAAACAUGAAUCUAUUGACAAUUAUCUUUGAAAUUGGAUUAGCAUGAACAUUACCACAUCAAAAACAAGUUUAUAAGUCCAAAAACAUCUUAGGGUAAUGUUCCUAGUCCAAUUCCAGCCAAAAGCUUCAAACAGCAAGCUGUCAGCACCCAAAACUCGUCGAGUUCCUUGAGUAACUCGUCGAGUUCAUGCCCAAAAUGAUGAACUCGUCGAGUUUUUUGCAUAAACUCGUCGAGUUUUAUGGUCUGUACAAUUUCAGCUUUGAAAAAACAAGUCUGCAUCACGUAUAAGAGAAAACAAGCCUAGGCUCUGAUGCCACUGUUAGAUUUUGAGCAUUCUAACACUACUAAGUGUACAUACAACCCUAAAUACCUUGGAUCUAUGUUUGCUCUAUUAUACAUGCAAAUAUGAAUAUUCUAAGGUAUUACCCUAUCUAGCAUACAAUCUUUUGAUACUUGGGUAAUAUAAUAAGUUAGAAUACAUACAUCUUGAUGUAGCUUGACUCCAUGAUGCUCGAGAGCCUAGUGCCCCAAGAGUGACACUUCAAAUGGUUUACAAAACAUCAUCAACACAUGGAAUAACCAUGAGAAGAAGACACUUCAUGCUCAAAUCGGCUAGCCCUCACAUAUGUAUCACUAGUGCCAAUUUCUUGAGCUAAAGGGGUCCUUAUAUAGUGUGCAUAUUAGGGUUACACCAUGUAACCCUUGACUUUACCCAUUCCUUAUGCUCCAUGGGUUUUAACUUCCAUGGAGUAUCCAUGGGUCGCCACAUGGGUUAAACCCAACAUAAGGAAUCUUGGAUCAUAAGUCUACAUAUAUAAGAAUGAAUGAUUUACGCAAUCAAUCCAUAUAUAUUUAAUUAGUCUCUUUUGAUCACUAAAUUAAGUCCAAAUUAAUUCUUGAUCACUACUAAUUAAGUAACAUGAUUUCAUAUUAAUAUAUUAGAACUGAUAAUAUAUUAAUAUGUCACAAAUGCCCUCUUCUCACAAACGAUCUAUACAAAUGUUCCGAUGCCAUUCAACCCAAAUGGACCAUGCUGAGUCGGGUCAAGUACAUACCAAUUAUAGUUAUGGACUUAGACACUAAUCCAACAAUAGUACCUUUGUCAAGCUUUAGGAUGCCGCAUGGCAGCGAGAGAUUAAGAUAGAGCCCCAUACGAAGGAGCAGCGUCAGGCUCUGGUUCAAUCCAAACCUGCAACAAAGCGGUUCAAUCCUAUUGAUUCAUGAUCAUGAGGUCAGACGGUCUGCACUUAUGGCAUGUUCGGCAAGGCUCAUGAUGGUGUUUGUUGAUCUUCUUAUGGAUGCCACAAAUGUGGCAAUGAGUUUCACUAUGCAAGGGAUUGUCGAUAGUAGGACCGGAUACCGAGCACCAAGAUUUGUUACCAUUAUGAUUAGGUGGGCCAUGUGAAGGCCUAGUGUCCUUUGCUUGUUUCCAGGCCGAUGCAGGCUCUAGCCCCAGCUACUUUGAUGAUCACGGAUGGACGUUAGGGUAGGGCGGAGCCCAUGAGGGCUUGAGGUCAUGCUUUCUAGCUCACAACAGAGGAGGUCAGGGUGACGCUGGAAUUCGUUACUAGUAUGCUUUCAUUUAUUAUUCUGUUAAUUAUUAUAUGGUAUGCUUAUGUUUGUGAUUCUACUAGGUACCUUCUUAGUGAAUUCCCUACCUGUUCUUAUUCGUUUUUUACUCGGGUGCGAGUCGGUCUUCUGUGUAUUAGUCCUUUAGUAGGAGAUUUAAUUUGAUGUGUCUCUUGGAGAGCUGGAGUACCUAUUGCGAGUUUCCAUCAAGCAUGGGGUUUCUACAUCGAGUGUUUAUCAGGGUUGUGUUUUGGAGAUUUUUGGGGUGUCUUACCCGAUUGAUCAGAUCCCUAUCCACAUCAGGGAUGUGUGCGUGAUAGUAGGGAUGGACUGGUUGAGCUGGUUUAGUGUGAUGAUUGACUAUGAAGGUUAGCGGGUGGUAGUUUAAACCCUAAGAAAGGAAGAACUGAUUAUUUAUGGAGAGGUUAUCAGGGUUGGAUUAGCCUUUUGUUUUGUUGUCGAGGCUCGAUAGUAUCUGCAACUUGGUUGUAUGGGUCACCUCACAUAUCUCGUUGACACUCGAGUCGGGAAGGAGGUAUCAGUUUCAGAUGUGCACAUAGUCAGAGAGUUCCUAGAUGUGUUUUUUAAGGAAUUACCUGGUGUGCCCCCACCCCCUGAGAGGCAGGNNNNNNGGCCCCCCCCCUUCCCCCCCCGAGAGGCAGGUUGAGUUCAGGAUCGAUUUGGUCCCUAGUGUAGCCCUGAUUGCUAAGGCACCAUAUCGAUUAGCACCACUAGAGAUUCAGGAGUUCUCUUCUCACAUUUUGUAGAUUUUGAGCAAGCAUUUUAUCAGACCGAGCAGUUCGCCUUUGGGAGCAUUGAUCUUGUUUGUGAAAAAGAGGGAUGGGUUUCACCGCAUGUAUAUUGAUUAUCAGGAAUUUAACAAGUAAACAGUGAAGAACCGUUACCCACUUCUACAUAUUGAUGAUAUUUUCGAUCAGUUGCAAGGUGUAUCUUGGUUCUCGAAUAAUGACUUGAGGUCGGGGUAUCAUCAGAUGAGGGUUAGAGAGGAGAAAGUGGAAAAGGCAAUAUUUCAGACUCGUAACGGUCAUUACUAGUUUGUGGUGAUGCCAUUUGGGCUCACCAAUUCGCAUGUGACAUUUAUGGAUUUGAUGAAUCGAGUGUGCUGGCUGGUACUCGAUCGAUCAUUUAUUGUGUUCAUCGACGAUAUCCUAGUCUAUUCCAAGACCAGGAAGCAGCAUGACGAGCACCUUGAAGAGCUUCUAGGAGUUUUCAGGUGGGAAUGGUUGUACAAAAAAUUCUCAAAGUAUGAGUUUUGGUUAUGAGAGGUCCAGGUCUUGGGACACCUCAUUAACCAAAACAUAAUUUUGUUCGACCCGGUCAAGAUUGAGGCUGUUAUGCAGUGGCAGGUCCCGAAAUAUCCCUCUGAGAUCAGGAGUUUUCUAGGUUUAGCAGAGUAUUAUCAUAGAUUCAUUCAAUAUUUCUCCAAGGUUGUUGUACCCCUCACUCGUCUAAAGAGGAAGGGAAUGGAUUUCUGUUGGGGGUUUGUGCAGUAGGGUAUUUUCGAUACACAUUGGAGACACCAAGAUGUAUCAGGAUUUGCGACAUAGUUACUAGUGGUUGUGUAUGAAGAGGAAAUAACAUGGUAUGUUAAGAGGUGCUUGACAUGUCGGAUGGUUAAGUACGAGCACCAGAGGCCACAUGGCUAGCUUUAGGCUUUAGACGUUCCCAUGUGGAAAUAGGAACAGAUCACGACAGAUUUCAUCACCAAGUUACCUCAGAUGGCUAAAGGAUUUGAUGCGAUAUGGGUUAUAUUGGAUUAUAUGACCAAAAGCGCCCAUUUGCUAGCCAUUCGGGAGAGUUCAUCUGCCGAGAAAUUUGCUGAGUUUUAUGUGCACGAGAUUGUCACUCGGCAUGGUGUUCUAGGUUCACUUGUAUCUGAUCGAGAUGUUUGGUUCACUUCUCGAUUCUGAAAGAGGUGCCACGAGGAAAUAGGGAGGAGAUUGCCCUUUAGCACUACUUAUCAUCCACAUACCGACGACCUAAGCGAGUGGACCAUCCAAACGCUCAAGGAUAUGUUGUGAACAUGUGUGAUCGAUUUCGGUGGAGUUGGGAGUCCUACCUUCCCCUCGAUGAGUUUUCUUACAACAACAACUAUCAUUCUAGUAUCGCUGCGCCACCUUUUGAGUUGGGUAUCGGAUAGACCGAUGUAGUUCUCUAUUAAACAAAAUUUAUUCAACAUAUCAUGUAGAGGUUAAAAGACGUAUCAGAGUCAACAAAAGAGUUAUGUUGAUAGACGUUGGUCUGACUAAGCUCCUCAAGCAAAUCUAACCGAUAGGUUACCAUGUCUACCUUGGAUAGUUGGCGACAUGGUUUUACUAAAGGUAUCACCCUGGAAGGGUGUAAUAUCCUUCAGGAAGAGGGGCAAGUUGGGGUCCCGGUAUAUUGAGCUGUUUCGAGUAUUAUCCAAGGUAGACAUGGUAACCUAUCAGUUAGAUUUGCUUGAGGAGCUUAGUCAGAAUCACAACGCCUUCCAUGUUUCCCAACUUCGGAAGUGUGUGAUUGAUGAUUCAUCGGUGGUUCCUUUGGAUGACAUUUAGGUCGAUCAUCGUCUAACUUAUGCUAAGAGCCCACUAGUGAUUCAUGAUAAGAAGACGAAGGCCUUGUGCAACAAGGUGGUAUCGUUGGUCAAGGUGGCAACAUCAGAAGGGUUCUAAAUGGACUUGGGAACCAGAAGCAGAGAUGCGAGAGCACUAUCCUGAGUUAUUUGUAGCCUUGGACCUCUAAAGUGAAGUCUAAUUCAAGUUAGGGAGAACUGUAACAUCCGUUCCAGGUAUGAAUCAACUUUUUAUGUAUUAACUUUAAAUUUGUUAGCCACAGCGUGGUGGAGCAUCAUCAUGACGCCACAAAAAGUUUUGGACCAUGGAAUUUAAAUGACCCACCACUGUGUGGCCUUAGGUGCCACAACGUGGUAGGAAUUUUUAAUGAAAAACCUAAUAUUGGGCUUUAAGCCCUAUAUAAAGAACAUUAAGGCUAGGGGUUCAUGAUCAUUCAACAUCUAUCUCCCUUUUAAACUUAGAAUCCCUAACCCUAGCCAGCAUUGAAGUUGUAAGCUCAUUCUUGGUGGUUUGUGGUGAGUUUUGAAGGACAAGGAAGACCAUGGAGUAGUAGUUACUUGGCAAGCAUCAUCUUCUUCAGCUAGCAAAUCUCCUGGACCUUGGUGAUUGUCCAAGAUCCAACCUUUCCCUUUCCAUGUUACUAGUUCUAUUGAUUUUGUCGCUUUUUUUCAUGUCUUGAUGGAUUUGAGUGGUGGGAUCUCAUAAUGUUUACAACUUUAUGAAUCUCUAGGUCAAAUAGGGUACUUGGUGUCUUGGAUCUAAUUUAUAUACAAGUUUUGGUGUCAUGCAUGGGGUUUUGGCCAAAACCAUCAUUUUGACCUAAUAAAGUCCAAGACAUGCAUUGGACAUGCAUAUCUAGCAAGUAAGGAUUUUUAUGUUGUCAUUUUAUGCAAGAAAUGUAUUGGAAAUGGGAAUCUAGUAGUCUUGAAUAGAAAGUGCUUAAUGGGUUAAGCCAAGAUUUUUUUUGCCCUAUUUAGAUCUAGAAAUGAGAUCUCUAUCUCUUAGAGGGUCUAAAGGGAUAAAGUUGGAAACUUUAUCCACUUAGACCUUAGAAUGGACCAGAUCUGGGCUUUGGAGCCCUUAGGAUCAAAGAAAUUGACUUAAUCCAUUAGGCGGUUAGGAGCCCAAUGCCCACAACGUGGCCUAGGUUGCCAAGACGUGGCGACCAACUGGAGUUGACUUUGACUUUGACUUUUAUCCGUUGUCGUUGAAUUUGACCAAGUUUGACCUAGGGGCAUUUUUGGUAUUUUGAGCAGGAGUUUGAGACUAGGUCAUUGUUUGGUAUAGUGAUCUAUAGAGUUGGCGUUUGGAUCAUCGUUCUUUCUGCUAUCAUUUUACACUGUGAGGUGAGUUUUCCUCACUAUACUUGUGGGUCGAAGGCACCAAUGUUGGCCUACUAGAUUAUGUAUCCUAGUAUAUUGGAUUGAUAUUAUGUUUUGUCUGUGUUAGAUUGAUAGAUCUGCAUGAUUACAUAGGUUCAUUGUGUAUGUUUUAAAUUGGUGUAUAUAUAUAUAUAUAUAUAUAUAUAUAUAUAUAUAUAUGUAUNNNNNNNNNNNNNNNNNNNNNNNNNNNNNNNUAUGAUUACCUAUACUUAUUGAUUAUUGAUUGCGAUUGUGUAUGUCAACAUGUUAUGGUUUGUUGGGCUGAUGCGGUCUUAAUUUGUGUUGAAAACCAAGAUACCCGGGAUGGUUCGGUUAGAUUGAAGACCCAAGAGGUGGCCCAGUCAGGACAAAAGUCCCGGAGAUCGGUCAAGAUAGGUUGUAGGACCUGUGAGGCGGUCCAAUUAGAAUAAAUGUUCAUUUAUACAUGUAUUUAUAUGUAUUGGUACUUUGGGGAACUCACUAGACUUUUGGCUUACAAUUUAAGUUUUAUGUUUCAGGUAUUUCAAAAGAUCUGGGGAAUGAAAAGCCGUGAUAGCACAUAUCGUUUGGUGAUAUGUUUUGGAAAUAUUAUGAUACAUUGAUUUUGGAACAUUUGUACUUGAUCUUGGGUUCUUAUGACUCAGGUUUUGAUUGAAAACAAUAAUUUCUCUUUAAUUAAAAAUGAAAAUUUUUAUUGUGAUCUUGGGACUCUAAAAUUUUGUGAUGUCCUACAUCGAUACAAUAUAAAAUGAUGAAAUUUAGAUGAAUUUAUUUAAUGAAAAUUUCAUUAUCGUAAGCUGUUGAAAUAGUUUUUAACCUCCAUGAGAAGCCUUUAGAAAAACCUUUUUUAGCCCAUUCAUGACAAAAAAGAAAUUAAUGGAUUUAAUGUGUAUAAUCUUAAGUCUUAACAUUUAUAUAAAAGUUGAUUUUUUUAACAUUUAUAUAAUUACAACGUUCAACUUAUUCAUUUUGAACAAUGUUGAGACGUUCAAUGUAAAAAGAAAAACUAUAUAUAUAUGUAUGGUGAUUCGAAAGAAAUUUACAUGUAGCUCAACACAUUAUGUAUCAUAACACAUUAGACUGUGGAAAACGACAUACUAUGAACAUGCAAAAUCAUCAUAUUUAAGUGGUUAACUACUUUUUAAUAACUUUGAUGUUUCAAUACUUAUAAAAGUUGAAACUAAAUAAUUCAAUCCUUUAAAACUUUGACAUAAAAAACAUGUUUUAUAAUAAAUUGACCACAAAUGAAUAUUAAAAAAAUAAUUUAAAAGUCACUUUAUAAAUCAGUUAUCUUGAACUACAUUGAUUUGGACGAAAUCAUUUAUUGUUAUGUAGUUUUUUUUUAUUUAACAUUUUUUAACUCACUUAUAGUAUCACUAAUUUACAUAAUUAGUCUCUCUUAAUUUAAUUAGUCUCUUUUGAUCAAUAAAUUAAUUUCAAAUUAAUUCUUGAUCAAUACUAAUUAAAUAAUAUCAUUUCUCAAUUAAUAUAGUAUACUUAUAAUAUAUUAUUUAAUCAUAAAUAACCUCUUUCUCAAAUAUCCAUCCUACUAAAUUGUCCUGGUGAAGGCAACUCGAAGUGGACCAUGCUACUCUCGGGUCAAGUACAUAUCAAUUAUAGUUAUGGGCUUAGACACCUAAUCCAAUACUUGCAUGUAUGAAUGAUUUAUUCUUCUGCAUCUCUUGUCCACACGGACCAUUCGAGUUGUAUAGCUGUUAAUGGGUGCACAACAUGAUCUCUUCUGAUGGUUGAUGCUGACGCCUCCAAUAAUCCAAUGUAUUUAAUCUUUCCUUCUUCCACCAGCUCCUUUAGUGCUCCCAUCUAACAAGAAAGAUAAAGAUUUUAGGAGAUCGAUAUGAAUAGAUAAUGAAUUUAAGCGCGACUACAAGUGAACGACAUGUAAAGAGGAGGGAAUUAACAUUGAUUUCAAUAGGCACACGGUUGUCAAUAAUAUGAUGAUAAUAAAUGUCAAUACAAUCGACGCCUAAUCUCUUGAAGCUAGCUUCACAAGCAUACUUUACAUAGGUCAGGUUUUCGGAGACAUCCAUGUGAUUAUUGCUCUCGUAUUUGAACCCGAAUUUGGUACCUAGUUGCACUUUUUCCCUCCCCGCUCCAGUCAAAGCCUGUAAUACAAAAGAAAACUGUUUUCUAAUCAAUUUACACAAGAAAUGAUACUUAAACCGUAAGUUGACUGAAACGAAAUAUGAAAAUAUCUAUGUGCUCUAUAAUCUUAAAACUAAUUGGGAAUGACAAUUCAUCGAGGUAAUAUUUAAUUAUGAAGCUUCUAAUCGUAGAAGAAUGUUACCUUGCUAAUAAGAACUUCGUUGGUUUCAGGACCAUAGAUGUCGGAGGUUUCCAGAAAGGUAAUGUCGGUGCUAAUUGUGUCACACCCCAAAACCGGAACGGCGGAAAUGUAAUGGGGUGGAUGACGUCAUGUCAACUAUCACAACAUAUGCAGUAUAGUAAUCAAAGUACAACAACCAUUGCAAUAAUAGUAAUAGUUUUACAUAGUUUACAUUGAAUAGAAACAUCAAAGUAAUACAAGUAAUAAUACAGGUGCAACUUGGUACUAAUCUGUCUUCACCAAAAGCUCCUGUGAUGUACAUGUCUAUUUGCUGACCUGAGAAUACAAGUUAUUUUGAAACCGAGUAUCAACAUUUUUAUAAAUGUUGGUGAGUUCAUAAGUAUUUAGUGUCAUUUUAUUCAAAUAACUUUAUACAAGUAGUAGUUUAGAAUCAAUAGUGUAUUAGAGUCCUUUCCAGAAAAUCCUAUAUUUUCUAAAUAAAAGCAGUCUUCUACCAAGACCCGACAGUGUUAUGUUUUAAAGAGAAUUUCCCUGAAAUAUCUCUUGAAGCUAGCUUCACAAGCAUACUUUACAUAGGCCGAGUUUCUAGAGACAUCCAUGUGAUUACUGCUCUCGUAUUUGAACCCGAAUUUGGUACCUAGUUGCACUUUCUCCCUCCCCGCUCCAGUCAAAGCCCGUAAUACAAAAGAAAAUUGUUUGCUAAUCAAUUUACACAAGAAAUGAUGCUUAAACCGUAAGUUGACUGAAUCAAAAUAUGAAAAGAUCUAUAUGCUCUACGAUCUUAAAACUAAUUAGGAACGACAAUUCAUCGGGGUAAUAUUUAGUUAUGAUGCUUCUAAUCAUAGAAGAAUGUUACCUUGCUGAUAAGAACUUCGUUGGUUUCAGGACCAUAGAUGUCGGAGGUUUCCAUAAAGGUAAUGUCGGUGCUAAUUGUGUCACACCCCAAAACCGGAAUGGCGGAAACGUUCUGGGGUGGAUGACGUCAUGUCAACUAUCACAACAUAUGCAGUAUAGUAAUCAAAGUACAACAACCAUUGCAUUAAUAGUAAUAGUUUUACAUAGUUUACAUUGAAUAGAAACAUCAAAGUAAUACAAGUAAUAAUCCAGGUGCAGCUUGGUACUAAACUGUCUUCACCAAAAGCUCCUGAAUGUACAUGUCUAUUUGGUGACCUGGGAAUACAAGUUAUUUUGAAAGCGAGUAUCAACAUUUUUAUAAAUGCUAGUGAGUUCAUAAGUAUUAAGUGUCAUUUUAUUCAAAUAAAUUUAUACAAGUAGUAGUUUAGAAUCAACAGUGUAUUAGAGUCCUUUCCAGAAAAUCCUAUAUUUUCUAAAUAAAAGCAGUCUUCUACCAAGACCCGACAGUGUUAUGUUUUAAGGAGAAUUUCCCUGAAAUAUUAUCAUUACCAAAUUACGGUAUUUGAUUUUAAAGAAAGUAGGAGAAUAUUACUAGUUGAAGUACUAAGGGAAAAUAACAUAUGCCUCAGCAGAAGAUACUGCUGACUAAGGCAAAGAAAUCAUAGACUCCAGGAGAGUAUCAAAUGAAUGACACGCCUGGCUCAGUCUAACAAAAGGAGACACAGACCCCAAACGGUAUCAAAUGUACGAUACAUCUAGCAAGGUCUAAAACAAAGAAACGCAGACCCCAGACAGUAUCAAAUGAAAGAUACAUCUAGCAAGGUCUAAAACAGUGAACACAGACCCCAGAUAGUAUCAAAUGAAAGAUACAGCUAGCAAGGUCUAAACAAGAGUAAUUCUAAGAGUGUGUUUCCAGCAUACAGUGUUAAACAUCGUUACCUUAAGGCCAUGAAUUAUAAGGUAAACAUGGAGAUACUCGUAACCAUACUAAUCGACACUAGAGUACUUGACGCCCUGCAAGCGUCGGUGUAAGUAUGACAUUUGUCACCCCUUGGCUUGGUAGGCCUUGGACUGUAGCUAGCAGUCACGGUGCGGGGGUGUCAAUCCCGUAUAGAUCUAUACACACAAUGUCUGCUCUACCUACAGGAGACUAUGGUUACCAACUCGACGACGAGGAGAUCUGUGUCUUAGGGAUGCAUCUCGACCAAUGAAUUCUGAUGUAAGUGCUGGACUAACAGUAGAGACUCAUAACUGAACCAAUCGAUGUAAACCUAUAUGUCUAUACAUGUAUACAUAAUAUAUAAUUAAUGAUUAAACGACCUUCGGACGGAUAUCCGAUCCCACCAGACCACAUCCCAACGAGGAAAAGGAAAUCGGGCGAACUAGCCUUCCUAAGUCCUUUAAAUAUUAUUUAUAUAACUAUACAAGUACAGGCAUACUUUUAACCAAGUAGGAACAUUUUACGAAGUUGAAGUGUUUAACGAAGUAGAAGUGUUUCGCGAAGUAGAAGCGUUAACAAGUAGAAGCGUAUCACGAAGUAGAAGCGUUUAUAAGUAGAAGCGUAUCACAAAGUAAAAGUGUUAAUAACUAGAAGCGUAUCACGAAGUAGAAGCGUUUAUAAGUAGAAGCGUAUCACGAAGUAAAAGCGUUAAUAAGUAGAAGUGUAUCACAAAGUAGAAGCGUUUAUAAGUAGAAGCGUAUCACGAAGUAAAAGCGUUAAUAAGUAGAAGCGUAUCACGAAGUAGAAGCGUUUAUAAGUAGAAGCGUAUCACGAAGUAAAAGCGUUAAUAAGUAGAAGCGUAUCACAAAGUAAAAGCGUUAACAAAGUAGUAGCAUUUAACUAAGUAGAAGCAUUAAGUAUGUAGAAGUAUAACGAAGCAUUAGUAUCUAACAAAGUAGGAGUAUAAAAACAUGGAAGAAAACAUUGAUGAAAACUUUGGAAAACCUUUAUACUUAAGAAAAUCAUGACUUGGUAUUCUUUUGUAAAAUAAGUUUGAAAACCUUUAGAAACCCUUGAAAAUCUUUCAUAAACAAGUUUUGAUUAUAACUUUGAUAAAACGAUAUAAGUAAAGAAAACCUUCAUUUUAAAAUGCUACUGUAACUGAAUUUGAAAUAAAACAUACAUUGCGAGAGACAAUUUGAGAAAAGCUUUGAACAAUUAGAGACGUUUUGGAAAAACAUUUACAGUAUCAUACUUGGUAAAUCAGUUGACAGUGUAAUAAAUCCUUGUGCAUGCGGGUCAUCCAUCACAUGUGGUUGAUAUGAUAACUGGCAUGUUUUAACUUUUAUCCCCCCCCCCCAUAAAAGCAUGUAAAAACAUUUAAAAGGUUAAUUCAGGGGUAUGAACUCACCUGUUGUAAGUGGAUCGAACGAAGGUGCCGGUUGGGUGCUCGGUGUCAAGUAAAGACUUGAACACACUUAGUGACCUAUUAACAUAUGAUGACAUAUGUUUACAUACAGUUAGUAAAUAUAAUACUAAUUAAACACGUAUACGCAUCCUAAAGUGAGGAAAACAAUUUGAUUAAGUGCUAGGGGUGUCUCGGGUAACAUCUAUGGGUAUGUAUGGCCUAGAUAGGGAGUUUAAUCUUCAAGAGUAAACUCUUUAUAGAGUUCAUGGCCCUAAGACCAACUCCCCAUGAGCUUACAGCCGUAAACUCAUGGUGGGGGUGUUCUAGGAUGCUAAAUGGUAUUAUCUCACUCAUAGAAUUAGGCUAGGUCCAAAUAUAAAGCAUAUGAAUGGGUUUAAGGCAACAAAUGGACCAUUCAAGGAGAUAACGGCCCUAAACAAGGAGUUUACGGCCGUAAACUCUCACUUGGUCAUUUCCUUCAUAGAUCUAAGCCUUAAAUGAUAGAGUAUAAAGUUCUAAGCAUUAUUCCAAGUCAAAUGGGGGUGUUAGGGCAUCAUUUGGCCACCUUUUGGGAGUUUACGGCCCAUGGACCAAUUCUAUGGGGGUUUACGGCCAUAAAUUCCUAUUUCCUUGGUUUAAUUGAUGUUUAAUGUCUUUACUACAACGGGGGUUGCUUCUAGACAUUUUCCAAGGCCAUAGGAGGUGUUUGAGGGCAUUUCUUACACCUUAAAAGGUGUUCACGACCCUUGAAGAGGGGUUUACCAUCCAAGAGUGUUCUUGGGCCGUAAACUCAUGUUUACUCUCCAAAAUGCAAGGUUUUAGUGUUCUAAGCUCGAAAGUGUAAGUCCACAAGUCAUAUCUAAGCCCUAGGGGUAGUUUAGAGGGGUUUUGGGGCUUAAAAACCCCACUUAAGGGUGUUCACGGUCCAAGAGUGUUCUUGGGCCGUAAACACAUAAUCUUGCCCCUAUUUGAUGUCUUAAACACGAAUUUGCAUGAUAACUAAGCUAUACAACAAGUUAGGAUAGAUUACUUACUAGUUUGGGGUUCGAAAAGGACGUUUUUGGCUCGAAAACAAGUUGUAGAGAGAGAGAGAGUGUAGAGAGAGUGUGGAAAGGUUUCUAUGGAGUCCACUCACCCUUAUAUAGGGGUUUGAGUUGGGGCUUAGUGGAAAUCUACCUGAUACUGCCGUUAAAUGGGGCAUUUGGUCGCACCCGAUUGAAUGGUCGUAAUUAAAAAUAAACUUUUUCCAAUAAAAUGGAAAGAUAAUUUACGAGUUUAUUUUUGCUUGACGAAUAUUAUAUAAAAUAUUCCAAUGGGUUUAAUUCCGGUCAAAACUAUUUUUUGGAUAAAUUUGGCUAAUUUUUGACGUAAUUAAUUUCGACGUUAAAACUAACGGGAACUUUUGGGUUGUCACAUCAUCCCCCCGUUAGAGGGAAUUUCGUCCCGAAAUUCAGGUUUAGGCAAGGAACUAGGUAUGAAUGAUCGAGUAAUGAGAUGAGGGUACUUCCUAUUCGAAUGGUCCUCGUGCUCCGAAGUGAACUCCGGUGUUCACUUGGUCUUCUAGUGAACCUUCACUAAUGGGAUGCAGAUUUGUUACGCUCGCUUGAUUCCUCGGUACACAGUUUUACUAUAGGUUUUUCUACGCAGUUAGGGUUCCCAAUGGUUUCUAUCGAGAUGAGUGGGAUACAAAGAGUGACGCCGGGCAAACACUUAUCAAAUCUAAGAAGUGGAUUGAUCUGUGGUGAAACUUGUGGAAUUUCCGAAAGUAGUAGUGGUCUGACGAGGGUUGGACCAAUCUUCGUAAAGAAUCUCAGAUGGUCCUAAGCUCUCGAAAGGGUAGAGCUUUUCAGUACUUAGAACAUAGUGUACUUCUAUGGCGAGAUCAUCACUGGCAUGAUCACCAUUCCGAAGUUCCAAACAUUCUCUCUCAUACUGAAAGUGUAGUCCUUCAGGUUGGUUCUUAGAAAGCUCAGGUUGUCGUUGGAUUUGUGUUUCUACUGCUUGGCUUUCAGAGGUUUUCUGGAUCAUCGGAUGGAUUGCAUGUCUACAGGUAUCUGUUUGCUGCAGCAUGUCUAUCUCAAUCUUGUGCAAAAUGAACCUGCACUAAUGAAUCUUGAGAUGUUUCUAACGGAAACCCUCAGGGUCGGGGAGAUAGGGUUUCACCAGACGAGUGCUUAGAAAGUUUUUUAAACUUUACAUCAUCGUCUAGCUAGCGCUUUCACGAUAUGAUCCUUAACGGGAAAGGAUCAUGCUCUUACUUGCCUUGUUGUUUCAUGAACAGUAGGCUCUGCUCCGGGCUAACUCAAUCCUUAGAGAUUUUCUGAAGUGUUGGACUAUCUCAGGAGGUGGUUUUACUAUUUCUGUGCGAGAUAGUAUUCGUGGAACACCUAGUAGUCCAAUGAAUCUCUAAGACAUGUCCUAUUCUCCAAUGCAUUGGUUUAUUUUAGUGCGGAAAGUGCGUGCUCUUGUAUAACCCAUCGACUAACACCUAGACGGGUGUCAAGUCUAUAAUCUCUUCGGGAUCUGGGUUAUAGAGCUUAACGGAACCUACUCUCAUACUUUAUUCAUGUAUUCUUGGCUGCGGUGGUUAUCCUGUGGUUCUUGGCAUUCUAGUGUUCACUUCGAAGAAUGUAGUCUAUCAUCUACAGGGUGACGGCGACUUCUUCCACGUAAGAGGGCGGAGGGUCCUAGGCACUACUUGUCGGUAAUAGGGUGGACGAAGUGCCUGAGUAGUGCGAACAUCUUCUGCAACUACUCUUCCGAAGAUUCUGAAUUUUCUCGUCCAAGGUCAAAUCUAGUGAGUAUAGGGUUCCAUCACUCGGAACUUUAAUCUCCUCAUCCACUCUUCUCAGAGUUUAACUUAUCGUAGCUUCCAGGGAUACGGGAUAUCCGCUGAGAUGCCUAUUUCUGGGAAUUAAGCGUGAGUAGAUGGUCGUAGUCAAUGUCUUUGACUCUUACGACUCAAAUUUCUUUACUAAACGAGGGUGCUAGAUACUAUGUUGGCUUAACCGGGAUGACAACAAAUUUCAGAUUUGUGGUCAUUAUAGUAACUCAACCCGCAGUGGUUCUCUUGACUCUAGUUCGUGAUUGCGAGGUGCGAAGGGUCUUCCUGGUAGAUCUACGGAGUAGGCUUCGAGUGGUUAUCGUCUUCUGAAAUACUUGCAGUGUCUUUGCUUCGGUUUCUUUUUGUCUAAGAAGGGUUGGUUAACAGCACGCGGUACCCUUCUCCUGGGUACUUCGGAAGGUUUGAAAUAAGAGUGACGACUGACGGAUCGCAUUAGUCUUUAUUAUUUUUAUUAUGUUUAGGUUCGGAGGAACCAUUAUUUGCCAAAAUGGCUACGGUGAAAUUUCUUUUCACAUAGCACUAAGGAGUUACACACGGUUGCAGUAAGUCGAACCAUGAUUGAUAGGGGCGUCGAAGUUGGCGUACUUCGACAUGAUACAAAAUGAGGAUCGGUAGAGUCAUGUGCCGAAUGGGCACACAAGUUCUAGGCGUCUCGGGUUUCAUCCCGUGUAUCACUGUCUCGGAUACUUGGACCGAUAGAGUCGACGCAGAACUAUAGAGGGUCCUGAGUGUUUCUGAGUAGAGUACCUUUCAUGAAUGGAUUCUCACGAGGCAUUUCUAUAAUUGCCUAACAUAUACUAGUCAUGUAUAAUUAAGGUGGGGAGGACUGUUGACUGAGAGACUCCACCCUAAAUCCACAACCAAACAAGGAACAGGAAAUGAGGCGGCAUUCACUCACUCUAGGUCUAUCCAUCUCAAUUAAACAUGGCCGUAACGUAUAUAUCUAGCCAUAAUAGUUUUACCUGAUGAAAUUUUUAAAUUUUAUAACAGAGCUGCGACUUUCGCCUUAACGGGGAAGUAAUUACAGUUAGAAUUAGUCUUUUAAUGUUUUCGGUUAGUUAUCUGAGAUUGAGAGACGUACCAAAAAUCUAUCGGGUUCCUUGAUGCUUCUCUCCAAGCAUUAGAGUUAGACUUCUCCUGUGUCCUUGUCUUUUCUUUCUGUUGGACAGUCCUUCUUGAAGUGUCCAACUUCGCCACAUAGACGACAAACUGUACUGGUCGCCACAUGGGUGGUUGAUGUAAUAAACUCAACCGGGGUUCUGCAGACGCGAGCGGUAUGCCCCUUCGUAUUGCACCUAUCACAAUAGAGUUCUCGGCAUAUACCAUGAUGGUGGUAGCUACACUUGCUGUAGUGGGGAAGGCUUCCUAGGUAUGGUCUCCUUGAAGUCGGAAUGGACGGGAUGGCAGGGGUAUUGACUGUCUCAGCUCGUUGCCCUUCGGAAGGUCCUUGAGCCGAGGCACUUCCUUCCUCGUUCUUGAGCUUUCUCUUCAGUGGAUUUGGCUGAGGUUCUUUGGUGGCUGGGUAGGCAGUUAUUGGUUGCUGUUGUCCAUUAUUAGGAUCGGAAUUUCCGAUAGGGCUCUUGCUAACAUUGGCGUUGUUAGCAUUCAGUUGAGCUAUGACAGCUGCUACGGCUGUCGAGACUGCAGCUUGGAACGUAGCUUCAUCGAGUAGGAGAGUCAGUUUCUCGCCAGUGGAUCGGUUACGCUUCUUUGGAGGCAUGGUUUUCUUAGACAGAAAGAACACAACUGAUGAGAGACAAUGGUUAACCCUAGACGUGUCAAUCCUUACUAUAUUGGGCAUAAAUUUUUCCCGUGCUUCGGAUACUGGUAGUCUGAGUGUCGACCUACAUCCCUAUGAUGUAGUCCAGGUAUUCAAGGUAGGAGUAUGAGUAUCGGAAAAAGCCAUAAGAUGGGAGUCGUUCCUACUGAGUUACCUUUAUACUGGGAAAGGUUUCACUCUCUGGCUUAGAAAGAUUUGAGGAUAGUUCGGAACGAAAGCCGCGGGAAGAAAGGCUCAUGAAGACUUAUGGCUAAACACUCUCAAUAGAGGUGUGGGGAUCCGCUCUAAUCGUAUUACUUGCAACGGGAAAAAGGCGAUUUACCUAACACAUAGUGUGAGUAGUGUAGUCACUAACUCACUAAAUUGUAUUAUUUUAUGGGUGUAUUAGUGUGAAGAAUACGAGGAAAAGACACUUCUCGGGUUCCAUGUACUGGCUCCCUCUGUCUACCUCGUAUCCUUGACUGGGACCGACGUUGGUUUCCUUCGGGUAAUUACCUAGGAUUUUCUUCUCCUAUUGACAUAUUGAAUUUCUACUCUGUCUUACUUCUGAUUCUGACUCUGGGUGUCAUCACUUCAUGAUGGAUGACUGUAAAUCUCGGAAGUUUAGGCGAAUUUCCCACCAUGUCCCUAAAAAGAUAUAGGCAAUUGGUGAUUUCAAUAGUCUCGACCUAGUUCAUUUAUUUCCGAACUGGAAUUCUUCUCAAUGAACCUCUUCGGGGUCUGAAUCAACUCUUCUGCUGAGUACUGAAGUGGAUAGGGUUUUCUACAGGGUUCGUGCGAGAAUGGAAAUGUCUAAAGAAUCCUAAGAGAUUAUUAACAUUUCACUAGGUGAUCCAUAUCCAGUCCUGCUAUGAUUACAUAGGGUAUACAAAUCAUAUAUAGCUUAGAUCCGAUAGGCCUUCGAAGAUGUGAUACUACUCUAUAUCCACAUCCCAACGAGGAAAAGGAAGUAGAGCGAAACCACACAUUCUUAGCCUAUGGGAUCCUUAUUAUAUAUAACCUUGGAAGUAUACCCUCUGUAAUUGUAGGUAUAUCAAUAAGGAUCUUUUUAUUUCUUCACACAAGGUUAUCUAUGGAUCCUAAAAUACCCUUAUGGUAUUUCAAUUUCUUUUUUGUUUCUUAACUUCUGAAUAUGAUUCUGGGAUUAAUGCGAGUCUUUUAGUAUUCCAAAAUACUCCCAUAGUAUUUUAAACUUUAUAUUUGGCUCUAGCAUUCCUAGUUGGUAAGUUUCAGACCUGUUGCAACACCACUAUCACUCCCAAGCACACUUUCAUCGCAUCUCGAAUAAAUGUAGUAGAUCAUGUUACAUAUAUUCCAGCUUACGAUUACAUAACUGCCCAGUUUUGACGGUAAUGCUCAACAUCCGAAGACUUUUAUUCUUGUUCUUCUUGUGAUACUUUUGUUCGAGUGUUUAGAUUCUUGAUGUUCUUAUACUUUGGUAAAAUAUGGUUAUAUUUUAAAGUAUAAUUCUUGGUCAGAGUGUUUUAUCCCUAUGUAUUUAUAGGCUGUAUAUCUUUUAUGAAUUGAUAUAUUGAGCUCACUAUAAACAAUGCUCUGAUACCAAUCUGUCACACCCCAAAACCGGAACAGCGGAAACGUUCUGGGUGGAUGACGUCAUGUCAACUAUCACAACAUAUGCAGUAUAGUAAUCAAAGUACAACAACCAUUGCAUUAAUAGUAAUAGUUUUACAUAGUUUACAUUGAAUAGAAACAUCAAAGUAAUACGAGUAAUAAUACAGGUGUAGCUUGGUACUAAACUGUCUUCACCAAAAGCUCCUGGAAUGUACCUGUCUAUUUGUUGACCAGAGAAUACAAGUUAUUUUGAAAGCGAGUAUCAGCAUUUUUAUAAAUGCUGGUGAGUUCAUAAGUAUUUAGUGUCAUUUUACUCAAAUAACUUUAUACAAGUAGUAGUUUAGAAUCAACAGUAUAUUAGAGUCCUUUCCAGAAAAUCCUAUAUUUUCUAAAUAAAAGCAGUCUUCUACCAAGACCCGACAGUGUUAUGUUUUAAAGAGAAUUUCCCUGAAAUAUUAUCAUUACCAAAAUAUGGUAUUUGACUUUAAAGAAAGUAGGAGAUUAUUACUAGUUGAAGUACUAAGGGAAAAUAACAUAUGCCUUAGCAGAAGAUACUGCUGACUAAGGCAAAGAAAUCAUAGACUCUAGGAGAGUAUCAAAUGAACGACAUGCCUGGCUUAGUCUAACAAAAGGAGACACAUACCCUAAACGGUAUCAAAUGUACGAUACGGCUAGAAAGGUCUAAAACAAAGAAACGCAGACCCAGACAGUAUCAAAUGAAAGAUACAGGUAGCAAGGUCUAAAACAGUGAACAUAGACCCCAGACAGUAUCAAAUGAAAGAUACAGCUAGCAAGGUCUAAACAAGAGUAAUUCUAAAAGUGUGUUUCCAACAUACAGUGUUAAACAUCAUUACCUUAAGGCCAUGAAUUAUAAGGUAAACAUGGAGAUACUCGUAACCAUACAAAUAGACACUAGAGUACUUGACGCCCUGCAAGCGUCGGUGAAAGUAUGACAUUUGUCACCCCUUGGCUUGGUAGGCCGUGGAAUGUAGCUAGCAGUCAGGGUGUGGGUGUGUCAAUCUCAUAUAGAUCUAUACACACAAUGUCCCCUCUCCCUACAGGAGACUCUGGUUACCAACUCGAUGACGGGGAGAUCCGUGCCUUGAGGAUGCUUCUCGAACAGUGAAUUCUGAUGUAAGUGCUGGACUAACAGUAGAGACUCAUAACUGAACCGGUCGAUGUAAACCUAUAUGUCUAUACAUGUAUACAUAAUAUAUACUUAAUGAUCAAACGACCUUCGGACGGAUAUCCGAUCCCACCAGAGCACAUCCCAUCGAGGAAAAGGAAAUAGGGAGAACUAGCCUUCCUAAGUCCUUUAAACAUUAUUUAUAUAACAAUACAAGUAUAGGCAUACUUUUAACCAAGUAGGAACAUUUAACGAAGUUGAAGUGUUUAACUAAGUAGAAGUAUUUCGCGAAGUAGAAGCGUUAACAAGUAGAAGCGUAUCACGAAGUAAAAGCGUUAAUAAGUAGAAGCAUAUCACAAAGUAGAAGCGUUUAUAAGUAGAAGCGUAUCACGAAGUAAAAGCAUUAAUAAGUAGAAGCGUAUCACGAAGUAAAAGCGUGAAUAAGUAGAAGCGUAUCACGAAGUAGAAGCGUUUAUAAGUAUAAGCGUAUCACGAAGUAAAAGAAUUAAUAAGUAGAAGCGUAUCACGAAGUAAAAGCAUUAACAAACUAGUAGCAUUUAACUAAGUAGGAGCAUUAACUAAGUAGAAGUAUAAUGAAGUAGUAGUAUCUAACAAAGUAGGAGUAUAAAAACAUGGAAGAAAACUUUGAUGUAAACUUUGGAAAACCUUUAUACUUAAGAAAAUCAUGACUUGGUAUUCUUUUGUAAAAUAAGUUUGAAAACCUUUAGAAACCCUUGAAAAUCUUUCAUAAACAAGUUUUGAUUAUAACUUUGAUAAAACAAUAUAAGUAAAGAAAACCUUUGUUUCAAAAUGCUACUGUAACUGAAUUUGAAAUAACACAUACAGUGCGAGAGACAAUUUGAGAAAAGCUAUGAACAAUUAGAGACGUUUUGGAAAAACAUUUACAGUAUCAUACUUGGUAAAUCAGUUGACAGUGUAAUAAAUCCUUGUGCAUGCGGGUCAUCAAUCACAUGUGGUUGAUAUGAUAACCGGCAUGUUUUAACUUGUAUUCCCCCCCCCCAUAAAAGCAUGUAAAAACAUUUAAAAGGUUAAUUCAGGGGUAUGAACUCACUUGUUGUAAGUGGAUCGAAUGAAGGUGCCGGUUGGGUGCUCGGUGUCAAGUAAAGAAUUGAACACACUUAGUGACCUAUUAACAUAUGAUGACAUAUGUUUACAUACAAUUAGUAAAUAUAAUACUAAUUAAACAUGUAUACGCAUCCUAAAGUGCGGAAAACACUUUGAUUAAGUGCUAGGGGUGGCCCGGGUAACAUCUAUGGGUAUGUAUGGCCUAGAUAGGGAGUUUACCCUUCAAGAGUAAACUCUUUAUAGAGUUCAUGGCCCUAAGACCAACUCCCCAUGAGUUUAUAGCCGUAAACUCAUGGUGGGGGUGUUCUAGGAUGCUAAAUGGUAUUAUCUCACUCAUAGAAUUAGGCUAGGUCCAAAUAUAAAGCAUAUGAAUGGGUUUAAGGCAACAAAUGGACCAUUCAAGGAGAUAACGGCCCUAAACAAGGAGUUUACGGCCGUAAACUCUCACUUGGUCAUUUCCUUCAUAGAUCUAAGCCUUAAAUGAUAGAGUAUAAAGUUCUAAGCAUUAUUCCAAGUCAAAUGGGGGUGUUAGGGCAUCAUUUGGCCACCUUUUGGGAGUUUAUGGCCCAUGGACCAAUUCUAUGGGGGUUUACGGUCGUAAACUCCUAUUUCCUUGGUUUAAUUGAUGUUUAAUGUCUUUACUACGAUGGGGGUUGCUUCUAGACAUUUUCCAAGGCCAUAGGAGGUGUUUGAGGGCAUUUCUAACACCUUAAAAGGUGUUCACGGCCCUUGAAGAGGGGUUUACGGUCUAAGAGUGUUCUUGGACCAUAAACUCAUGUUUACUGUCCAAAAUGCAUGGUUUUAGUGUUCGAAGCUCGAAAGUGUAAGUCCACAAGUCAUAUCUAACCCUUAGGGGUAGUUUAGAGGGGUUUUGGGGCUUAAAAACCCCACUUAAGGGUGUUCACGGUUCAAGAGUGUUCUUGGGCAGUAAACACAUAAUCUUGCCCCUAUUUGAUGUCUUAAACACGAAUUUGCAUGAUAACUAAGCUAUAGAACAAGUUAGGAUAUAUUACUUACUAGUUUGGGGCUCGAAACGGACGUUUUUGGCUCGAAAAAAAGGUGUAGAGAGAGAGUGAGGAGANGAGAGAGUGUAGAGAGAGAGUGGAAAGGUUUCUAUGGAGUCUACUCACCCUUAUACAGGGGUUAGAGUUGGGGCUCAGUGGAAAUCUACCCGAUACUGCCGUUAAACGGGGCUUUUGGUCGCACCCGAUUGAAUGGUCGUAAUUAAAAAUAAACUUUUUCCAAUAAAAUGGAAAGAUAAUUUACGAGUUUAUUUUUGCUUGACGAAUAUUAUAUAAAAUAUUCCAACGGGUUUAUUCCAGUCAAAAAUAUUUUUUGGAUAAAUUUAGCUAAUUUUUGACGUAAUUAAUUUCGACGUUAAAACUAACGGGAACUUUUAGGUUGUCACAAAUUGCGUGCUGGAUGAGCUUGGUCAUGUCAGGUUCAGGUACAGGUUCCGGUUUCCAUAUAAAUAAGACAUUCCCAUACAACCCAAACCCUGAGCCAAUACCUCUAGACCCUAUGAACCUAGUUUGACUUUACGAGCUCUUGCAAUUUUUGAACAUGGUUCUUCUUCUACAAAUUUAUGAAAGCAACGCCUGACAGCUUACUUUAUAGACAAAAUUGCAAAAAUGGUCCCCGUACUUGUCAAAUUUCUACAGUUGGUCCAAAAAAGUUUAGUAGUGCAUUAGUAGUCCAAUUUCGGAUACUUUGUGUGGUUUUGGUCGCUAUGGUUGGCAUUUAUAUGUAGUUUUGGUCCAUACUCCACCUGAAAUGACAAACCUGCCCUUAAAUAAUUUUCUUUUUAAUUUAAUUUAAUUUCUUUUCUAAUUAUUCUAAUUAAAAAACAAAACCCCAAACCACCCCUCUUGUCCCUUCCGUCUCUCUCUCUCUCUCUCUCUCAUGUUCCUCCUGUUAAGACGCAUCACCCCAAACACCCUCUAUUAUUGUUUUACUCGACCCCUGCUUUCCCUAAAGCCACAUAUCCGGUGAGAUGAGCUAACAUUCGAGGAAGAGAGCCCAUCGGAAAAACUGGUUGUCAACCUCUCCACCUCCCCUCGGUUGUUGAGCAAACCCACGAACCCUCACUUGCUGUGUUGUUCCGAUCUGCUCUUUCCCUCCCUUUCUUCUCCAUUUUUCUACCAACCUCUCCACCUCCCCUCCAUGGCUUCUUGUGUGAUGUUGCAAAGUGUCGAUAUGCACAUUUGGGUUUAUAAUCGAUUAUGUUUCAAUUGAUUCCAGCUCAUCAGAGAUCUGAUUUCAUUCACAAAAUUUAAGAUUAAAUUUUGUUAAUCGAUUUGGAUUAUGCUUUGUGCUUUUGGUCGAUAGCAAUAAGAAACAAAUCAUUUUCAUUUGUGAAGAUCUCAUAGUGGGGGUGGUGUUUGCUCGUCGUCACAGGGGGAAAGACGGGGUGGAAGCCGGUGGUUCUUAGGAGGUUGAUGCCACCUCUGGUGGGGCUAUUGUUAUCUGAUAAAAGAAGCAAGGGAGGGAGAUGGGAGGUGAUACUCGUCAAAGGGUGUGUUUGGGUUGUUGCUAAUUGACAAAACCGGUGAGAAGAGGUGGUUCCUAGUGAUGUUUGGUGGUCACAACCACAACACCACCACCACUCAUUGGUGGUCGUUGUUCUUGGCAGUGAAAGGAGAAAAGGAAAACAGAAAACGUGCAGGGUGGGUGGUGCAAUGGACUCUAAAAUACAAGAGGGGGAUAGAGAGUGGCCGUUUGUGGUGGUUCACAGUGUAGGGGUCAACGGUGGGUGGUAGCCCUUGGUUGUCCUUGUUUCUUUCUUCGUUUCUUUCAUCGGUGUGUGUGUUCUCGAGGGAGAAAAAACAAAUAAAAUAUAAAUAUAAAUAUAAAUUAAAUUAAUUUAUGUAUUUCAACAAUUAAAAAAAUAAAAAAUAUAAAUCCUAAGGGGAUAAUCGUCUUUUUAAGUGUGUAGAGACAAAAACAAUAAAAAGAUCCAAAAUUGCACCAAUGGUGCAUCAAAGGUAUCAUUUUGGACUAAAACUUCAGAAAUUUGCUAACCACAGAGAUCAUUUUUAUAAUUUUGUCUAACUUUAUAUAGGGGUGAGAAGCAAGGAGUUUGGAAGGCGUAGGUACCAAAGUAAUUGACUUUUUAAUGUGAGAAAUGAAGAAGAAUAAUAUAUAACAAUAACUUACAAAUGUACAAAGCUUUUUUAAUUUAACCAAGUGUUUUGACGAAUUAUAAAUGAGUAGUCGACAUAGGUUAUCUAGUUUUGGUACAUAUUACAUGAUUUCAUUAUAGGUCUGCAUCAAGGUUCUAAAUAAUGUAAGGUGUGACUUGGCGGCAAUGUGAAGCUUCAAGCUUUUCUGAGCCUUGGCAAGUCAUGACAUUUGUAAGGCGUGACUUAAGGCAGUAAUUUUCUAUAUAAUUAAUAUUUUUUAUAUGUAUUUUCAACUAUUAUUCAUUUUUAUACACAUAUAUGAGUUAAUGCGGCGUUUUGACAAAACUUGGCGGUAGGUGCAAGCCUUAGAGUCGUGGCGUGUCAUGACGAGCUUUUUAAAACUCUGGUCUGCAUACACCCCAUUUAACAUGCUUUUUUUUUACUAAAAUUUUAUAUAGAAAUUUUUUUAUUAUAAUUGAGUUUCAGUUAAUGUCCCCACAAUAAUAAUAGUUUUAGACUAUGCACCCUCCUACGCUCUUAGACUACCCCCAUUGGGGGCUUCUUGCGAGCGAGUCGUAGAAAAAGGAAUAUUAAAAAAAUGAAAAGUAGACAAUGUUUGGUGAUCCGGUUCGUAACCAUGCCCUCAUCUCACUCUAGCUUGUAUAUAAAGAUCUCCCACGUGUCCAACUUUGUUAAAAGGAAUCUUUUAGAUUUUAUAUAAAAACCAGUGUUGCAGAAAUCGGCUUAGGCGGCCGAUUAAUCGCCGCCUAGGUGCUAGGCGGACGGCCACCGAUUAGGUUUAUUGCUAAUCGGUCUAUGUAAUCGGGCUUAGUCAAAGUCGGUCCAAGCCGGGGCUAAUCGGAGUUAGUCAGAGCUAGGCGGAGCUUGGCGCCUUAAUCGGUCAAAGGCGGUCAACGGAAAUUCAAGACAUUUUAAGGGCAAAAUUGUCAAAUUGAAAUCAUUUCUUGCUAGGGUUCGUUCCUUCUUUUCUCAUUCCAUCUCAUACUACCAACAAAAUGCUCUCUCAGACUCAAGAACUAAAACAAUGAAAUGCCUGCAUCUUUUCUUCGAAUCACACUGGUACGCCGUUGCCUUCCAAGCUUGUUGUCUCAUUCUCGACUCAAAUCGGUGCUAAUUUGCUUCGGACAUCCGCUCCUUCUCCUCUAGCGCCAUCAGCUCCUCCAGAAUCCCUCAUACACCAACCAUCUUAAUCUGCGAAUGUUCAUUCUCAUCCUCACCGAUCUGUAAAUCCUCUGCACCAUCACCGCUCUCACUACCUCUAACAACCCACCAUCGAAACUCUAACCCUAUAUCGACUCGAUCUAACCGCGACACUCACCGACACUUUCAUCUCCGCUACUCUCAUCAAAAUUAGCGAAAAUCCUACACUUACAUUGGUAAUUUAGCCCCUAUUCUUCUAAUUUUUUCAGCAAAAUGUUUAUUUUUUUAGGUAGGAACCUGAUUUUGUUUACAGUUAUAACAAAAACAAAAUGAAAGUAUUUGUGUGUGCAGGGUAUUUGUUAUUUGUAUAAUUGUAUAUUUGUAUUUGGUCAUAUCUUAAUGUCUUUCUUUCUUUAAGUUUUUUCAAUCUUUUGAAUCCAUGGAUCUGUUUUAGACUGUUGAUGGAGGAGUUGUUAAGGUGAAUGAAGUCAAAAGUAGAGGUGGGUGGGAGGUCAAACUUUGGGCGUGAACGUGACAAUUUUCGAAGAUAUAGUAAUGACAGAGAUGUAGAGGUGGAUAAGGGUAGAGAUAGAGAUAGAAACUAUGGUCGUUUCAGAAAGAGGUUUGAGUUUUUUCUUUUCAAAAUGCUUUUAUCUACAUGCUUUUAUCUAUAUGAUAAUUAGUUGUUUCUGUUUAAACAAAAAAAUAGUUAAUUGUGGUGCUUUUUACACAGUAUUAGUAAGUUUGUGUUAAUAUUUAACUUGCAUUUCACAGGUUUAUCGAAUGGAAGAGCUUGUAGGAGAGAAAGGUGAUCAUGUAUCUAAGCUGCAGGAAAAGUCACAGGUCUUAUAAUUAACAUCCUCAUAGUAAACACCAAAUUACAAUUCUACCCUCCUUCAGUUUUUCAUUAAUCCUUUCUGAUCUUCUAUUUUUUGUUACAUAAACUAGAGGAUGCAGAAAACACUAGACAGUUGAUUUGAGUGGGCAAUUUUAAUGUGUUAAUGUGAUUUUUUAUAACAGUUGAUGAAGCUCUUGCAACCGAUGUUAGUCAAACACCCCAAGAAAGUCCAAAAACGAGGGAACUUUUCAAUGAAGAUUUCGAGUCCGAGAGUGAGGAGCAAGUGUUAGAGAGAAGAUGAAUAUGAGUCGGAUGAGGCUCAAAUAAUGGAAGUAUGUGGAGAAUAUUAAAAGAAAAAUGUUGUACUUGCUAAACUUAUUAUUAAAUUUUUAUAGACUUGUUGGAUGAUGAUUUUGUGUGCUUGUUAAACUUAUUCUUAAACUUUUAUGCUUAUUUUGGAUGAUAAAUGGUUGUACUUAUUAAACUUAUUAAGUUAUUAUUAAACUUUUAUGCUUAUUUACUUAUAUUAUUAGUAUUAAAGUUAGAUUUAUAAAUUUUUGAAUUAUUUUUUUAAUAAUUAAUGGUCCCUGAUUAAUCCCCCGAUUAAUCCCCGUCUAACCGAUUAAUCCCUAGACCCCAGUCCACCGCCUAGCUAACGUCUAACGUUUUUUGCAACCUUGAUAAAAACUAACUUUUGUUAAUAAAUAGACUUUAUCUUUAAUAAAAAAUAAAAUAAAAUAUAACAAAAUAUUUGAUUUAUAGUUUUAUAAAUGUAAAAUUUUAAUAUAAAAUAGGUUGGGUUAGAUUGCUAAUGGGGUAAAUAAUUAUAUAUGAUUGGGUUGUAUAGGUGGAAGAGAAAAAAAUUAAUUAUUUAUAAAAAAAUUGGGUUGGGUUGGAUUGCUAAAAUGAAUAGUAUUACAAUAUCUGUUGAUCUGAUAUCAUAAUAAUAUGAUUAACUUGGUGAAUUUUUCGGUUACUAUUUAUAAUCAACUUUUUCUUUUUCCAAUUCAUAAUACCCUUAAUGAAAAUUUUGUAUUUGAUUCUUUUGGGUGGUUAAUCAAUGAAAGAGACGACGAGUUAAAAGAGAACAUGUACAUGUGGACACAAAACUUAGCAUUCAUGUUGUUUUUUAAUGAUGUGGCCUGCAAACAAAGAAGAAUACACAAAUUAAACCUAGCAUUCAUGUUUCUUUUUAUUGAUAUGGCCCUGUAAUCAACUUUGUACGUUGCAGCUACAGCCUACCAGAUGGCAAAAAAACAAAAACCCAAAGAUUUUGAGGCAUGUCGGGUCGAUCUUAUCGGGUCGUUAUCGGAUAUAUAUGCAAUUACGUCAUUUCUGUCCUUAAAGACAUAACCCUAAAAUUGUGUAUCGCUUUUAUUUGACAGCGAAAAGCAUGGUACAGGAAAACAAAUUACAUAUCAACGUAAGAUCAGAUCCGGUGCAUAUAUAGCACAGCACAAAUUAAACAAAGAAUGUAUAGCACUACGCAACAAACAAUAUGCUGGCAGCAUUAAUCAAGCUUUCCAGGAUGACAAUGCAGGAGUCUCGGUGUCCUUAAAUGUUGAAAUACCAUCACCAUAUCGACCACCCUUGACUGAAUCAGCAGCAGCAAUGGCUUCUAGUUCAGCCAUGUCUUCUGCUGUUAGCUUCACAGAUAAAGCUCCAAUGUUCUGUUCAAGAUUCUCAAUCUUUGUGGUUCCAGGAAUGGGCACCACAUCAUUCCCCUGGUGGUGAACCCAAGCCAAUGAUAGCUGCGAUGGGGUGCACCCUUUCUUUGCCGCCAUGUCACUAACCUUCUUGAACAUGAUCGUGUUAUGCUCAAUAUUUUCAGCCUGGAACCUCGGUAGAU